This 95928-nucleotide long non-coding RNA is filed under the name Triticum aestivum (bread wheat). RNAcentral describes it as "long non-coding RNA (TAES_LNC021944)". The record is from RNAcentral. Lineage: Eukaryota; Viridiplantae; Streptophyta; Magnoliopsida; Poales; Poaceae.
ACGGCCGGGCUGACCGCGGCGGCCGUGGCGGCGGCGCUGGUGCUGCCCGAGGUCGCGGAGGCCGCGUCCCCGGGGCUGUCCCCGUCGCUCAAGAACUUCCUGCUCAGCAUCGUGUCCGGCGGGGUCGUCUUCGCCGGCAUCGCCGGGGCAGUCGUCGCCGUCUCCAACUUCGACCCCGUCAAGAGGACCUGAUCGCCUCGCCGGAUUCUCAGGGCACGUCGCCUCGCUUUGUAUCUCCAUAAAUCUCUUUUCUGUGUUUUAUUCGGAGACUCUGUACGUAGAAGAGAUCCAUGACAAUGGAGUUCUGAUUAAUGGCUGUGUAUACUCUGGUUCGUCUGCUUAAACUCAUGCUUGCGGGCUGUAUCCAGUAAUUGGAUGUUUGUUUACUUCUGAAGCUACUUCCCCCUUUCCAAAUUACUUACAGCGUGCUCGGCAGUAUGAGGGAAAGGGAAUGGAAGGUUACAAGAGGGAGUAUGUCUAGAUAUUAGACUUGAGAAUUACUAGAAUUUUAGUCUCAAUCUCCAUUUUGAUGUGUGGUCGGAAUUAUCGGUGAGUUGAAUUAACAGGGGGCUUGGGAAGAGAGACCAUGAAAUUGACCUCUUUUAUUUCCUUUCCCCUUCUCUCCUCAAUUCCCUUGCCCCUAGCCAAACAAUGAAUAAUAUGUCUUGUAUCCUUAAACUCUUGUUCCCUAUCACAAAUUGCCUCCAACCAAACAUGCUUUUAGUUUUAGGUUGAUCCUAAAUCGAACUUCUUUAAAUUUGACCAAAUCUAUAGAAAAUAUAUCAACAUUGACACCAUUCAAUUACUUUCAUUAGAUCCAUCAUAGGAUAUACUUUUAUUCAUAUACGCGCUCCGUCCCGAAUUACUUGUCGCGGAAAUGGAUAUAAAUUAAUGUAUCUAAAACUAUAAAUUCAUCUAGAUACAUUCACUUCUGUGACAAGUAAUUCAAACGAAAAAAGUAUAUUUCUGAUGUUGUAGAUAUUGGACUUUUUUAUAUGGUCAAACUUGAAGAAGUUUGACUUAGACAAAACCAUAACUUCAACGAAUUUGGAAGGGAGGUAGUACCAACCAGUGCAACUUCUUUUCACCUUUUAUCAAAAAAAAAUUGAAUCCAAUGUUUGAUUCUUGCCUUACGGAACGAACGUCUGUUGCCAUCCGAUGUGGGAGGAUAAACAAUGAGACGAGGAAGAAUCGGCGGGCGGAGGUGGCCGACUGCCGUUCAUGGACAAAAGUGGGCGCCGCUACCUCCAAUUAUCACACAUUGGCGUCACGAUAUGGGUAUAGGUGCAGGGUGUGGUGGUGACUUGGUGUUCGCACAAACAAUACUAGUGCUCCGGAUCCGCGACGCGCUCAUCAACCUGAUUGGCACCAUUGUUAUAUGUCUCGACGCAACAGGCCAGUGAUGGGGCCCUAGUGGUGGUGGUGGUGGUGGUGGUGGUGGUGGUGGUGGUGGAGGUAAACAAGAUACAGAGAGAAUGAGGAUAUAUAUUUUGACAAAACACUAAAAGCAUUAUCAGGGUUGAACUGCCUCAUCAACGAGACAACAUGGGAAAAACCAUCUUUUGAUGGGCUAUUUAACACAAUUAUUAGCCAAAAUUGAUGGAAGUGUCGUAUUAGUAACAAAUUUAGACCAGUGUCUAACAUGGAUUUUUUUCCAUAACCAAAUAGGGAAACACAUUACUAUUUAGGGUUAACUAAGGAAACAUUUGUUGUCUGGGUGCAAAUAGUUUUGUGAACAACAACAAUUCCAUCAAAUUGCUAGGAGUUUCAUAUUUGAUCCUUCAUUCCCAUAUAUUUCUUCAAUAAAAAAAAUUGUGUUUGCGUUAUAGGUAUCAUGUCUAAUUAGUUGUGCAAUAUAUUUAUUUAAAUUUUCUACAUUGUUUAGAUUCUGCAUUCAGCUAACUAUUGUGAUAUUUCUUUUUAAAAAGAUUUUUGCGUACCUCCCUCAUAACAAUAAACAUACGCUCCACCCAUAGGGAAGGGAAAGAGAAUUCACUAGCAAGUGUCAGCAACCCCCUUUCUUAUACCCUCUGCUCUAAAGAUUUCAGAUUCAAAGAAUAUGGUUCAAGAAGGUCACAUUUUGGGGGGGGGGGGGCUUCUUGGUCUGGCCUUUCUAACAUCCCUGUAUUUUUCGUAUGAUGAUUUAUAGUCGCCUCUAGACUUGCGUCGUCUCAGUGUUCNNNNNNNNNNNNNNNNNNNNNNNNNNNNNNNNNNNNNNNNNNNNNNNNNNNNNNNNNNNNNNNNNNNNNNNNNNNNNNNNNNNNNNNNNNNNNNNNNNNNNNNNNNNNNNNNNNNNNNNNNNNNNNNNNNNNNNNNNNNNNNNNNNNNNNNNNNNNNNNNNNNNNNNNNNNNNNNNNNNNNNNNNNNNNNNNNNNNNNNNNNNNNNNNNNNNNNNNNNNNNNNNNNNNNNNNNNNNNNNNNNNNNNNNNNNNNNNNNNNNNNNNNNNNNNNNNNNNNNNNNNNNNNNNNNNNNNNNNNNNNNNNNNNNNNNNNNNNNNNNNNNNNNNNNNNNNNNNNNNNNNNNNNNNNNNNNNNNNNNNNNNNNNNNNNNNNNNNNNNNNNNNNNNNNNNNNNNNNNNNNNNNNNNNNNNNNNNNNNNNNNNNNNNNNNNNNNNNNNNNNNNNNNNNNNNNNNNNNNNNNNNNNNNNNNNNNNNNNUCUUCUACAACAUAUUUGAUUUGAAGGUAUUUUUACAUGGAAAAUCAUGUUUAUUGCUUAGCUAACACAUUUACUUGAUCUAUUAAACAAGAUUUGUUUUAUAUCUUCUAAAACUCUACAAUGCCUCUAUGGUGAUUCAUAUAUCUAUAUUGAGGUGCAUACUCUACUUACAAGGUGUAAGAACCAUGUGAUUACAAUAGGCCACAUGCUGGUGCUGAUUGUUGUACUAGUUGUAGCGACUCACCUUUCCAUUUCUAUCCCUAUUCUCUAAUUUGUUUGUUUUCUAAUUCAGGUCAUGACACUGGUAACUUCAAUAGUGUUUAGUGGAAAUUGAAGCAAAUGCGUCCCUAUGUGAAGUGUGUAUGAUCGUUUGACAAUAAUGGUUUGUUCCAUGAUUAUCGAUUGGGUUAUAGUACUUCGGAGAUCGGUGAUGGUUCAAUCUUUUUUUAUUGUUGGAACGUGUAUGAUGCAUCUAUGACUAUAAUGCACCAUGUUUUAUGUUCUCAUAUUUCUUUUUUUUUUCGAAUGGCCACCCAUGGUAGCACUCGUCAGGUGUUACAUUCAGAUAGCAUAAUGGGCCUUAAUUGAGCAGGAGCAUCUGCAAUUAGCGUCAGGUCAUCUUCCCUUCUAGCUUUACCGCCAACUCAUGCGCCAAUAUGUUCCAUAUACCUAGGGAGAGGAACUGAUGUUGUAAACCUCAAAUAUAGACAAAGCAGCGUUUGACUCUGAUGAGGACAUGACUACCUUGGAUACGACCAAAAAUAUUGCAUACAUGCAUAUUUGUCAGGUGAUUUCUAGUGCAAACUAUUCAAUAAUCUAUUUAUGUUAUCCAGAACAAAAAUACUUCACACACUUUUGUGUUUUGUCUAAUUGCAGGUGUAUGGGAUAUUUGUACAAUUCACAUAUGAAGAUAAGGGAGAAAGAUAUGUUUAAGUGCUGUUCAAAAAGUUCUCUCACAUCACUUUUGGGCCAAGAGAAGAUAGAGUCCAAAUCUCUCACGUUCUAGAUUCAGAUUCGGACUGCACAGAGAUACCUGACUCAAAACGCCAACAACUUUUUCAUACGGACUCCGAAUUGGGUGAUUUUUUUUGUUGGAUUCUAGAUUUUGUGCUCUUUCCAGCUCAAUUGGAUUCACCUUCAAAUUCGUCCGGAGCGUUGAGAUAUCGACGAAACAAUCAGACGCUGCAGCAGAAUCCGAGUCAAACAACAAGUCCAAAGGUGCUGCAUCACCUCCACUUGGGCCCAUUGACCUUGUACGACCUAGGGUUAGUUUUAGGCUGCCUUGAGACGUCCUCCCACCUCCUAGGCCGCCACCCCUUGCUCCUAUAUAAGUAGAUCCAUCUAGUAGCUUUUCCCUUGGGAUUUGUUUAGUUAAAAGUUAGCCAUUGCAACUUCGUGUACUUCGUUUGUGUCCAACGACCAGACCAAGACCGCGUACGGAUCCCCGCCUUUAUCAAUACUUCAUAUAUUCUCGCAAUAUUCAGAUUGCUUUUAUCAUAUUCUUGCUAGUUCUUCGAUUGCUUGCAGGAAUAGACCUUCGUGGUCAGGCUGACCGUGCUUCCGGCAUCGUCAGUAACCUCAGGAGAUUGGUUUAGCGAUUGCUAAGGCGCAACGUCGUGCACGUUUGUAGUCGGAUCAUCAAAGUCAUCUUCACCAAAUCGAUAGUUAUCAUCUCAUCGAAUGAUCGGGACACCCCGCCUCUAUCAAGUGGUAUCAGUUUUCAGGUUGCUCGGUGAGAAUUUCCUGUUUUUUCUAGAUUAGAUUUAUUUUCUUACCUAUUGUCCAAGAAAAAGCCACAAAAAAGUUAGAUCUAUUCAUCCUUUGUCCAAGUCAGUCUGAGCCUUUGCAAUUUUCUUUUCAUUAUUUGCAUUAUUGAAUUAUCGGUUUCAUCGUCGUGUCGAGUUGCUGGUCUUAGUGUCUAGUUCGUUUAGAGUUUUGAGUUCUGUUCACAUUAGUCACGCCGCCGCUGCAUCGUCAUCCCUUCCACUGUCCACCACCCAUCCAUCAAAUUCCACCAUGUGCUACCAACCGUUCAUUGUCAUAAUCAUAGUUGAGAUCGUUCACAUCUUCGCUUGAUCCAAUCUGCAUCUUAUCUAGUUUGUUUUGGAAAGAGAGAGACAAAAAAAGACGGAAAAAAGAGAGAGAAAAAAGUAAAAAAAGUCAGAAAAAAAGAGAAAGAAAAAGAAAAAAAAGUGUGAGAAAAAAAAGGAAGAGAAAAAAAACAAAAUUCGGAUCUAUCUAGACUCAAUCUCGUAGUUGAAUUCGGAUUGAAAUCUGUUUUGUGCACUGUUCAGUAAAACAGGCAUAACUUCCUCAUACGAAGUCCGUUUUGGCUCCACAAUUACUCAAAUUAAAGCUAGCGACUAGACGCAUCUGAAUAGUUGCAAAAGCUAUAUUUGGCGUCUCAAAAUCAGCUUCUAAAUAGGUCAUUUUGCCCUCUGAAGUUCGCGCAUACAGUUUGUUCCAGUUUUUCAGGCCAGUUUUAGAAUUCUUUGACUCCUCAUAUCAAUUCGGAAUUGAGUGAUUCUUUUUGUAUUGGAAAGCUUGAGUUAGUAGCAAACUUUUCAAGGGGAAAGUUGGAGAGAGAGUUCUUAUAUAUCCUGCUUGGCAGUUGUUAUUCAUCAUUAUCUUUACUAUCGUUGUGAUCUUCACUUAUAUCUGGCUGUCCAGAGCUACUUAUCCUUCAUUGAUGCUAGUUGUGCUAUGUCGUGACCUCAUUAGUGUUCUAGGCUCGCGUCUCUAGUCCGGUCUAGCCUAGGACCAGCACAGUAUCGUUGUUGAGCGUUUAUUCAACAUUGCAUCUUUGAAUUUAUUAUUGCUAAUCUUUUGCUACCAUAUAUAGCCAACCCAGCUCCACAUAUUUCUACACCGUGUAUAUGUACGUUCCCCUGGCAAUCGCUUUACACAAUCUCCAGAGUUAUUUGACACCGCUGGUUGCCUGUCACCACCUAUCGCAUGGUAAGAACUUGUAAGAUAUUGAUAUUUGCUUUACUGUGAGCACGUUACAACCACAUCCUAGUUGUUCAUAGGAACAUUAUUCUCGAAUUUUGUUUCUUGUUUCUACUAAUCAUGACAGGUUCCGGAGAAAGAAGUUCUUGGACGACGAACACAUCUUCACCAUCACGAGAGUUGGGACAACACACACAAGCACAUGGUCAGGUUAUCUCUUUACCAUCAUUUGAGGAUAGAUUUAAUCCUGCUAUUUAUCUAGAUUGGGAGCUUGAAGUAGAACAAGUUUUUAGUUACCAUGACUUUUCUGAACUUGAGCGAGUACGAGCUGCCACUAGAGCAUUUACUAGUUUUGCUUCUGUUUGGUGGAGUGUGCAUUAUAAGAAAAACAUUGAUAACCAACCCACAACUUGGAAAGAUUUGAAACAUGUAGUGAGACAACAAUUUUUCCCUCCUUACUAUCGUCGGGAAUUGCUUCGCAAAUUUGAACAAUUUAAACAAGGCAAUAACACUAUUCAUGCUUACUAUCAAGAGUUCAAAUCUUAUAUGCAUCAUUGUGACAUAGAAGAAUCUAAGGAUGAUACAAUGAAUAGAUUUUUUGGUGGUUUGAACCAUGAUAUUCAGGCAAGAUUUAGGUAUAUUCCUCGUUGCAUUACUGGUAUGUAUGUUCGUGCUUGUACCUUUGAGAGACAGUUACAGGAGGAUGUAUUGGGUGACUACAACAACUACUAUUCCAAUUCAUGCUCACUACCAUCGGUUGAUUCCUCCACCGUUGCACCUACUAGAUCAGCCACACCUCAGAUUGUGAGUGCGACAUCAUCUCAAGUGUAUGGUACAUUGUCAUUGUCCAUACCGACAUUAGCUACGUCUUUGCGACAAGGUAACAGUAAAGAUAUUGAUGAUAUAACUUCACAUGAGAAUGAUGCAUCCCUAAUUAACUUAAAUACAUCAUGUGUUUAGUUACCUAUUGAUUUGAGCACGCCACCUAUUUUAGAGAAUCAUGUUAUUAUCAUGAAUGCAUCAUGUGAUCAAACAACUGAAAUACCAACAAUUUUGAGUGCACCCAUUGAAUUAACUAUUGAUGCAAAAGAACCAAUGUUUAAUCAUUUUGAUAUGACCUCUAAUCUUAGUGAUGAUUCUGUGUCCAAUGACUUAUUGCAUGUUUGCUUAUUUAAGCAUGUUGUAGCAUGUAAAUUUGAUGCAAGUAAGGUUUAUUCACCAAUGUUGGGAUGGUUUAAUGAUGAAUAUUGUCAAUCUUUUGAUAGGAAUAAGAGCUUCACUUAUAUGUGCAAACUGAGUUGCAAUAUUUUAAUGCCUUCUACUUAUGAUAAUAUUUUGGCUUUAUAUUUUAUGAUCUAUGAAAGUUACUCAUGUAUACAUGUGUCAUAUGUGCAAAAAUCAAUGGAACUAAAAAUGGAUGACAUAUACAUAUACAACAUGUAUACCUUGUCUUUUUUGUUAGCCACAUUUCAGAUUAAGCAACGCCGAGGACAACUUUGUUUUCAAAAAGGGGAGGAUGAUGAGGACAUGACUACCUUGGAUACGACCAAAAAUAUUGCAUACAUGCAUAUUUGUCAGGUGAUUUCUAGUGCAAACUAUUCAAUAAUCUAUUUAUGUUAUCCAGAACAAAAAUACUUCACACACUUUUGUGUUUUGUCUAAUUGCAGGUGUAUGGGAUAUUUGUACAAUUCACAUAUGAAGAUAAGGGAGAAAGAUAUGUUUAAAUGCUGUUCAAAAAGUUCGCUCACAUCACUUUUAGGCCAAGAGAAGAUAGAGUCCAAAUCUCUCACGUUCUAGAUUCAGAUUCGGACUGCAUAGAGAUACCUGACUCAAAACGCCAACAACUUUUUCAUACGGACUCCGAAUUGGGUGAUUUUUUUGUUGGAUUCUAGAUUUUGUGCUCUUUCCAGCCCAAUUGGAUUCACCUUCAAAUUCGUCCGGAGCGUUGAGAUAUCGACGAAACAAUCAGACGCUGCAGCAGAAUCCGAGUCAAACAACAAGUCCAAAGGUGUUGCAUCACCUUCACUUGGGCCCAUUGGCCUUGUACGACCUAGGGUUAGUUUUAGGCUGCCUUGGGACGUCCUCCCACCUCCUAGGCCGCCACCCCUUGCUCCUAUAUAAGUAGAUCCAUCUAGUAGAUUUUCCCUUGGGAUUUGUUUAGUUAAAAGUUAGCCAUUGCAACUUCGUGUACUUCGUUUGUGUCCAACGACCAGACCAAGACCGCUUAUGGAUCCCCGCCUUUAUCAAUACUUCCUAUAUACUCGCAAUAUUCAGAUUGAUUUUAUCAUAUUCUUGCUAGUUCUUCGAUUGCUUGCAGGAAUAGACCUUCGUGGUCAGGCUGACCGUGCUUCCGGCAUCGUCAGUAACCUCAGGAGAUUGGUUUAGCGAUUGCUAAGGCGCAACGUCGUGCACGUUUGUAGUCGGAUCAUCAAAGUCAUCUUCACCAAAUCGAUAAUUAUCAUCUCAUCGAAAGAUCGGGACACCCCGCCUCUAUCAGACUCAAAUAUCAUCGGAAAGCAUGCUGAUGGAUUUGACCUUCCAAUGUGCAGCUCUUUUGCAAUGAGUGCACAGUCCAAUUCAAGAAUUAUGGGGCCUCUGUACAUUCUCGGCAGGGAUUUUAAGUCAACCACAGCAGCGCAUCCCUCGACCUCCACAACUGACUCGCACCGAACCAUGGGCCUGCUAACUGAGACCAACAGAAAACCCCUAUGAUCUCUGGCAACAACACCGACACAACUCUCGCUCGAUUCAGUCAAAAACACUGCGUCCGAGUUUAUUUUGACAGUUCCGACCAGGGGGCUAUCCUAGCGAAUCAAUAGUUCCUCUGGGGGUCUGGGAAAGCUGUUCGACAAGGACCACAUGGUUUUGCCCUGACCAUCUUCAAUCGACAUAGUCAGGAUUCUGAUUUCCUCCUCGAAUAUGGUCAAGAACUGCACUAAUCUCGAGAUUAGUUCCUUGCCAUAAUUAUGAACAACAAUAUCAUGUACUCCUUCCGUUUCAUAGUAUAAAAGCGUUUUUGACACGAUACCAAGUCGUCCAUAACAGCAACAAAACUUUACUCUAGUUUCAGUAUUACACUUAUCUAUAAAAAAUUGCAGCCAACCCUUGCCAGUGUACCAAAAUUCUUUUUCUUCAGGCAACACCCUGCCAGCUGCGAACCAGGUGGAUCUGGCUCGAGGCUAGUGGCGGAGACAGGGGAGACCAGCAGGGGCCCUGGCCCCCCCUAUGACUGCUGAUUUGCUGCUAGUUUAUACAUGAACAGUGUAAAAUUUAGACAAAAAUGCAUACAUUAAUAUUGGUUGGCCCCUCUUAUCAAAAGAUUGAGUCAUUUGGCCCCCCUAAUCUUUAAUUCCUGGCUCCGCCGCUGCUCGAGGCAACCAACCCGUCUCGGCCCUAGGAGCCGGUGGUGCAACAAAUCUUCCGUGCAUCGACGUCCUGGAUCCUGGGCGAUGGCAAGCAGCGUCGUUUCUGGACUGGCCCAUGGCUUGAUGGGCGCUCCAUCUCUGAGCUGGCGCCCCCUCUCAUGACGCUGGUUCCACAGCGACGAAGGCACUAAGCUCGUUUGCAAGGCCAUCCUCGACCGCGCCUGGUCGCCCUGGGAGUGGUGACCACGUUGCAAUAUGUUGACAUCAUGCGCAUGCUCCAAUGGGUUUUUCUCUCCAAUACCCUCAACAAAAUCCUCUGGCGAUGGACAACGAACAACAUCUACUCGGCUGCAUCCUGCUACCAGGCCCUCUUCACCGGUUCAACUGUGGCCCCUUUCUGGCAGCUAAUUUGGAAAACUUGGACGCCUCAAAGUGCCAAGUUCUUCCUCUCCUCUGGCUUGCGGCACUUGACAGGUGCUGGACGGCCGAGCGUCGGGCACGGCAUGACCUCAUGCGCGACCUGUUGUGCGUCCUCUGAGACCGAAAUCAUCCAUCACACCCUGGCUGGAUGUGUAUUCUCGCGCAUCACUUGGCACGAGAUCCUAUCUUGGUGCCGCCUAACUACAACGCCACCCGGGUCCUCAGCUUCCGGGUUGAUUAACUGAUUAAUCCAUCUCAAAUGGACAGGGCGUUUUGGCUCUCAGGCUCAUAUGAGCCCCGGAGUGAACAGUAAAAUCGCAAAAAAUACUAUUGUUCUGAAAAAUCACAAAAAGAAUUGUGGUGAAAGAUGUGUGAGUUCAUGAUACCCGUGCAAAAAAAUCAGCACAUUUGAACAUCUGACGGGCUUUCAGCAAAAAAAAGACAAAAUUGGGAUACGUGGAAAAGUUUACUGUUUUGCACUAUUCGGAGAUGAUUUUUUGCUGAGAGCUAUUCAGAUGUCCGAAUGAGCUGAAAUUUGCCACGAACUUCACGUACUCGAGCAACUUUCGCCAUACAAAAGUUUGGUUUUUUUAAUUUUCUAGUAUUUUAUUUGAAUUUACUGUUCACAGGGCGUAGAUGAGCUUCGGAGCCGAAUUGAAUAUUCGAUCUCAAACAUGAUAUUUUAACGAGUUUUGUUGUUCUCAAUCUUUCUUUCCUCAGUAUCCAUUGGUCCAUCUGAAUUAUGCUCUUUCUAUUUCGCACAUGCUAAAUAAUUCACUUCUUGAGCAGCUCGUGUCCACAUUCAAUUCCUCUCCAUGCCGGCGAGGCAUCCAUAGAAAACACAGUGCUCAGAAGAUCUCCUUUUGGGUAAUACUUAGAUCUAAGGACCCUUGCACACAGUCUGUUUGGAUUUUGGAUGAGCCUCCACCCUGUCCUGUCAACAACGUUUGAUUAAAAAAAGGCACAUUUGCAUUUUUGUCCCUAACUCGAACCGCCUACUCAGAUUUACCCCUAAUUUCGAAGCAUGCUCAAAUUUACCCCUCUGCCGUUAGGUGCCCUUAUAGAAAUGCUCUUUCAUGUCGUUUCCGUCACGUCAAAGGGCUUUGACCAUUUUAUUCACGUUUGCUGGACAUUUUUGCCCCUCUGUGCAUGUCCCACUUAUAGGUGGGACCUACCUAGGGAAAGAAAAAAAAACUCCCUCUUUCUCUCUGACUUACACGUGGAGCCCACCAAUAAAAAAAGGUCUCCCUCUCUCAUAACCUCCCCCUCUCCCUGACAUGUGGGCCAUUGAACCCAAUGUCAGGGUCAACUCCUGUUCGCACGUGGUCACGGCGAGGCUUGGCGGCUCGGCCGGUGGACGUUGCCGGUGAGGGACAUGCGCCUGCGUGUGAGGACCGCGGUGGGAGGCUCGGGAUCGUCUGACGGAGGGGGUGGAGCCGCCGCCCACAUCUUUCGUUGGAGCUAUCAUGGGAGCAAUCGUCUGAGAGCGCCUGAGAGCUUCGGUCGACGACGUCGUUAGCCACCGCGGCCGGAGUCCAAAUCCAACCAUACGAGCAUGUCCAUGAGCUUCGUCGGGUGCCUCUCCUCUGCCCUGCGCAGUGAAUCGGGCCUAGGGCCGCCAUAGACGACACCUGGGACAUCGAACUCCGCCAAGGCCGUCGCUCUUCCUGCCCUAAAUUCGGCCGCCAUGAGCCAUUCUUCACCAACCCGACCUCUCUCAAGUCAUCUAGGAAAGCUCACACCCCUACUCUCAUCAUCCCCUACCCGAUUCCGUGCCCGGAGCCCCCUGCUCAAAGCCGGACGCGAUGACUGACCUCGGUUGUGUGUUGGCCAUGUGUGCGCGCAUCUACACCCUGCUACGCCCGGUGAGCUUGAGUCUCGCGUAGCUCGCAUGGUUGGCGCCCUCCCCGCGCGGUCAACCACCCCCCUACGGUGAGCAACCGGCGAGCGCAUCCGCUGACGGCCGGGAAAGAGAAGGGAUGAGGGAGAGUGUUUUUUUACUUUGUCCUUGGUAGGUCCCAUGUGUAAGUGGGUGACCCAUGGUAGAUCUGAGCUGGCAUAGUUUUCCUUUUAUUUAAUUCAAAUGGGUCCCGCAUGUAAGUGUCACAUGGAGUCAGAGGCAAAAUGCCCGACUAACAUCUAGAAAAUGGUCAAAGCCCUUUAACCUAAUAGAAAAGGCACAUAAGGGGAUUUCUGUAAGGGCACAUAAUGGAGGAGGGGCAAAUUUGAGCAAGCUUCCAAAUUAGGGGCAAAUAUGAGUAGUAGGUUCGAGUUAGGGAUAGAGAUGUAAAAGACCCUAAAAAAUGCAGGCCUCCAGCUCUUUUCGGUUUGGCCAUUCGGUUCCCAGACAUCUAGUGCAACUUCCCACGGCCCUCCUCAUCUCCCCACCAGAAAUCGUGAAUGAUCUUUUCAUAUGUUUCGCAAAAACCCUUGGACAGCAAGAACAUCCCAUGGUCAAAGUGGGUAGGGCUUGAACCACCAAUUUGAUAUGAACCUCUUUUGCAACAUAAGACAUUAAUCUCUCGUUCCAAAUAUUGCAUUUGUUCCCGACUCUAUCCAUGAUCAGUUGGAAGUUCUCAUAUUUCAUUCUCCUUUCUCGUUACGGUAGACCAAGAUAUUUGCUAUCGAAGGUCGAUGGUUCCAUUUCCAACACCGGUUUAAUAUCCUCUCUGGUUUGACUCGAACACUAUUCACUAAAGAUGAUCGAGCACUUGCUCGAACUGAGAAGUUGACCGGUGCACCCGUGGAACACUUGGGAGGACAUUUUUAACCGUAACAACUUGGUCCACCGAGGCUUUAAAAAAUAGCAUGUUGGCAUCUGCAAAGAGGAGGUUUGAGACACCCGGGCUAUUGCGAGCCACCUUGACCAGUGUGAUCCUUCCACCAGCCACCUCCUUGUUAAGAAAAUUAACCAGACCAUCUGCCACAAAGAGAAAUAGGUAUGAGGUGAGUAGAUCACCUUGACAAAAGAACCCUCGUUGGCUUGAAAUUAUCCAGUUGUUCUCCAUUAUGCUUAACGAAUAAUCUAACAGAUGCCACACAUUGCAUGACCCACUGUGUCCAUCUCCGGCUGAAUCCAAUCUUUUCUAAAGCCUACUUCAGAAAUCUCCAAUCAACCAUGUCAUACGCUUUGGUGAGGUCAAGUCUGUAGGCACAAUGAGUAUCUCACGGGGUUGUACUAUGCUGAAUUUUAUGGAAACACUCAAACACGAUGAUGGCGUUAUCGGUUAUCCUUCUUCCAAGAACAAAUGCACUAUGUGUUUCUACAAUGAUCUCAUCCAGGAAGGACCUAAGUCUAUUGACCGAACGCUUGGAGACAACAUUGUAAAUCACAACACAUAAGCUUAUGGGGCUGAAGUAUGAGGAGUAUCACCAUGCCGUUUAUUCCUUCAAGCAUUCACUACUAGAAAAAGGGUUAUAGCUAAUAUGAACAUUAAUGGCGCACCACAUGUGUGGUGCAUCACUGCUAUAUAGCAGUGGCGCACCAUGUAUAGGUACAUCAUUAGUGUCCAUAUCACUAAUGGCGCACCACACCCACGGUGCGCCACUACUAACAUUUUUUUUCAAAACUAGUAAUGGCGCACCAGGGGAUAGUGCGCCAUUACUAGUUUUAACUAGUAAUGGCGCAACACACACUCUGUGCGCCACUACUAACAAAUUUUUUACUUAUUUUUUCAAAACUAGUAAUGGCGCACCAGGGGAUAGUGCGCCAUUACUAGUUCAAACUAGUAAUGGCGCACCUCAACCACGGUGCGCCACUACUAACAAUUUUUUUUAAACUAGUAAUGGCGCACCACAUACUAGGUGCACCAUUAGUAAUCAGGGUUACUAAUGGCGCAUUAUUAGGUGGUGCGCCAUUGGUAACCUGAGAGCAGCUAGAUAUUUUGGACAGCCACCUACCACACUCACUUUCCCCACUUCAUUCUCUCCACCUCGUCCUCCAAGCUUGUCUCGGCUGCCUCCUCCUCCUCACCUCAUUUGCAACAUAGAUUCACCCAAAUUAAGUGGUUAAAUUUCCUUUUUUUGAUAGGUAAGUAAGGGGAAAGCUUUUUUUAUGUUGUAGAUCAACUUUUUUCUCCCUCCAACAACGUGCACAUGCACUUUUUAUGGUCUAGAUCUACGUAUGUUUGUGGUAUUGCAUAUGUUUGUGUUUGCAGGUACCGGUAUUUGAAAUGCGAAAGUUGCCAAUAUUUUGCUGGAAUGUUGAUUCAUUUCCGUUUCGGCGAGAAUUUGGCACCAUGCAUUCUUUUUGGUCCUAUUUUUAGGCAAAGUCAUGCCAAAUUUUUUUUUGGUUCUAAAAUAUCAUUUUGCUCUACCCCACAGGCGACCAUGGUCCGCACGAUGACCGAAGGCAUUGUGAAUAGGUUUUUGAGCUCCGCGAAGGCCAUGAUGCUUCAAAAGAACGAGAUGGAGAUAAGAUGUCCGUGUCGAAGAUGCAAGCUGAAGAGCCUUAUGGACCCGGAUUCCGUACAGGUGCGGGACCACCUGCUCUUGCGUGGUUUCAUGGAUGGCUAUCGGUGGCAAGGUGAUGAAGAUGAUUAUGAAGUCGUCCAUGGGGGCCGGGCAAGAAAUGAGGAAGGGCAGCAAGACAACCGCGGCGAGGGCGGGCGAGAAGACGAAGAAUCUCCAGGACAUGAUCACGUAGUAGAUGCAGUACACAGUCAUCAUGUAGAAGAUGCCGGACAUGAUGAUGAGGAAGAUGCCGGAGCAGACGAAGGGCAUGAUCAUGAAGAUGAAGAUGCCGGAGCAGAUGACGAUGGACCAUCAAUGGGCUGGAUGCAGGACCCUCAUAUUCAAGAGCUGCUUCUCAAGCAGACGGAUAACGCAAGAGCUGCCACCCGAGAGAAAGCCAAGCUAGAUCAACUGGAGAUAGAUGCGGUUACUCCAUUGUAUGAAGGAUGCAUGCCCGAGGAUACCCACCUGAAAGUAACGCUCAUGGCCUUGGAGAUGAAGGUAAAACACAAAAUGACCGACGCAUGCUUCGACGAGAACAUGUCCUUCUGGCACGAACGUCUUCCCAAGGGGAACAAGUGCCCGACCAGUUUUGAGGAGGCGAAGAAAAUCGUGUGUCCUCUGGAUUUACGACACGUGAAAUACCAUGUGUGCAUGAACAAUUGCAUCAUUUAUCGAGACGAGCACGCGGAGUCUACCAUAUGUCUGGUGUGCGGCGUCACUCGAUACAAGAAGAGGAAGAAAGCUCCUCAAAAAGUGGUGUGGUACUUUUCGAUCACUCCUCGUCUGCAGCGGUAUUUCGCGGACCCUAAGGUAGCAAAGCUCCUGCAUUGGCACGCAGAUAGGGAGGAGAAGAAGCGAGAAGAUGAUGGAAAUGAUCCAGAGAUAAAUAAAAAAGACAAGAUGCUGAGUCACCCUAAGGAUGCGAGCCAGUGGCAAGCGUUGAACUUCGAACACCCAGAAUUUGGGGACGAUCCAAAGAACAUCAUGCUAGGCGCGAGCACCGAUGGAGUCAAUCCGUUUGGCAGCCAGAGAAGCACACAUAGCACCUGGCCCGUGUUUGUGUGGAUGUACAACCUUCCUCCCUGGUUGUGCAUGAAGAGGAGGUACAUUCACAUGAGUAUGCUAAUUGAAGGGCCGAAACAACCAGGGAACGACAUCAAUCUAUAUCUGGGGCUGCUGAAAGAGGAGCUAGACAUGCUGUGGAAAACGCCAGCCAAUACGUGGGACACAGCAGAGAAAGCAUAUUUCCCUAUGAGAGCCGCACUGCUCACGACGGUGCACGACUAUCUCGGUUACGGAUAUGUCGCGGGGCAGGUGGUCCACGGAUUUUCUGGAUGUGUCAGGUGCAUGGAUGACACAACGUAUUGCCAGCUAGAUAGAGAUCUUGGGUCUUCAAAAACUGUGUUCAUGGGACAUCGAAGGUGGCUUCGCGAUGAUGACUCAUGGAGAAAAUGCAAGGAUCUGUUCGAUGGUGAAACCGAACCGCGAAGACGCCCGCAUACGAGGAGCAGCGAAGAAAUAGACGAGCUGUUGAAAAAUUGGAAAGAGUGCCCGGAGCCGGGAGCCGCUGCUGAAGGUAUGGAAAAUGAGGCCUGUUUUCUGGGACUUGCCAUACUGGAAGAUCCUCCGUGUGCCUCACUGCCUUGAUGUCAUGCAUAUCACAAAGAAUGUGUGCGAGAGUCUGCUUGGUACCCUGCUCAACAUGCCAGAGAGGACCAAAGAUGGGCCGAAAACAAGGGCAGACUUGAAAUCAAUGGGCAUCAGGGAGGAGCUUCACGCUAAUGAUGAUGAUGAUGAUGAGGCGAAGGGCACGGAAAGUCGUCGCAAAGGCAAAAAGACCAAGAAGAUCAAAAAUGACUGCCCUCCCGCGUGCUUCACUCUAAGUCAGGAGGAGAUCGAGCAGUUUUUCACCUGCCUCGUAGGAGUAAAAAUUCCUUACGGUUAUGCGGGGAAGAUAACCAGAUACCUAGACUCAGCGAAGCAGAAGUUUAGCGGGAUGAAGUCUCACGACUGUCACAUGCUGAUGACGCAGAUACUUCUAGUUGCAAUCUGUGGGAUCAUGGACGCGCACUUUCAUGAACCGCUAUUUGGCCUAUGCAACUUUUUCGACGUCAUCUCUCGGAAGUUAGUUGGCGUGAGGCAACUCAGAAGGCUACAGGAAGAGAUCGUGGUGAUACUAUGCGAACUUGAGAUGUACUUCCCGCCCGCAUUCUUCGACGUUAUGGUGCACCUGCUGGUCCAUAUCGUGGAGGAUAUCAUCCAACUCGGGCCGAUGUUCCUGCACAGCAUGAUGCCGUUCGAAAGGAUGAAUGGUGUCAUUAAAGGAUACGUUCGCAACAUGUCACGUCCAGAGGGAAGCAUAGCCAAGGGCUUUUUGACCGAAGAGUGCAUCUCCUACUGCAUGAAUUAUCUAGGCAUCGAGAACUGAUACGUCUCCAACGUAUCUAUAAUUUUUGAUUGCUCCAUGCUACUUUAUCUACUGUUUUAGGAAAUAUUGGGCUUUAUCAUCCACUUUUAUAUUAUUUUUGGGACUAACCUAUUAACCGAAGGCCCAGCCCAGAUUUGUUGUUUUAUGCCUAUUUUAGUGUUUUAGGGAAAAGGAAUAUCAGACGAAGUCAAAACGGAACGAAAUCAACUGGAGAAGUUAUUUUGGGAAGGAAACCCACCUGAUGGACUUGGAGUGCACGUUAGGGGAGUCCCGGGCUACCCACGAGGGUGGGGGGCACGCCCCCCUGGAGGUCCACCGACGUACCCCUUGCACCCAUAUAUACCUACGUACCCUAAAACUUCCAGAAGAGAAGAUAGAUUGGGAGUUCUGCCGCCGCAAGCCUCUGUAGCCACCAAAAACCUCUCGGGAGCCUGUUCCGGCACCCUGCCGGAGGGGGAACCCAUCACCGGUGGCCAUCUUCAUCAUCCCGGCGCUAUCCAUGAAGAGGAGGGAGUAGUUCACCCUCGGGGCUGAGGGUAUGUACCAGCAGCUAUGUGUUUGAUCUCUCUCUCUCUCUCUCUCUCGUGUUCUCUCUCGUGUUACCUGUAUGGCACGAUCUUGAUGUAUCCCGAGCUUUGCUAUUGUAGUUGGAUCUUAUGAUGUUUCUCCCCCUCUACUCUCUUGUGAUGAAUUGAGUUUCCCCUUUGAAGUUAUCUUAUCGGAUUGAGUCUUUUAUGAGAACACUUGAUGUAUGUCUUGCGAUCUACUUGAUGUAUGUUUUGGUGAUCAACUUGCGGGUUUCGUGACAUUGGGAACCUAUGCAUAGGGGUUGGCACACGUUCUUGACUCUCCGGUAGUAGCUUUGGGGCACUCUUUGAAGUACUUUUAUGUUGGUUGGAUGAAUCUGAGAUUGUGUGACGCAUAUCGUAUAAUCAUGCCCACGGAUACUUGAGGUGACAAUGGAGUAUCUAGGUGACAUUAGGGUUUUGGUUGAUUUGUGUCUUAAGGUGUUAUUCUAGUACGAGCUCUUUUAUAGAUUGAUCCAAAAGAAUAACUUUGAGGUGGUUUCGUACCCUACCAUAAUCUCUACGUUUGUUCUCCGCUAUCAGUGGCUUUGGAGUGACUUUUUGUUUCAUGUUGAGGGCUUGUUAUAUGAUCUAUCUAUGUUAUUAUUGUUGAGAGAACUUGCACUAGUGAAAGUAUGAACCCUAGGCCUUGUUUCCUAUCAUUGCGAUACCGUUUACGCUCACUUUUACCGCUUGCUACCUUGCUGUUUUUAUUAUUUCAGAUUACAAAAACCUAUAUCUACUAUCUAUUUUGCACUUGUAUGACCAUCUCUUCGCCGAACUAGUGCACCUAUACAAUUUACCAUUGUAUUGGGUGUGUUGGGGACACAAGAGACUCUUUGUUAUUUGGUUGCAGGGUUGUUUGAGAGAGACCAUCUUCAUCCUACGCCUCCUACGGAUUGAUAAACCUUAGGUCAUCCACUUGAGGGAAAUUUGCUACUGUCCUACAAACCUGUGCACUUGCAGGCCCAACAACGUCUACAAGAAGAAGGUUGUGUAGUAGACAUCAAGCACUUUUCUGACGCAGUUGCCGGGGAGGUUAGCGCUUGAAGGUAUAUCUUUAGAUCUUGCAAUCGAAUCUUUUUGUUUCUUGUUUUAGCACUAGUUUAGUUUAUAAAAGAAAAUUACAAAAAAAUGGAGUUAAGUUUGUCACAUACGCUUCACCUUUUUAAUAUCUUUCGUGAGUAUGAUGGAAAGGAUAAUUGUGCUCAAGUGCUAGAAGAAGAAAUCUCUAAAUUGUUUGGCACUAAAUAUUUGAAUGAUGAUCAUGAUUGCAAUGUUGUUAGUAUGAAUUCUUUGAAUAUCCAUGAUACUAAUGAUAUGCAAAGCAACAAGCUUGGGGAAGCUAUGUUUGACGAAGAUGAUAUUUUUUGUCCCCGAAGCUUUGAUGAGCAAAAUUACUAUGAUGAAAGCAUGCCUCCUAUCUAUGAUGAUUAUUGUGAUGACACGUAUGCUUUAAAGAAUAAUGAUAACCAUGAAACUUGUCAUCUUGAUCUUAAUUUUCAAUCAUAUGAUAGUUAUUUUGUUGAGUUUGCUCCCACUAUUAUUCACGAGAAGAAUCUUGCUUAUGUGGAGAGUAGUAAAUUUUCUAUGCUAGUAGAUCAUGAAAAGAAUGCUUUAGGUGCUGGUUAUAUUGUUGAAUUCAUUCAUGAUGCUACUGAAAAUUAUUAUGAUGGAGGAACAUAUGCUUGUAGGAGUUGCAGUAAUGUCAAGUUUCCUCUCUAUGUGCUUAAAAUUUUGAAGUUAUGCUUGUUUUACCUCCCUAUGCUAGUUGAUUAUUGUUCCCAUAAGUUGUUUGCUCACAAAAUCCCUAUGCAUAGGAAGUGGGUUAGGCUUAAAUGUGCUAGUCAUAUGCUUCAUGAUGCUCCCAUUAUGUUUCAAUUCGUAUCUUUUAUGUGAGCAUCAUUGUCAUCAUCAUGCCUAGCUAGAAAGGCAUUAAAGAAAAGCGCUUGUUGGGAGACAACCCAAUAUUUAUCCUUACUGUGUUUGUGUGUCCACAUGAUUAUGCUACUGUAGUAAUCAUGUUUUAUAGCUUUUGUUUCAAUAAAGUGCCAAGUAGAACCUUUGGGAAGACUUGGGUGAAGUUUAUGUGAUCUUGCUGUGAAAAACAGAAACUUUAGCGCUCACGAGAUUAGCUGCCAUUUUUUAUUGGAGAGUGAUUUUAGGCUGAUUCUUUUUUGAAGAUGAUUAAUAGACAAAUUUCUCAGGUCCAGAAAUUUAUUUCAUAAUUUUUGGGGUUCCAGAAGUAUACGUUUGAUACAGAUUACUACAGACUGUUCUGUUUUUGACAGAUUCUGUUUUCAUUGUGUUGUUUGCUUAUUUUGAUGCAUCUAUGGCUAGUAUUAAGUGGUAUGAACCAUAGAGAAGUUGGAAUACAGUAGGUUUUACACCAAUAUGAAUCUUGAAUGAGUUCAUUACAGUACCUAAGUGGUGGUUUUAUUUUCUUAUACUAACGGAGCUUACGAGUUUUGUGUUGAGUUUUGUGUGGUUGAAGUUUUCAAGUUUUGGGUAAGGAUUCGAUGGACUAUGGAAUAAGGAGUGGAAAGAGCCUAAGCUUGGGGAUGCCCAAGGCACCCCAAGGUAAUAUUCAAGGACAACCAAGAGCCUAAGCUUGGGGAUGCCCCGGAAGGCAUCCCCUCUUUCGUCUUCGUUCAUCGGUAACUUUACUUGGAGCUAUAUUUUUAUUCACCACAUGAUAUGUGUUUUGCUUGGAGUGUCAUUUUAUUUUGUUAGUUUUUGCUUGAUGUUAGUUAGAUUAAUGUUUUGCAUCUUUAGUUUCAAUAAAAAAAGUCAAGGAUAGCAUUUGCCAUGCUUAUUUUGCUAGUAUACAUGUUUCUGUUUGAAAACAGAAAGUUUACCGCUGUUGCAAAAUUUCUCUAGAAAAGUCAGAGAACGGUAUAACGUUGAAUAUUUUUGAAUAUUACGCUCUGAUAAAUUUACUACAGUGGGAAUUUUAGUUCAUAAUUUUUGGAGUCAGGGAAGUAUUGUUACUCUUGCAUUCUUUACAGACUGUACUGUUUUGGCAGAUUGCUGUUAUGUUUGCAUUGUUUGCAUCUAUUUGCUUGUUUAAUGAUUCUAUUUGAGGAUAGGAGUAUUAAAUAUACAGAGGAAUUUAGUAUUCAAUGUUGAAUAAUAAUGUUAGUAAUUUGUUACAGUGGAAGAUGAUAAGGUUUUGCAUUGGUUUAUACUAACCUAUCUCAGAAGUUCUUGUUGAGUUUGUUGUGAAUGAAGCUUUUGAUAAAAAGAGAAACCGUGACAUGAAAGGAAUUAAGGAGACACAAAAGCUCAAGCUUGGGGAUGUCCAAGGCACCCCAAGAUAAUAUUUCAAUAAGUCUGAAGCAUCUAAGCUUGGGGAUGCCCCGGUAGGCAUCCCACCUUUCUUCUUCAACAAUCAUCGGUUAGUAUCGGUUGAGCCUAAGUUUUUGCUUCUUCACAUGAGUUGUGCUAUCCUUGCAAUGUCAUUUAUUUUGCUUUGCUUGCUGUUUGAAUAAGAUAUGAAGAUCUGAAAUUCUUUAUUGAGAGAGAGUCUUCGCAUAGUUGCAUAAUUAUUUAGCUACUCAUUGAUCUUCACUUAUAUCUUUCGGAGUAGUUUUUGUUAUUGCUCAUAGUGCUUCACUUAUAUCUUUUGAGCGUGAUAAUUUUUGCUCUAGUACUCCACUUAGAUCUUUUAGAGCACAGUGGUGGAUUUGUUUUAAAGAAACUAUUGAUCUCUCAUGCUUCACUUAGAUUAUUUUGAGAGCCGUUAAUAGCACGAUAAUUUGCUUAAAGUUAAUAUACUUGGUAUUCAAGAUAUGUGAAACUUUCUUUUGAGUGAAUUGAAUACUAAGAUAAGUUUGAUGCUUGAUAAUUGUUUUGAGAUAUGGAGGUGAUAGUAUCAAAGUCGUGCUAGUUGGGUGAUUAUGAAUUUGAGAAAUGCUUGUGUUGAAGUUUGCAAGUCCCGUAGCAUGCACGUAUGGUUAAAGUUGUGUAACAAAUUUGAAACAUGAAGUGUACCUGGCUUGUGCAUCCUUAUGAGUGGCGGUCGGGGACGAGCGAUGGUCUUUUCCUACCAAUCUAUCCCCCUAGGAGCAUGCGCGUAAUACUUGAUUUUUGAUGACUUCUAAAUUUUUACAAUAAGUAUAUGAGUUCUUUUGACUAAUGUUGAGUCCAUGGAUUAUACGCACUCUCACCUUUCCGCCUUUGCUAGCCUCUCUAAUACCGCGCACUUUUCGCCGGUAUCAUACACCCACCAUAUACCUUCCUAAAAACAGCCACCAUACCUACCUAUUAUAGCAUUUCCAUAGCCAUUCCGAGAUAUAUUGCCAUGCAACUUUCCACCAUUCCGUUUAUUAUGACACGCUCCAUCAUUGUCAUAUUGCUUUUUUGCAUGAACAUGUAGUUGACAUUGUAUUUGUGGCAAGGCCACCUUCAUAAUUUUCAUACAUGUCGCUCUUGAUUCAUUGCAUAUCCCGGUACACCGCCGGAGGCAUUCAUAUAGAGUCAUAUUUGUUCUAAGUAUCGAGUUGUAAUUGUUGAGUUAUAAGAAAAAUAAAAGUGUGAUGAUCAUCACUACUAGAGCAUUGUCCCAGUGAGGAAAGGAUGAUGGAGACUAUGAUUCCCCCAUAAGUCGGGAUGAGACUCCGGACGAAAAAAAAGAGUGGCCAUAAAGAAAAGAAGAGAAAAGGCCCAAAUAAAAAAAUGAUGAGAGAAAAAGAGAGAAGGGACAAUGCUACUAUCCUUUUACCACACUUGUGCUUCAAAGUAGCACCAUGAUCUUCAUAAUGGAGAGUCUCAUAUGUUGUCACUUUCAUAUACUAGUGGGAAUUUUUCAUUAUAGAACUUGGCUUGUAUAUUACAAUGAUGGGCUUCCUCAAAAGUGCCAGAGGUCUUCGUGAGCAAGCAAGUUGGAUGCACACCCACUUAGUUUCUUUUGCUGAGCUUUCAUAUACUUAUAGCUCUAGUGCAUCCGUUGCAUGGCAAUCCCUACUCACUCACAUUGAUAUCUAUUGAUGGGCAUCUCCAUAGCCUGUUGAUACGCCUAGUUGAUGUGAGACUAUCUUCUUCUUUUUGUCUUCUCCACACAAUCCCCAUCAUCAUAUUCUAUUCCACCCAUAGUGCUAUAUCCAUGGCUCACGCUCAUGUAUUGCGUGAAGGUUGAAAAAGUUUGAGAUUAUUUAAGUAUGAAACAAUUGCUUGGCUUGUCAUCGGGGGUAUAGAAGUUGGGAACAACUUUGUGUGAUGAAGAUGGAGCAUAGUCAGACUAUAUGAUUUUGUAGGGACAACUUUCUUUGGCCAUGUUAUUUUGAGAAGACAUAAUUGCUUAGUUAGUAUGCUUGAAGUAUUAUUAUUUUUAUGUCAAUAUGAACUUUUGUCUUGAAUCUUUCGGAUCUGAAUAUUCAUGCUACAAUUAAGAAGAUUUACAUUGAAAUUAUGCCAAAGUAUCACUCCACAUCAAAAAUUCUCUUUUUAUCAUCUACCUACUCGAGGACGAGCAGGAAUUAAGCUUGGGGAUGCUUGAUACAUCUCCAAUGUAUCUAUAAUUUUUGAUUGCUCCAUGCUACUUUAUCUACUGUUUUAGGCAAUAUUGGGCUUUAUCAUCCACUUUUAUAUUAUUUUUGGGACUAACCUAUUAACCGGAGGCCCAGCCCAGAUUUGCUGUUUUAUGCCUAUUUCAGUGUUACAAGGAAAAGGAAUAUCAGACGAAGUCAAAACGGAACAAAAUCAACUAGAGAAGUUAUUUUUGGAAGGAAACCCACCUGAUGGACUUGGAGUGCACGUCAGGGGAGUCUCGGGCUGCCCACGAGGGUGGGGGGUGCGCCACCCCCUGGGCGCGCCCCCUGCCUCAUGAGCACCCCGGAGGUCCACCGACGUACCCCUUGCACCCAUAUAUACCCACGUACCCUAAAACUUCCAGAAGACAAGAUAGAUCGGGAGUUCCGCUUCCGCAAGCCUCUGUAGCCACCAAAAACCACUCGGGAGCCUGUUCUGGCACCCUGCCAGAGGGGGAACCCAUCACCGGUGGCCAUCUUCAUCAUCCCGGCGCUAUCCAUGACGAGGAGGGAGUAGUUCACCCUCGGGGCUGAGGGUAUGUACCAGUAGCUAUGUGUUUGAUCUCUCUCUCUCUCUCGUGUUCUCUCUCGUGUUCCCUCUAUGGCACGAUCUUGAUGUAUCCCGAGCUUUGCUAUUGUAGUUGGAUCUUAUGAUGUUUCUGUUUGAAAUAUGCCCUAGAGGCAAUAAUAAAUUAAUUAUUAUUAUAUUUCCUUGUUCAUGAUAAUCGUUUAUUAUCCAUGCUAUAAUUGUAUUAACAGGAAACUCAGAUACAUGUGUGGGUACAUAGACAACACCAUGUCCCUAGUAAGCCUCUAGUUGACUAGCUCGUUGAUCAAUAGAUGGUUACGGUUUCCUGACCAUGGACAUUGGAUGUCGUUGAUAACGGGAUCACAUCAUUAGGAGAAUGAUGUGAUGGACAAGACCCAAUCCUAAGCCUAGCACAGAGAUCGUGUAGUUCGUAUGCUAAAGCUUUUCUAAUGUCAAGUAUCUUUUCCUUAGACCAUGAGAUUGUGAAACUCCCGGAUACCGUAGGAAUGCUUUGGGUGUACCAAACGUCACAACGUAACUGGGUGGCUAUAAAGGUGCACUACAGGUAUCUCUGAAAGUGUCUGUUGGGUUGGCACGAAUCGAGACUGGGAUUUGUCACUCCGUGUGACGGAGAGGUAUCUCUGGGCCCACUCGGUAGGACAUCAUCAUAAUGUGCACAAUGUGAUCAAAGUGUUGAUCGCGGGAUGAUGUGUUACGAAACGAGUAAAGAGACUUGCCGGUAACGAGAUUGAACAAGGUAUCGGUAUACCGACGAUCGAAUCUCAGGCAAGUACAAUACCGUUAGACAAAGGGAAUUGUAUACGGGAUCGAUUGAGUCCUUGACAUCGUGGUUCAUCCGAUGAGAUCAUCGUGGAACAUGUGGGAGCCAACAUGGGUAUCCAGAUCCCGCUGUUGGUUAUUGACCGGAGAACGUCUCGGUCAUGUCUGCAUGGUUCCCGAACCCGUAGGGUCUACACACUUAAGGUUCGAUCACGCUAGGGUUAUAAAGGAAGUUUGUAUGUGGUUACCAAAUGUUGUUCGGAUUCCCGGAUGAUAUCCCGGACGUCACGAGGAGUUCCGAAAUGGUCCGGAGGUAAAGAUUUAUAUAUGGGAAGUCCUGUUUUGGUCACUGGAAAAGUUUUGGGUUUUAUCGGUAAUGUACCGGGACCACCGGGAGGGUCCCGGGGGUCCACCAAGUGGGGACACCAACCCCGGAGGGCUGCUCGUUCCGUAAUACAUCAUCUCACAACUAACAUAUUAGUUGCAGUGCUUGCAAGGCUUAUGUGAUGUGCAUUACCGAGAGGGCCCAGAGAUACCUCUCCGACAAUCGGAGUGACAAAUCCUAAUCUUGAAAUACGCCAACCCAACAUCGACCAUUGGAGACACCUGUAGUACUCCUUUAUAAUCACCCAUUUACGUUGUGACGUUUGGUAAUACCCAAAGUGUUCCUCCGGUAAACGGGAGUUGCAUAAUCUCAUAGUCAUAGGAACAUGUAUAAGUCAUGAAGAAAGCAAUAGCAACAUACUAAACGAUCAGGUGCUAAGCUAAUGGAAUGGGUCAUGUCAAUCAGAUCAUUCUACUAAUGAUGUGACCUCGUUAAUCAAAUAACAACUCAUUGUUCAUGGUUAGGAAACAUAACCAUCUUUGAUUAACGAGCUAGUCAAGUAGAGGCAUACUAGUGACACUCUGUUUGUCUAUGUAUUCACACAUGUAUUAUGUUUCCGGUUAAUACAAUUCUAGCAUGAAUAAUAAACAUUUAUCAUGAUAUAAGGAAAUAAAUAAUAACUUUAUUAUUGCCUCUAGGGCAUAUUUCCUUCAGUCUCCCACUUGCACUAGAGUCAAUAAUCUAGUUCACAUCGCCAUGUGAUUUAACAGCAAUAGUUCAUAUCACCAUGUGAUUAACACCCAUAGUUCACAUCGCUAUGUAACCAACACCCAAAGGGUUUACUAGAUUCAGUAAUCUAGUUUACAUCGCUAUGUGAUUAAAACCCAAAGAGUACUAAGGUGUGAUCAUGUUUUGCUCGUGAGAGAAGCUUAGUCAACGGGUCUGUCAUAUUCAGAGCCGUAUGUAUUUUGCAAAUAUCCUAUGUCUACAAUGCUCUGUGCGGAGCUACUCUAGCUAAUUGCUCCCACUUUCAAUAUGUAUCCAGAUUGAGACUUAGAGUCAUCUGGAUCAGUGUAAAAGUUUGCACUGAUGUAACUUUUACAACAAACUCUUUUAUCACCUCCAUAAUCGAGAAACAUCUCCUUAGUCCUUACUAAGGAUAUUCUUGACCAAUGUCCAGUGAUCUACUCCUAGAUCACUAUUGUACUCCCUUGCCAAAUACAGAGCAAGGUAUACAAUAGGUCUGGUACAUAGCAUAGCAUACUUUAUAGAACCUAUGACUGAGGCAUAGGGAAUGACUUUUCAUUCUCUUUCUAUUUUCUGCUGUGAUCGGGAUUUGAGUCUUACUCAAUUUCAUACCUUUGCAACACAGGCAAGAACUCUUUCUUUAACUGUUCCAUUUUGAACUAUUUCAAAAUCUUGCCAAGGUAUGUAGUCAUUGAAAAUCUUAUCAAGUGUCUUGAUCUAUCUCAAUAGAUCUUGAUUCUCAAUAUAUAAGUAGCUUUUACUGAGGUCUUUUCUUGAAAAACUUUUAUUCAAGUAUCCCUUUAUGCUAUCCAGAAAUUCUAUAUCAUUUCCAAUCAAUAAUAUGUCAUCCACAUAUAAUAUCAGAAAUGCUACAGAGCUCCCACUCACUUUCUUGUAAAUACAGGCUUCUCCAAAAGUCUGUAUAAAACCAAAUGCUUUGAUCACACUAUCAAAACGUUUAUUCCAACUCUGAGAGGCUUACACCAGUCCAUAAAUGGAUCGCUGGAGCUUGCACACUUUGUUAGCUCCCUUUGGAUUGACAAAACCUUCUGGUUGCAUCAUAUACAACUCUUCUUUAAUAAAUCCAUUAAGGAAUGCAAUUUUGUUUAUCCAUUUGCCAGAUUUCAUAAAAUGCGGCAAUUGCUAACAUGAUUCGGACAGACUUUUAAGCAUCGAUACGAGCAAGAAAAUCUCAUCGUAUUCAACACCUUGAACUUUGUCAAAAACCUUUUUCGACAAGUCUAGCUUUGUAGAUAGUAACACUUCUAUCAACGUCUGUCUUCCUCUUGAAGAUCCAUUUAUUCUUAAUGACUCACCGAUCAUCGGGCAAGUCAAUCAAAGUCUACACUUUGUUCUCAUACAUGGAUCAUAUCUCAGAUUUCAUGGCUUCUAGCCACUUUGCGGAAUCUGGGCUCACCAUCGCUUCUUCAUAGUUCGUAGGUUCAUCAUGAUCUAGUAGCAUGACCUCCAGAAUAGGAUUACCGUACCACUCUGGUGCGGAUCUUACUCUGGUUGAUCUACGAAGUUCAGUAGUAUCUUGAUCUGAAGUUUCAUGAUCAUUAUCAUUGGCUUCCUCACUGACUGGUGUAGAUGUCACUGAAACAGUUUUCUGUGAUGAACUACUUUCUAGUAAGGGAGCAGGUACAGUUACCUCGUCAAGUUCUACUUUCCUCCCACUCACUUCUUUCGAGAGAAACUCCUUCUCCAGAAAGUUUCCGAAUUUAGCAACAAAAGUCUUGCCUUUCGGAUCUGUGAUAGAAGGUGUAUCCAAUAGUUUCCUUUGGAUAUCCUAUGAAGACGCACUUCUCCGAUUUGAGUUUGAGCUUAUCAGGAUGAAACUUUUUCAUAUAAGCAUCGCAACCCCAAAUUUAAGAAACGACAACUUUGGUUUCUUGCUAAACCACAGUUCAUAAGGCGUCGUCUCAACGGAUUUUGAUGGUGCCCUAUUUUAAAACGUGAAUGCAGCUGUCUCUAAUGCAUAACCCCAAAACGAUAGUGGUAAAGAGAUAUCAUAGAUCGCACCAUAUCAAAUAAAGUGCGGUUACGACGUUCGGACACACCAUAACGAUGUGGUGUUCCAGGUGGCGUGAGCUGUGAAACUAUUCCACAUUGUUUUAAUUGAAGACCAAACUCGUAACUCAAAUAUUUGUCUCCGCGAUCAGAUCGCAGAAACUUUAUUUUCUUGUUACGAUGAUUUUUCCACUUCACUCUGAAAUUCUUUGAACCUUUCAACUAUUUCAGACUUAUGUUUCAUCAAGUAGAUAUACCCAUAUCUGCUCAAAUCAUCUUGUGAAGGUCAGAAAACAACGAUGCUUGCCACGAGCAACAGCACUCAUUGGAUCGCAUACAUCGGUAUGUAUUAUUUCCAACAAGUCAGUAACUCGUUCCAUUGUUCCGAAGAACGGAGUUUUAGUCAUCUUACCCAAAAGGCACGGUUCGCAAGCAUCAAAUGAUUCAUAACCAAGUGAUUCCGAAAAUCCAUCUUUAUGGAGUUUCUUCAUGCGCUUUACACCGAUAUGACCCAAACGGCAGUGCCACAAAUAAGUUGCACUAUCAUUAUUAACUUUGCAUCUUUUGGCAUCAAUAUUAUGAAUAUGUGUAUCACUACGAUCGAGAUCCAAUGAACCAUUUUCAUUGGGUGUGUAACCAUAUAAGGUUUUAUUCAUGUAAAUAGAACAACAGUUUAUUCUCUUACUUAAAUGAAUAACCGUAUUGCAAUAAACAUGAUCAAAUCAUAUUCAUGCUCAACGCAAACACCAAAUAACAUUUAUUUAGGUUCAACACUAAUCCCGAAAGAAUAGGGAGUGUGCGAUGAUGAUCAUAUCAAUCUUGAAACUACUUUCAACACACAUCAUCACUUCACCCUUAACUAGUUUCUGUUUAUUCUGCAACUCCCGUUUCGAGUUACUACUCUUAGCAACUGAACCAGUACCAAAUACCGAGGGGUUGCUAUAAACACUAGUAAAGCACACAUCAAACACUUGUAUAUCAAAUAUACCCUUUUUCACUUUGCCAUCCUUCUUAUCCACCAAAUAUUUAGGGUAGUUCUGCUUCCAGUGACCAUUUCCUUUGCAGUGUAAGCACUCAGUUUCAGGCUUUGGUUCAGCUUUGGGCUUCUUCGUGGGAGUGACAACUUGCUUGUCAAUCUACUUGAAGUUCCCCUUUCUUUCCCUUUGCCCUUUUCUUGAAACUAGUGAUCUUGUCAACCAUCAACACUUGAUGCUCUUUCUUGAUUUCUACCUUCGUUGAUUUCAACAUCACGAAGAGCUCGGGAAUCAUUUUCAUCAUCCCUUGCAUACUAUAGUUCAUCACGAAGUUCUACUAACUUGGUGAUGGUGACUAGAGAAUUCUGUCAAUCACUAUCUUAUCUGGAAGAUUAACUCCCACUGAAUUCAAGCGAUUGAAGUACCCAGACAAUCUGAGCACAUGCUCACUAGUUGAGCGAUUCUCGUCCAUCUUUUAGCUAUAGAACUUGUUGGAGACUUCAUAUCUCUCAACUCGGGUAUUUGCUUGAAAUAUUAACUUCAAUUCCUGGAACAUCUCAUAUGGUCCAUGACGUUCAAAACGUCUUUGAAGUCCCGAUUCUAAGCCGUUAAGCAUGGUGCACUAAACUAUCAAGUAGUCAUCAUAUUGAGCUAGCCAGACGUUCAUAACUUCUGCAUCUGCUCCUGCAAUAGGUCUGUCACCUAGCGGUGCAUUAAGGACAUAAUUCUUCUGUGCAGCAAUGAGGAUUUAACCUCAGAUCACGGAUCAAAUCCGCAACAUUGCUACUAACAUUUUUCAACACAAUUUUCUCUAGGAACAUAUCAAAAUAAACACAGGGAAGCAACAACGCGAGCUAUUGAUCUACAACAUGAUUUGCAAAAUACUACCAGGACUAAGUUCAUGAUAAAUUUAAGUUCAAUUUAAUUAUAUAACUUAAGAACUCCCACUUAGAUAGACAUCCCUCUAAUCCUCUAAGUGAUCACGCGAUCCAAAUCAACUAAACCAUGUCCGAUCAUCACGUGAGAUGGAGUAGUUUCAUCGGUGAACAUCAUUAUGUUGAUCAUAUCUACUAUAUGAUUCACGCUCGACCUUUCGGUCUCCGUGUUCCGAGGCCAUAUCUGCAUAUGCUAGGCUCGUCAAGUUUAACCUGAGUAUUCUGCGUGCGCAACUGUUUUGCACCCGUUGUAUUUGAACGUAGAGCCUAUCACACCCGAUCAUCACGUGGUGUCUCAGCACGAAGAACUUUUGCAACGGUGCAUACUCAGGGAGAACACUUCUUGAUAAUUUAGUGAGAGAUCAUCUUAUAAUGCUACCGUCAAUCAAAGCAAGAUAAGAUGCAUAAAAAGAUAAACAUCACAUGCAAUCAAUAUAAGUGAUAUGAUAUGGCCAUCAUUAUCUUGUGCUUGUGAUCUCCAUCUCUGAAGCACCGUCAUGAUCACCAUCGUCACCGGCGCGACACCUUGAUCUCCAUCGUAGCAUCGUUGUCGUCUCGCCAAUCUUAUGCUUCCACGACUAUCACUACCGUUUAGUAAUAAAGUAAAGCAUUACAUCGCGAUUGCAUUGCAUACAAUAAAGCGACAACCAUAUGGCUCCUGCCAGUUGUCGAUAACUUGGUUACAAAACAUGAUCAUCUCAUACAAUAAAAUUCAGCAUCAUGCCUUGACCAUAUCACAUCACAACAUGCCCUGCAAAAACAAGUUAGACGUCCUCUACUUUGUUGUUGCAUGUUUUACGUGGCUGCUACGGGCUUAAGUAAGAACCAAUCUCACCUACGCAUCAAAACCACAACGAUAGUUUGUCAAAUAGACUCCGUUUUAACCUUCGCAAGGACCGGGCGUAGCCAUACUUGGUUCAACUAAAGUUGGAGAGGCAGUCGCCCGCAAGCCAUCUCUGUGCAAAGCACGUCGAGGGAACCGGUCUCGCGUAAGCGUACGCGUAAGGUUGGUCCGGGUCGUCUCGUCCAACAAUACCGCCAAACCAAAGUAUGACAUGCUGGUAGGCAGUAUGACUUGUAUCGUCCACAACUCACUUGUGUUCUACUCGUGCAUAUAACAUCAACAUAAAUAACCUAGGCUCUGAUACCACUGUUGGGUUUCGUGGAAAUUUCAAAAAAUUUCCUACGCGCACACAGGAUCAUGUGAUGCAUAGCAACGAGGGGAGAGUGUUGUCUACGUACCCAACGCAGACCGACUGCGGAAGCGAUGACACGACGUAGAGGAAGUAGUCGUACGUCUUCACGAUCCAACCGAUCAAGCACCGAAACUACGGCACCUCCGAGUUCGAGCACACGUUCAGCUCGAUGACGAUCCCCGGACUCCGAUCCAGCAAAGUGUCGGGGAAGAGUUCCGUUAGCACAACGGCGUGGUGACGAUCUUGAUGAACUACAGCAGCAGGGCUUCGCCUAAACUCCGCUACAGUAUUAUCGAGGAAUAUGGUGGCAGGGGGCACCGCACACGGCUAAGGAAUCGAUCACGUGGAUCAACUUGUGUCAACUUGUGUGUUUAGAGGUGCCCCUGCCUCCGUAUAUAAAGGAUGGAGGAGGAGGAGGCCGGCCAAGGCAAAGGUGCGGCCAGGAUAGGGAGUCCUACUAGGACUCCAAGUCCUAGUAGGAGUCCACCAAGAGGGGAGGAAGGGAGAAGGAAUAGGAGGAGAAGGAGAGGUGGCCGGCCCCUUUUUCCCUAGUCCAAUUCGGACCAAAGGGGAGGGGGGGCGCAGCAGCCUUUUUCCUCUUCCCACUAAAGCCCAUCAAGGCCCAUUACUUCUCCCGUAACUACCCGGUACUCCGAAAAAUACCCGAAUCACUCGGAACCUUUCCGAUGUCCGAAUAUAGUCGUCCAGUAUAUCGAUCUUUACGUCUCGACCAUUUCGAGACUCCUCGUCAUGUCCCCGAUCUCAUCCGGGACUCCGAACUCCUUCGGUACAUCAAAAUGCAUAAACUCAUAAUAUAACUGUCAUCGUAACCUUAAGCGUGCGGACCCUACGGGUUCGAGAACAAUGUAGACAUGACCGAGACAUGUCUCCGGUCAAUAACCAAUAGCGGGACCUGGAUGCCCAUAUUGGCUCCUACAUAUUCUACGAAGAUCUUUAUCGGUCAGACCGCAUAACAACAUACGUUGUUCCCUUUGUCAUCGGUAUGUUACUUGCCCGAGAUUUGAUCGUCGGUAUCCAAUACCUAGUUCAAUCUCGUUACCGGCAAGUCUCUUUAAUCGUUCCGUAAUACAUCAUCUCACAACUAACAUAUUAGUUGCAGUGCUUGCAAGGCUUAUGUGAUGUGCAUUACCGAGAGGGCCCAGAGAUACCUCUCCGACAAUCGGAGUGACAAAUCCUAAUCUCGAAAUACGCCAACCCAACAUCGACCAUUGGAGACACCUGUAGUACUCCUUUAUAAUCACCCAUUUACGUUGUGACGUUUGGUAGUACCCAAAGUGUUCCUCCGGUAAACGGGAGUUGCAUAAUCUCAUAGUCAUAGGAACAUGUAUAAGUCAUGAAGAAAGCAAUAGCAACAUACUAAACGAUCAGGUGCUAAGCUAAUGGAAUGGGUCAUGUCAAUCAGAUCAUUCUACUAAUGAUGUGACCUCGUUAAUCAAAUAACAACUCAUUGUUCAUGGUUAGGAAACAUAACCAUCUUUGAUUAACGAGCUAGUCAAGUAGAGGCAUACUAGUGACACUCUGUUUGUCUAUGUAUUCACACAUGUAUUAUGUUUCCGGUUAAUACAAUUCUAGCAUGAAUAAUAAACAUUUAUCAUGAUAUAAGGAAAUAAAUAAUAACUUUAUUAUUGCCUCUAGGGAAUAUUUCCUUCAAGAUCUUGGUGACACGUAGGAAAAUUUUGAAUUUCUGCUACGUUCCCCAACAGUGGUAUCAGAGCCAGGUCUAUUGCGUAGAUUCUUUGCACGAGUAGAACACAAAGUAGUUGUGGGCGUUGAUUUUGUUCAAUAUGCUUAUCGUUACUAGUCCAAUCUUGUUUCGACGAUAUUGUGGGAUGAAGCGGCCCGGACCGACCUUACACGUACUCUUACGUGAGAUAGGUUCCACCGACUGACAUGCACUUGGUGCAUAAGGUGGCUAGCGGGUGCCAGUCUCUCCCACUUUAGUUGGAACGGAUUGAUGAAAAGGGUCCUUAUGAAGGGUAAAUAGCAAUUGGCAUAUCACGUUGUGGUUUUGCGUAGGUAAGAAACGUUCUUGCUAGAAACCCAUAGCAGCCACGUAAAACAUGCAAACAACAAUUAGAGGACGUCUAACUUGUUUUUGUAGGGUAUGCUAUGUGAUGUGAUAUGGCCAAGAAGAAUGUGAUGAAUGAUAUGUGAUGUAUGAGAUUGAUCAUGUUCUUGUAAUAGGAAUCACGACUUGCAUGUCGAUGAAUAUGACAACCGGUAGGAGCCAUAGGAGUUGUCUUUAUUUAUUGUAUGACCUGCGUGUCAUUGAACAACGCCAUGUAAUUACUUUACUUUAUUGCUAACCGGUAGCCAUAGUAGUAGAAGUAAUUAGUUGGCAAGAAAACUUCAUGAAGACACGAUGAUGGAGAUCAUGAUGAUGGAGAUCAUGGUGUCAUGCCGGUGACGAUGAUGAUCAUGGAGCCCCGAAGAUGGAGAUCAAAAGGAGCAAAAUGUUAUUGGCCAUAUCAUGUCACUAUUUGAUUGCAUGUGAUGUUUAUCAUGUUUAUGCAUCUUAUUUGCUUAGAACGACGAUAGUAAAUAAGAUGAUCCCUCAUUAAAAUUUCAAGAAAGUGUCCCCCCUAACUAUGCACCAUUGCGAAAGUUAGUCAUUUCGAAGCACCACGUGAUGAUCGGGUGUGAUAGAUUCUUACGUUCACAUACAACGGGUGUAAGCCAGAUUUACACACGCGAAACACUUAGGUUAACUUGACGAGCCUAGCAUGUACAGACAUGGCCUCGGAACACAAGAGACCGAAAGGUCGAGCAUGAGUCGUAUAGUAGAUACGAUCAACAUGAAGAUGUUCACCGAUGAUGACUAGUCCGUCUCACGUGAUGAUCGGACACGGCCUAGUUGACUCGGAUCAUGUAAUCACUUAGAUGACUAGAGGGAUGUCUAUCUGAGUGGGAGUUCAUGAGAUGAACUUAAUUAUCCUGAACAUAGUCAAAAGAUCUUUGCAAAUUAUGUCGUAAGCUCGCGCUUUAGUUCCACUGUUUAGAUAUGUUCCUAGAGAAAAUAUAGUUGAAAGUUGACAGUAGCGAUUAUGCGAUCAGUAGAAAGAUAUGUCCUUAAUGCACCGCUCAAUGUGCAGAACCCCAAAACGUCGUCUGUGGAUGUUGCAAACAUCGAACAUACACGUUUUGAUAACUACGUGAUAGUUCAGUUAAACGGUUUAGAGUAGAGGCACCAAAGACGUUUUCAAAAUGUCGCGGAACAUAUGAGAUGUUUCGAGGGCUGAAAUUGGGAUUUCAGGCUCGUGCCCACGUCAAGAGGUAUGAGACCUCCGACGAAUUUCUUAGCCUACAAACUAAGGGAGAAAGCUCAAUUGAUGAGCUUGUGCUCAGAUUGUCUGAGUGCAAUAAUCACUUGAAUCGAGUGGGAGUUGAUCUUCCAGAUGAGAUAGUGAUGUUUCUCCAAAGUCAUUGCCACCAAGCUGCUAGAGCUUCGUGAUGAACUAUAACAUAUCAGGGAUACAUAUGAUGAUCCUUGAGGUAUUCACGAUGUUUGACACCGCGAAAGUAGAAAUCAAGAAGGACCAUCAAUUGUUGAUGGUUGGUGAAACCACUAGUUUCAAGAAGGUCAAGGGCAAGAAGGGAUACUUCAUGAAAUGGCAAAUAAGUUGCUGCUCUAGUGAAGAAACCCAAGGUUGAACCCAAACCCGAGACUAAGUGCUUCUGUAAUAAGGGGAACAACCACUGGAGCAGCAUUACCCUAGAUACUUGGUAGAUGAGAAGGCUGGCAAGGUCGAUAGAAGUAUAUUGGAUAUACAUUAUGUUAAGGUGUACUUUACUAUUACUCCUAGUAGCACCAGGGUAUUAAGAUACCGGUUCGGUUGCUAAGUGUUAGUAACUUGAAAUAAAAUAGCUACGGAAUAAACGGAGACUAGCUAAAGGAGAGCUGACGAUAUGUGUUGGAAGUGUUUCCAAUUUUGAUGUGAUCAAACAUCGCACGCUCCCUCUACCAUCAAGAUUAGUAUUAAACCUGAAUAAUUGUCAUUUGGUGUUUGCGUUGAGCAUAGACAUGAUUGGAUUAUGUCUAUCGCAAUACGGUUAUUCAUUUAAGGAGAAUAAUGGUUACUCUGUUUAUUUGAAUAAUACCUUCAAUGGUAUUGCACCUAAUAGGAAUGGUUUAUUGAAUCUCGAUCGUAGUGAUACACAUUUUCAUGCCAAAAGAUAUAAGAUAGUAAUGAUAGUACCACUUACUUGUGGCACUGCCAUGUAAGUCAUAUUGGUGUAAAACGCAUGAAGGAGCUCCAUGUUGAUGGAUCUUUGGACUCACUCAUUUUUGAAAAGUUUGAGACAUGCAAACCAUGUCUAUUGGUGUAUACGCAUGAAGAAACUCCAUGCAGAUGGAUUGUUUGGACUCACUUGAUUUUGAAUCACUUGAGAUAUGCAAAUCAUACCACAUGGCCAAGAUGACUGAAAAGCCUCGUUUUCAGUAAGAUGGAACAAGAUAGCAACUUGUUGGAAGUAACACAUUUUGAUGUGUGUAGUCCAAUGAGUGCUGAGGCAUGCAGUGAAUAUCAUUAUGUUCUUACUUCACAGAUGAUUCGAGUAGAUGUUGAGUAUAUUUACUUGAUGAAACAGAAGUCUGAAUUAUUGAAUGGUUCAAGUAAUUUCAGAGUGAAGUUGAAGGUCAUUGUGACAAGAGGAUAAAAUGUCUAUGAUAUGAUCAUAGAGAUGAGUAUCUGAGUUACGAGCUUUGGCACACAAUUAAGACAUUGUGGAAAUUGUUUCACAAUUAAUACCGCCUGGAACACCAUAGUGUGAUGGUGUGUCCGAACAUCAUAGUUGCACCCUAUUGGAUAUGGUGCGUACCAUGAUGUCUCUUAUCGAAUUACCACUAUCGUUCAUGGGUUAGGCAUUAGAGACAACCACACUCACUUUAAUAGGGCACCACGUAAUUCCGUUGAGACGACACCGUUUGAACUAUGGUUUGGAGAAACCUAAGUUGUUGUUUCUUGAAAGUUUGGGGCUGCGACGCUUAUGUGAAAAGGUUUCAUCGUUAUAAGCUCGAACUCAAAACGGAUAAAUACAUCUUCAUAGGAUACCCAAAAUGGUUGGGUAUACCUCCUAUCUCAAAUCCGGAAGCAAAAGUAAUUGUUUCUAGAAAUGGGUCCUUUCUCGGGGAAAAGUUUCUCUCGAAAGAAUUGAGUGGGAGGAUGGUGGAGACUUGAUGAGGUUAUUGAACCAUCACUUCAACCAGUGUGUAGCAGGGCACAGAAAGUUGUUCAUGUGGCACCUACACCAAUUGAAGUAGAAGCUUAUGAUAGUGAUCAUGAAGUUUUGGAUCAAGUCACUACCGCACCUCGUAGGGUGACAGGGAUGUGUACUACUUCAGAGUGGUACAGUAAUCCUGUCUUAGAGGUCAUGUUGCUAGACAACAAUGAACCUACGAGCUAUGGAGAAGCGAUGGUGGGCCUGGAUUCCGACAAAUGGCUAGAGGCCAUAAAAUCCGAGAGAGGAUCCAUGACUUUGGAAGAAAUACUUGAUGGUCGUAAGGCCGUUGGGUAAAGAUGGAUUUUAAAAGGAAGACAGACAAUGAUGGUAAGAAUCACCAUUAAGAAAGCUCGACUUGUCGUUAAGAUGUUUUCCGACAAGUUCAAGGAGUUGACUACGAUGAGAUUUUCUCAUCCGUAGCGAUGCUUAAGUCCGUCGGAAUCAUGUUAGCAUUAGCUGCAUUUAUGAAAUCUGGCAGAUGGAUGUCAAGACGAGUUUCCUUACCAGUUUUCGUAAGGAAAGGUUGUAUGUGAUACAAUCAGAAAAGUUCUGUCGAUCCUAAGGAUGCUAAAAGGUAUGCUCGCUCCAGCGAUCCUUCUAAGGACUGGAGUAAGCAUCUCGGAGUUGGAAUGUGCGCUUUGAUGAGAUGAUCAAAGAUUUUGGGUUUAUACAAAGUUCAUGAGAAACUUGUAUUUCCAAAGAAGUGAGUGGGAGCACUAUAGAAUUUCUGAUGAGUAUAUGUUGUUGACGUAUUGUUGAUCAGAAAUGAUGUAGAAUUUCUGGAAAGCAUAUAGGGUUAUUUGAAAGGUGUUUUUCAAUAGAAAACCUGGAUUAAGCUACUUGAACAUUGAGCAUCAAGAUCUAUGAGGAUAGAUCAAAAAAUGCUAAAUGGUACUUUCAAAUGAGCACAUACCUUGACGUGAUCUUGGAGGUGUUCAUGAUGGAUCAGUCAAAGAAGGAGUUCUUGCCUGAGAUGUGAGGUACGAAGUUAAGACUUAAAGCUCGACCACGGCAGAAUAGAGAGAAAGGACGAAGGUCGUCCCCUAUGCUUUAGACGUAGGCUCUACAGUAUGCUAUGCUGUGUACCGCACCUGAUGUGUGCCUUGCUACAUAUUUGGCAAGAGGGUACAAAGGUGAUCAAGGAGUGGAUCACCAGAUAGCGGUCAAAAUUAUCCUUAGAGUAAUAAGGAUAUGUUUCUCGAUUAUGGAGGUGAUAAAGAGUUCGACGUAAAGGGUUACGUCGAUGCAAGCUUUAACACCUAUUCGAAUGACUUUGAGUAGCAAACUGGAUACGUAUAGUGGAGCAACCAUUUGGAAUAGCUCCAAGUGGAGCGUGGAAGCAACAUUUACAAUAUGACCUAAAGAUUUGCGAAGUACAUACGAAUCUAAAUGUUGCAGACCCAUUGACAAAAACCUCUCUCACAAGCAAAACAUGAUCAAACCCCAGAACUCAUUGAGUCUUAAUCACAUGGUGAUGUGAACUAGUUUAGUGACACUAGUAAACUCUUUGGAUGUUGGUCACAUGGCGAUGUGACCUGAGUGUUAAUCACAUGGCGAUGUGAACUAGAUUAUUGACUCUAGUGCAAGUGGGAGACUGUUGGAAAUAUGCCCUAGAGGCAAUAAUAAAUUAGUUAUUAUUAUAUUUCCUUGUUCAUGAUAAUCGUUUAUUAUCCUACCUAAAGAACGUCCGUUCAAGAGAAGAACUCCAUUUGCGAAAAAGAAGGGCAAGAAGAUUGUGAAAAGAUAGCUAGCUAAGAUCGAUUGUAUUUAAAUUGUAGUCUUCAUUUCUCGAUUGUAUUCCGACAUAUGGAAAUGACAUUUUUUCUGUUCUAGUCCUCAUGAAUAUUUAUUUAUGUUUAUUCUGGUAUACCAAUUUUUAUUUAUGUUUAUUCUGGUAUUGAAUUUCUAAAUCACAAAAAGUAUUGAAUUUGUUAAUAUUUUUGAACUCAUGAAUAUUUUUAAAUUUCAUGGGCACUUUUUGAAUUCAUGAAUAUUUUUUCAAAUUUGAUGAUAUUUUUUCAUAUUCAUAAAUGUUUUACCAAUUCACAAAUGAAUGCAACUAAAAACCCAAAAUAAGUUACUAAUGGCACACCACGAGAAGGUGCGCCAUUGCUAUCAAGGUACUUAUGGCGCACCCCUAGCAGGUGCGCCAUUGGUAUACCAAUUUUUAUUUAGGUUUAUUCUGGUAUUGAAUUUCUAAAUCACAAAAAGUAUUGAAUUUGUUAAUAUUUUUUGAACUCAUGAAUAUUUUAAAAUUUCAUGGGCACUUUUUGAAUUCAUGAAUAUUUUUUCAAAUUUGAUGAUAUUUUUUCAUAUCCAUAAAUGUUUUCUAAAAAAUUAUUAGAUGCAACUAAAAAUCCAAAAAAUAUAUUUUCAAAUAACAAAUUUGAUGAUAACUUUUCAUAUUCAUAAAUGUUUUCAGAUUCAUAUUUUUUCAUAAGUGUUUUCAAAUUUGAUGAUAUUUUUUCACAUUCAUAAAUGUUUUCAAAUUUGAUCAUCAUUUUCUAAAAAAUUAUUAGAUGCAACUAAAAAUCCAAAAAAAAAGUUAGUAAUGGCGCACCAGGGGAAGGUGUGCCAUUGCUAUCACGGUGUUUAUGGCGCACCCCUAAAAGGUACGCCAUUGCUAACCCUCCUCCACUCCACUUGCUCCCCUCUCCCCUGGCCUCUCUCCCUCCCUCGCCAGAUCCACCUCUCCCACACCUAACCCGACGACCCCGUAGGAGCACGCCACCGUCCACCCGCGCCCGCUCCACUGCCCUGCCUCCUCGGCCCCCCUCCCCACUUGCCCCCUCGCACUUCCCCUCGCCCUCUCCGCCAUCUCCUCUACCUCAGAGCCCAGAAAGCCUCGCGCUUCCCUGCUCUCGCGCGAAGAGGUGGCUCCGAGAAGCCGAGCUCCAUUGCCGCAGAGGGUAGCAGCGCCGCGCAGCCGUGAGUACUAGGGAGGAGCGCCCCGGCGGACUGGAGAUCUGCUGCUGCGAAGUGCCGCAAUGGGCCAGGGAGGAGCGCCACCACAGAUUGAGGAAGGCCGCCUCCCGGACCGAGCUCCUCACACCACCGUAGAUCAAGGAGGACCGCCGCCCCGACCGAGCUCCUUCCUCAUGCCGCCCGCCUCUCCCCGACUUCGGCGCGCUAGCCCCCAGGUGAUUGAGGCCAUCCUACCCCAAUCCCAUCUCCUCCCAUCGGCAAUCCCCAUACCCUCGUCGCCGAUUGGCUGCGUGGUUCUUAUUGGAGCGUGGCUUGAAUUCUAGUGAUGCUUGUACUUUGGAUGCUUUUGAAUUUCAGUGAUGCUUGUACUCUGUAUACUUUUAAAUUUCAGUGACAAGUAGCAUGGAAAUUAACUUGUACUGAUAAUGCUAAGAAUUGACCUGUACCGGUUCUUGUAACAUACUGUAUAUACAGAUACUGGAUUUGAUUGGAUAGGAUUGACUGAUAAUGCUAAUAGUUUGAGCUUGUUGUCUCUUAAGGAAUCUAAACAAAAGUGUAUUGUGAAAGCAUGGAAAUCUUGUUUGAUGCUUCUCUGCACUGCACUACAUGCUGGCAUAUAGAAGAUUCUUCUCCGAAACUGAAUGUAUUUUAAGCAUUUGAUUCAGCAUUUUUAGCUUACCUCCAUGGCUUGCUGCAAUCUUGAAGUAACACAAUUUUGGCUGUAGUGCAUCCCCUGUAAAGUUCAUGCCAUGUGCUUGUCUAGUAUAUACUGUAGUACAAACAUUGUUAACUGGAUAUUUUUGCUCAUUGUUUGCUAGACCUGUCUAGUAUAUGUUUGCUAUUUGCUAUAUUAUUUAGUGUUGAAUGUAUUUUUUGGAUCUGGUCAGAUUUCUCACCAGUGACCUUGGUUGCCAUUAUCUUAAUUCAAAAGGUGCUAGCACUGAAUGUCUUGCUCUGUGCCCAUCUAUGGCAUGAAAAUGGGUCUUGUGUGACUACUUAGAAUGUUUUAUUGAUAGUCUCUAAGUAACAUUUCAAAUUGUAUUGUAGUUUGAAUCUUCUGUAGUUCAUGCCGUGGGCACUCAACUAGGGUUAGAUAUAGCCAUCUAUUUUGAGUUUUGUUUGUUGAUUUUGAGAUCUUUUGUAGGGAUUUUGAUUUUGAGGUGGUGUGAGUGUUAGGGUUUUCUUUGCUUUCUUGGAGGUGCACUCAGUGAGGCUUCUGGUAUGUGUUAUUAAUCACUUAUUCUCUUUUGUUUUUUAUUUAUUUCCCCCCUGUUAUUUAUAGAUCUUGGUUAGGUAUACCUUAUGCCUUGUGUAGUAUAGUUAAUUUUCUGCUUGAUUUUAGUUAUCAUCAUGCUUGUAGUUAGGGAUCCCCUCAUGUUAUUUUUUUGAUGAAUCGCUAGGGGGCAAGCCGCCCCACCUGUUUUUUUUUAAUUUUGCCCCACCUGAAUUAUAUUACUCAAUUGCAAUUAAGCAAACAUGUUCAAGCUGGUUAUCAGCAUGUCUUGUAUUUUGAUCAUGAGAAGCAGUAGCAUUGAAACUUACAAUGGUUUUUGAACACCCACUAUUAAGUAAUAAUAAGUCUAUAUUCAUAUAAGCCUGAGCAGUACAGUAGCUGAACCCACUAGCAGCACUGCAGCAGCUAACUAAGCUAUAUGCACACAUAGAAGAAAAUUACUUUGACAGAACACCCACAAACACAACGGAACAUAUAUACAACAAGUUUGGUGGAAUUCUAUUUCAAGAGACUAAAACUCAGUGUUGAUUUGCCAUGACACAAACAAAAUGUUUUCUUGCAUUAGAAUUUUGACUGAAUAACUAGUUCAUGCUGACCUGAGAUGGUUGGUUGCUGUCAACUUCGGAGGAAUAAUAAGUUGUUAUUCUGCUGCUGUUGUGUUGUUAUCUGCUGCUGCUGGUUAAAGUUCUUUGGAGGGUAUGAGAAGAAGCAGAGCAUUCAGUUUUGGCAAUUUCAUUUGUUGCUCUGUUGUUAUCUGCUUUGAGAUGCUGCAGUUCAUACGCACCUGCAAGAACUCUCUGGAGUAAAAUCUGCUUGUUCAUACCCGUUUCUCCUGAAAUGUUGAUUAAUUUCCGUUUCGGUUGAGAAUGGGGAACUCCUAGGUCAAGAAAAUUAGCAAAGGUCAUGCCCAAUUUUCUUGACCUAGAAGGUGCCCAAUUCUCAACCAAAACAAAAAUUAAUCAGCAUGUAUCUUGACAUCAACCAACUUUCUGAACACAUCCCUCAACAACUAGGUUAUCUUGAGAACUUAGAGGAGUUGUGGCUUUGGAAAGAGGCCUUGGAAAGCUACUCCUACUAGCUAGAUGGAGAUCUGUGCUCUGCUGUGGCACGCACUAGUUAAUUAAUUAAGCAAAACUAAUCUCUGGUCAAAAUUAUGGGCUAAUCAUGAUUAAAUGAUAGGAGAGGGAUGCAUGGCAGUGGCACCCAUUGAAGCCAUACAUAUAUACAAAGCUAUAAAAAGAUUAUACAAUAGUAGUGGUCUAGUGCUUUAGUGGUUGGAUUAGUUUAGUAUUUUUUCACACACUCAGGCACCCUUGCUUGCCAUGUGUGUGAGAGAGAUAGUGAGAGGAGACAAGAAGAAGGGGUUUAGGAAGAUGCUGCCUGCUCAUCAAAGCUAACCAUCUCCCCCUUUUCACCCCUUUUCCUUUGUCUUUUGUGGGUUGCAAGGAAGCUACUGUCUUAGCUAGCUUAGCUUGUGCACAAAUCCACUGCCACUGCCAUGAUUAAAUUAUCUUAGAUGAUAACAAUAACUAAUUGUCGGUAUCUAUCUGUAUGUGUAUCAUAUCAGUUGCUUGCACUUGGUAAAGGUGGAUGCAUGGCAUGGCAAUGCUAGCUAUAUCAAUUGCUUACUUACUAAUUAAUCAAAUGAUACGGCCGGGGUAUCUUUAGGGGCACCCAGUGAGCUAGUAUACUCCACAUGACUGGCCAGUAUUAAAACAAGUUAAUUACACCACCAUAUGACCGACUGGUCGAUUAAUUAAGCUACUAAUCCCAGUGUUACAAGCUAGAAAAUUAGCCUGCAAAGAUGAGAUCCCAUGCUGGCUGUACCACUGCAUCAUGCAAAGUGCCUUCAAGAUCCAAGGCAAUAUCACAAACAUCAUAGGCAAUUUGACCAAACUCACAUCAUUGUAUCUUUGCAGCAACCAACUUUCUGGACACAUCCCUCAAGAACUAGGUUACCUUGAGAACAUGGGCUUGGACCUUAGCAACAAAACACUAACAGGUUCCAUCCCAAAACACCUAGGCAAUAUCACAAACAUCUCUCAAUUGUUCCUUGACAAUAACCAACUUUUUGGCGACAUUCCUCGAGAAUUAGGUUAUCUGGUCAACUUAGAGAUAUUGUUCCUUGACAAUAACCAACUUUUUGACCAAACUAUUUUCCUAUUUAGAGCGAACAUGGCCAACAACGAUGAGGCCUGCGGUUCGGGUAAGCAAUUCUAGGAGCUGUCCCGGGAGAUGGAGGAAGAACCUCAUCGCUAUGAGGACGCCACGGAAGACACCGAUCUCGACUACACAACCCCUAGUGGUGUCGGGGAUGACACCACUGAUGGUGCCGCCGAGGAUGCCACCAUUGAUGAUGGCAGCGCAUGCACAGAUGGCAGCCAACCGAAGAGGCAACGGAAGAACCGGCGCCCGAACAUGCGUGGCACCAUCAAGCAGGAAUUUACUGAAGUGUCCUCCAGUGGGAAUCCAACGGCGCCCAAAGAAUUAGUCAGUGGGUACUCGGGACAACUCGGGUGCAUUCUUUGGAGCACCGUCUCGAUCAACACCGAGAACCUAAGGCAUCGUGACCGAGGGAAUUUGCGCAACCUCCUCUUCACGAAGCUGCAUGAACGAUACAAGUUCCCCGGUGACUUCGCAAACACACGCCUCUCAGGGAAUAAAGUGAACAGUGCCACCCUCACGAAUAUGAGCACGACCCUGGCUACUUGGUUCACCGCCGUGAGGAGAAGGAUUCUAAGAGGUGAUAGUUAUGAGAAGAUCAAGGAGACAAAUCCUUCGAUCAGCGAAGCUGACUAUCGGGAGUUCAAGAUCAAGUGCGAGAGCAACGCAACUGCGGAAUCAAGUCAGUAGGGGAAAGAUAUGCGGGACUUGAACUUAGGGGUCCACAAACUCGGUCCCGACGGUUACAGAGUGGCGGAACCUAUAUGGGACAAGGAGGACGCGAAGCGUGCCGAGCAAGGCCUACCGCCCCUCUUCGAUAAAUACCAUGACAAGCAGACCAGUAACUAUGUCAGGGCCCAGUACAAGGUGGAGCCGGUAACAAAGGAUCUUACCACUGAUCGAAAUACCAAGGCGCUUGAGCUUGUUCUGGUAAGGAAUACACCCCCACGUAAUUAGCUCCAUAUGAUUGCAUUCUAAUUAAUGAAACCAAAUUUCUAAAUGGUUCACGUUCCUUCCGCAGGACAUUGAAAGCAGUAGCGCGGGGUCGUCUCAGAGCUCCCCUUGGGACACCACUUUAAAUAGGGUGUUGAACGUAAUGAAACACAAGGAUAAGUUCACUAAGCCGCCAUCAGCUGGUAGUGUGGCCGGCAAAGGCUUGUCCACAAAAUGGUCGGAAUACUAUAACGCUGGGUGAAAGGAGAGAAAGACCAGCUCAGAAAGCCAGGAGCGCGAGGUUCAAGAACUCAAGGCACAAGUGGCGUGGAUUUCGGAGAUGGUCCAAGAGCAAGUGCGAGACCAACUGGGAGCGACGAUCACCGCCAUUGUGUCUACCUUGAUUGAGGGGCUGUAGGUGUGGAUUGCGGGCGGCCAACAGGGGCCGCCCCCGAUUCCCAGCUUCACGGGCAGCAACUCGCACAACGCGCCGGUGGCGCCAUUGGUGUCUCCAGCGGAGGCGGUAUUGGUGUCUCCGGCGCCGGCCCGGGCAUUGGAGCUUAAUGCACCCAGGUGUGGGAAGAAUACGCCGACCGGCACCUCGGCAGCAAGCGGCCCCUCCAUCACUUGCACGUCCGCCGUUGGCGGUGCCUCGACAUUAGCCGAGCUCGACGCCAUCACGGUAACUAAGCCUCUCGGCCAAUGACUUCAUCUCGUUGCCUUUGACUGGGCAUCCCUGACGCCCUACAUGUUUCCGCAGGGCACCGCAAACGUUCCAUGCACUCUCCUGCACUUCGUAGGCGGCGAGUUGAUCGAUGUCGCCAAGGCCAGAAUCGUUCAAUCGGGCAACCCCAUGUUCCACGGUAAUCCCAUGCCACCCACCGUGUAUAGGGUUCAACUGGUUCGGGUGCUGCGGGGAUGCGGUGACUUGUUACCUCUGUUUCGACCCCAUGGUCCGACGAAGAUGAAGUGAUGACCCUCAGCACCUGCUUAAGCUGGCCCAUGCUUUGGCUGAAGAGCCAGAUUCGUUUGAGGGCGGGGGACACAACCCCACAGACAACACCGCUAGUCGUGCCGGCGCCAAGCCAUGGCAAGACCGCCGCAACGCUACCGCUGUCAGCUGAUCUGGACAUGCAUAUGGCACAGGAUCCGGAUGAUGGUACAUUUACCAACGUCGAUAAGUACUUGAACGAACAUGGGUAUGGUGAUGAAUUCUUAGGGCUGCCUCCUCAAGAACCCAACCUUGCAAAAUACGAUCGCGAUCUAGCUGGUACCGCGAAGAAACCCAAUUGCAACAUGCGUCGUCUGGCGUUCAGUUCUCAGGAGACGCCUCCAGCUGCCGCCUUCACUGAGCCUCAGAUAGCCGAGGUGCGAAAUAUUAUCAGCCCCAACACACUCAAGAAGGUGGUCUCUGAGCAGAACUCUAUCCCAUUACAACAGCAGGAGAAGAAGGGAGGAAAAAGAAAGAAUAACAAGGGUGCGAGCCAGUCGGCACCGAGUACGAUCCGUGCUCAGGACGGGCCACCUUCACCUAAGGAUAUCUCGAGGAGGGUGCAUGUGGCGGGUAGGCCGAUGCUACCAACUAAUCUGCUCAAUGCUGCAACCGGUGCUAUGCGGAGUGUGCAUGAUAGUGUUCUUUCUUUGGAGAAGUGGCGUCUCUCCGAGAAUGAUGUGGCAUACACGGUUUUCGUGGCCAAGGUGCCAGAGGGCAAGGGCUUUGUCGAUAGCACCAUCGGGGUAAUGAUCGUCCUGCGGUUUGAUGACAUCUUCGCUAUGUUUAACCUUCAUCCGCUGCACUACACCUUCAUUCGGCUAUUUUCGCUCAGUAUGGAGAUGCGGAUCAUUAGAGACAAGACCCCGGACAUCAUGAUAGUCGACCCCUUCUACAUGCGUGCCAAGAUCUUGGGCAGCGCUGGGGACCGGCAAGUCGCGAGUUCAUACCUCGAAGGCAUCAUUCUGGCGAACCCAGAUAAGGAUAACUUCCUCGUGCCUUACUUUCCCGAGUAAGUCAUCCCCUCACCGCCCCGUAACAUAUGAUUUCUUAGAUUUCGAUCAUUCUUUUUUUUCUAACAUUCCGUGUUUUGUGCAGUGACACACAUUGCACACUCAUCCUCUUAAGCCCAAAAUAUUCCAUGGCCACGUAUUUCGACUUGGACCGUCAGUCGAAGAAAGACUACACAAAUAUCAAGAAAGUUCUUGAUGAUGCUCUCCCCGGCUACGCCAGAUCUGGAGGCACCUUCAGGAGGCCAAUUUGUAGGUAUGGCAGGCAUGUGUUCACCCAUGUAACGACGUUCCCCUACGUCAAGCAGCCGCCUGGCGGUCAGAAAGAUGGCUACUACGCCCUCCAUCAUAUACGGGCGAUUGUACGGGACCAUAAUCACCUUCUGCUACCAACUAAUCUCAAUAAUUGGGCCGCACGCUUGUCGGCAAUUCAGGACGCGAACAUCAGACAAGAAUUCUUUCGCAUCCAGUCGAAGUUUGCGGAAAUCAUCCAUCAAGAUGUCCUUCGUACCUCGGGGUAGUUCUACCCCAGAUAUCAACCGUUCAACAGUGAAAUAGAAACAACGCUACAAAUACAGGCUGCCAACGACCGCGAUUUCAUGACCAUCACGAUAGACGGUGGCUUUAUUCACGCCUCGGUCCCAGAGUCGAGUCAAAAGUAGUGAUGCUAUGUAGUUCUGAAAUAUCGAUUAUCUCAUGUUGUAAUUAAACUUUAAUGAACUCGUAUGUCUCUUUAGUUUGGACAUCGUUCAACUUAUAUGUAAUCGAUGCUAUUUAUUUGUAGGACCAUGAAUCAUGCUAUUAAUGUGUUGCUUUUCUCUUCCGAUCCUUUUGUUGCAUACUUAUAUAUUGCUUAUGUAUUGUCUGUGAUUUGCUACUAACGUUUUGUUUGUCUAGUGCAUAGAGAUGCAGUCAUAUGUCGUGUACAAGGGUAAGGUUUCCGGAGUCCUCGGAGACAGGUUCACCGUUUUAGCGGUAACAGUUACAAAAGAUACACCACUAGGGCGGAGGCGGAAGCUAGAUACGCGCGCUAUCUAGCGGGAGAGAGGAGGGAGCGUUGGAGGAACCGGAUGAAGACCAGUUUCAUCGCGAUGAUGCUCAAUGUGACCGCAGCUCUCUUCUAUGUGAUGGUAGUUUAGAUGAUCGAUAUCGACUUGUAAUGUGAAGACAAACUCGCUACUCGCGGUCUCGAGACUUGUAAUGUUCUAACUUUGUUCGGUAUUUUGAAUUCGGAGACUAAUAUGAUGAAUUGUAUUCGGAGACUAAUCUUCUAUUGUAUUCAAUAAAUCUGUUGUUUAUAUGUUGUGCUGUUUAUAUUCUAUGUUGUAAUGUAUUUUGUAACCUGUGCAAAUAUCAGAAAAGAAAAAAAAAUUCCUAAUAUUCAUAGUAGUGGCGCACUAUAUUGCACUUUAGUGGCGCACUGGAAUAAACACACCAGUAGCGCAUUAUCUAAAAGUGCGCCAUUAGUAACCCAGAGCACAAGGUAAAUAUGGCCCCCUGGGAGGCAUAGUAAUGGCGCACCGGUGGACAUAGUAAUGGUGCACUAUGUGGUAUGCCACUAUUAUCUCGAAUACUAAUGGCGCACCAGAGGUGCGCCAUUACUAUUUGUUACUAGUGGCGUGUUAAUAGUGGGCACCUGCAGUGCGCCAUUAAUGGCAAAAACAGAUGCGCCACUAACAACCUUUUUUCUAGUAGUGAUUAGACCAGUCUAAAAAAUGCAGAACAACAUUCACCGCAUCCGCUCUGAAAAUUUCCUAGUUUCUUUGGAAGAAACGAGCCGGGGAAACCAUCCGGACCGGGGGCUUUUAGAGGACCUAUUCAGAAUAGGGCGUCACUGGUCUCCUCAGCUAUGAACGGUUUGGUCAGUUCAGUGUUAAGAACAAUAAGUUCAUGGGGGAUCACCUCAUCAUCCUUUGACGAAAUCUGUAGCAAGCUCCUAGAUACCCUCUUUUUCCUCGACCAUUUACCCUCUUUGUCUUCUAAUCUUGUAUGAUGGCAUUCUUUUUUUUUCCUCCAUGAGGCUUUUCUUUAGAAAUACCUAGUGUUCAUGUCCCCUUCUUUUAGUUCCAUUACUCUUGAACGUUGUCUCCAAAUCAUCUCUUCUCCGAGCAAGAGCUCGUCCAAUUCUUUAGAUAGAUUUUUUACUUGAUUUUGCUGAUCAACCGAGUAGGGGGCCUUCCAAAGAAUACUCAAUCCUUUUCUUAUCUUAGCUGUUUGUUUCAGUAUCGAACCGAAAUCUUUAUUUUCCCAACUUCUACCGCAUGGUUAAUAAUUUUGAUCCUACCUCCAAGAGAGUAUCGACGAAAUCACUAAUUAAGGAGUACUCCUUGUGGAGAUCACUCUAACUUUCCCAGGUUGCGACAAGUGGCGCGCUGCAUGUGCGUCACUUGUCGCAACCUCGAAGUUUUCCCUUUUUUCGUAGAUCUGUUUAUUCAAAACGUUUUAUCUCUUAAACCGUGCGUCCAAAUCUCGAACCGCUUUCGCCAUUGUAUUCCUCGCGUCGAGAUCUUCAAAAUUAGAUCCCAUGUUGACAGGUUUUGAUGAACUUUUUUUUCGCGAAAAAAACUGGACGAAAAAACCGUACCGGGAGCACGGGUUUCCCUUUCCGAAAGAGGCACACCCUUGCCUCUGACGAAAUCACAACCGUGCCUCUCGCAGAAGCAAAACCGUGCCUCUCUCGAAAGAAAAAAAAACAGAAAAUACGUUUUUUUUCGUUUCCGAGGAGGCACGGCCGUGACUCUCGCGGAAGCAAAACCGUGCCUCUCGCGAAAGAAAAAUAAAAUGAAAAAGUGUUUUUUUUUGUUUCCAAGAGGCACGGCCGGGACUCUCGCGAAAUCACAACCGUGCCUCUCGCGGAAGCAAAACCGUGCCUCUCGUGAAAGGAAAAAAAAACAAAAAACACGUUUUUUUUCCGUUUACAAGAGGCACGGCUGUGCCUCUCGCGAAAUCACAACUGUGCCUCUCGCAAAAACAAAACCGUGACUCUCGCGAAAAAAAAUGCGUUUUUUUUGCGCAAAUUUUUUUCCGUCGAAAAGCUAGGGAGGACCGGUGAAAAACCAAAACGUCAAAAACCCCCCGGAAAAACCCCGUUUAAAAAGCCAAAAACGGGUGCGGAAAAAUAAAAAAAAUAAAAUCCAGAGGGAGUGCCCACAGCGCGACACGCGAAUGGCUGAGAGUGCGUUAAGUGACGCUUGAUCCUUGCGAGCCUCCCGAAGAAGCGCUCGUUAAUUAGUUGCUCCCGAGUACCGACUAUAUAUUUCUUCUUCCAAGAAGCUUCAACCGAGUUCUUAAGCGUGUCCACCCUUUCCCACAUGUAUCAUACCGAAACAUGGGCUGAAAAUAACCAGGCAUAUUCCAGUUUAUUGGCUAACUUCCCAAGACUUAAAUUUCUCUAGGUAUUUGGUUCAGUGUCUUCUAAAAGGGUAUAUGGUUCAAUAUAUCUUAUAAAAGGUCGACUAGCAUAUGCUUAAAGUACAGGGUACUUGUGUGCGAUUUUGGUCUUUUUUUUAUAAGAUUGUUAUUUUUAAUAGACAAAGGUAGAGUGUGGUUUCAAUAGACCUAAAUAUUAUGAACGUGGUGUGACACGCUUUUCAUGUCAAGCCAUCUCUAUUGUCAUGUUUUAAAGUGGAAUCCCUCUCCUUUGUUGGUUCAGUCAUGUAUGUUGUCAUGUUCUUAAGUGAAAACUCUCCUUUGGUGUCUUACUCUGAGAAUAUUCCAACAAUAUCAGCCUUACAUCAUCAUACGCAAAAUCAGACUAUAAUAGUCGGCGUGCAACAGCAAGAUUUUUUUUUGUGUGUGUAGAAAUUAAUUCAACAGCGAGUUCAGAUGAAUAAAAAUAGCGUCUGCCACUAGUGUAAUAGAAAUUUGUACAGCUUAAUCCAAGAAUAAAGCAUCUCACAAGCAACUGAAAUGAAAAGGGUACAAACCAAACCUAAUUCCUUCCUCCUAAUUUGGUGACUUGGAUCAUGGUAGUCGCCGGCAGAUUACCUAACAUCAUGGACGUCAAGACCUCGUUUGUUUGCUCCGCGUCUAUGCUCCCAUCUUUGUCGCCCUCGAUGAUUUCCACCGAUUUUAGGUUGGGGGUGAGGGAUAUGGUCCGAGGUAGCUCCACCAUUGAACUGUUUGGGAACUCAUGGCACUGUAGGCAAGACGAACAAUUAUUAGGAGGUAAAAAAUUAUAAUUUCUGAGAAAGCAGGAUUAGUUAAGCGGGUGUACCUGACAGUUCUUUAGAGUGAGCUUCUCUAGGGCUGGAGCAUUAUGCAGAAAACGGCAGAGCGUCUGAGCAUCGCCGCCAAUCUCGGAAUCCUCAAGGACCAAGGUCCUCAUGCUGCGAAACACCGGUAACCCAUGGUGCUCCUCGUCGAGCAUCGCCUGCAACAUUGGCCGCGGGAACUUGUCCUUGGCCAGUGGCGGCAUCAGCGGCAUCGGCGGCUGAUCUGGCAAGAAGAAUGGUCCAGGUGGUUGAACAAAAGGUAUAUAUGCGUGCAGCAUCUCCGGCUGAUAUUGAAAGAAUUGAGCUCCAACAGGUGGAGCAUGAGGUGUAGGUUGCUCAACUACUGUCUGCAUCGCAUUGCAUAUACGUACAGUUAAUAAAUCAGACAUUUAUGCGCAGUAAAAGUAAAACAGAAAUCAAUUACUAUAUAGAGUACUAAUUGAGCAAGAGCAAGGGCAGUAUAGAUAGAGCACCAUGUUGCCAAAGCCGUGCAGCUUCAGGGUGCAGACGUGGGACAGAGAGCCGAUGAAGUUGCACAGAGCCCUGAGCAGAUCCCUGUCCUGCUGAAGGUAGUAGCCGCCCCCCUGUUUGUGCCGGAGAUCAGGCGUCCCUACCAGGCGGACGGAUGCUUGGACGAGGCAAGGCGCCUCCUCGAGGACGACGGCGAAGGAGAUGAGGCACCGGAAGUUAACGGCGAGGUGCAGCGACGCGAGUCGAGGGGCGGCGAUGGUGAAGGUUAGGCUCUCGCUGUUCCGAUUAGAGGAUUCGACUACGAGGUUUUUAAGCGUGCCGGACGCGAUCCUCGGGAGCGAUGCUGAUAACCUGGUGCCCGUGAUCUGCAGGUCUUCCAGCACGGGGAGCCCGUAGGCGAGGUGCUCCGCGAAAUCACGGUGGAGGGUCACCUGGUCGAGGCGCAGGCUCGUGAGGCGGUGGGAGGCUAGAGGGGGCAGCCUGACGGAGCCACGCACGUCGAGCGCCGCCGGGGAGCACUGGAGGCCGCGACGCACCCACCUCGUGUACUUGGUCACGAAGAUAUCAUUGCCGUAUCCGUACAUUGACGGAUCGCUCAACCAUAACGGAGGGAGGCGCAGCCGCAGGGUUUGCAGGGGCGCAGCGCCGGCGCUCCGAAUCCGAUGGACCAGAAGGCUGUCGGCGAAGUCCUCGAAGUCGGCGAACUCGUCCGGCUGCUCCUUCCCGUAGUUAGCGAGCUGGGCGGGGCUCAGCGGCCACGGGCUGGGACGUAGAGUCGCAUCGGGGCGGAACUCGCCGAUAUCGACGUCGAGGCACGGGGACGUGGGCCAGAGGUGCUGCCACCGCCGCGACAGCACGCACGUCUGAACGACCUGCCGGGCCUUGAGGCGCGACAGGAUGUCAUAGAGGAGGCAGUCCGGCAGGUCGCUCAGCCGGUCGUCCAAGCUGCCGCCGGCACGCUUCGCCGUCCUCAAGGCUUCCAUGCUGAUGGAUCUUCGGUUUGGUGCGCGUCCUUGUUUUACGGAUCAAUCUACCCAUCUACCCAAUCUAUAAGGAGAGAGUAUUUAACCAAAAACUACCACAAUUCACGGAACCGUGAGGAAAAACUACCACUUUACGAUUUUAUACGAAAAACUACCGCUUUUUUCUUAAACCUUGGCAAAAAACUACCAAGUCUGAAAAGAGCCCGCUUUGGCUCUUUUAAGCGUGUUUCUGACAGAGUUGGCCCACACAUAAGCAGGCUAAAAAGCAAUCGGGUCCCUAGUUUUUUUUCAAAAAAGGCUCGCGACGACGGCGGCGGCGGCGGCGGCUGCGCACGCACGCAAGCCAGCCGGUCAGCAAGCGGCGGGCGUAGUGGCGGCGGUGUUCGUGCUCCUCUACUUCUCCUCGCUGCAGCAGCCCAGCCCCUCUUCUCCUUCUCCACUGUCUCCUCUCCGUCUCCUUCUCCUCUGCCUCCUCUCCUUCUCUUGCAGCAGCAGCACGGGCACGAGCUCCUCUCUCGCGCAGCCCCGCCGCACUGCACAGCCGCACCUCGUCGCAGCCCCACUGCCGCACGCGCACACGCAGCCGUGCGCACAGCCCUUGCGCAGCCGCUCGAGCAGCCGCCCCGCCGGCUCGCCGCAGCAGCGCGUGCAGGAUCCUCCCCUUGCCCGACGUAGCCGGGCCCCAUGGCGCGCGCAGCUCGCAGGGCUGCCGCGAGCUCGCCACGCCGCUGCCGUCGCGCAUCCCAGCGCCUCCUCGCACGCGUGCACGCAGCCGCCUGCCCCCUCCAGUCGCUGGAGGACUGGAUUGAUUUUUUGAAAAAAAACUAGGGACCCGAUUGCUAUUUUAGCCUGCUUAUGUGUGGGCCAACUCUGUCAGAAACGCGCUUAAAAGAGUCAAAGCGGGCUCUUUUCAAACUUGAUAGUUUUUUGCCACGGUUUAGGAAAAAAGCGGUAGUUUUUCGCAUAAAAUCGUAAAAUGAUAGUUUUUCGUCACGGUUCCGUGAAUUGUGGUAGUUUUUGAUUAAAUACUCAUAAGGAGACGUAGUUCGGUCGUGGAGUGCGGAACUUGGCUACCUUUCCGCGAUUUUUUGUAACAACUUUCCGCGAUAUUUUUGUAUGCAUCACAGAUGCAAGAGCUCAUAUACGCGCGCAUACAUUCACCCUUAUGAACGCAUAUACGCAUACCCUAUCCUUAUGAGCACAUCCGAAAGACUGAGCCACAAUAUCAUCUUGAAAUUUACAAAGUCGUCGUAGGCACCUCGUCAUCGACGGGGACGUCUCCUCCCACUGAAUGCGCAUCACCGGAAAUUCUGAAAUAAAUCCAGAAAUAAAUGCGAGCACCAGGACUUGAACCUGAUGGGCUAGGGAUACCACAAUGCCUCUAACCAUCCAACCACAAGUUAGUUUUUUUCGCAAUUUGUUGUUUCGUUGAUUUCUGUGGAUGUUUACGAGCCUUGUUUUGUGUGUUGGAUCCAGAUUCUCUAACCAGUCUUUAGGAACUAACCUAACCUUUGCGAAGAUCAUCUCCAAUCAAGAUAGAUGAUGUACUAGCAAAAGAGCCCGUGUGUUGUAACGGGAGGACAUAAUUUCAUGUGCACCAAGUAAUCCAUUCGUGUUGCCACUUCUGUACGCCACCAUCAUCCACGAUGGUCAUGUGGUCCAAUUAUUCACCUCUUUCAAUUCCAAGCCGUCGAUGAGCUUGGUUGUGCGGCAAUGUCGUGUACGGGAACUUGCGAUUGAGCUUAGCUAUCGGUAGAGGGACUUGAGGCCUUCCUACAUGUGACGUCGGCAUGCAACUCGAAAUUUAGACAUACUAUUAGAACUUAAAAAGAAACUCGAAUUUUUGGGGUUCAUGCUGGAGUUUGCAGUGCUUGUGUAUGUGUGGAUGCUACCUUUCCGAGUUUUGUUGCUUCGUUCAAUUCUAUGGUUUUUUUUGUCCUUGUGUAUGUGUGCUGCUUCGUUGGUAGGCACGUACUAGAAAGCUACAAAGCCAUGUACCACAUACGUUCAACAAGUGAUGUUUUGACUCAGCUUUCACAUUGUUGGAAUCGCCCUGUACUAACUAAAAGAAGAUAGAAAGCCCAAGGCCUCAAACGGCCCAAGCAACCUGAAAAGCAAGGUAGGGCAAGGCACGUAUGAGGCGGCCAGCCUAAAAACCUGCCUAAUUGUUGCCUAAAUCGGUGGAUUCUGGCCUAGAGGGAGGAAUUGUGAGAUUUGACAAGCUUUGUCACUUUUUAGCUAAAUCUAGGCCUUUUUUAGGUAAACCUCAUGCGUGCCUCGCUUCAUGUGCCUGAAAUCUGGCUAGUGCCUCAGUUAACUUGUGGGCUUGGUUGGGCCUUGCCUUGCUGAGGGAGUCCUGGACUAAGGGGUCCUCGGGCAUCCAGGCUAUGUGAUAUGGGCCGGGCUAAUGGGCCGUGAAGAUACGAAAUCAAAGACCUUCCUCUGUGUCCGGAUGGGACUCUCCUUUGCGUGGAUGGCAAGCUUGGCAUUCACAUCAUGCAUCUUCCUUUCUCUGUAAACCGACUCUGUACAACCCUAGAUCCCUCCGGUGUCUAUAUAAACCGGAGGGUUUAGUCCAUAGGGCUAGAACAAUCAUAUGGGCUAGACAUCUAGGGUUUAACCAUUACGAUCUCGAGGUAGAUCAACUCUUGUAACCCCUAUACUCAUCAAAGUCAAUCAAGCAGGAAGUACGGUAUUACCUCCGUUAAGAGGGCCCGAACCUGGGUAAACAUCGUGUCCCCUGCCUCAUGUUACCUUCGAUCCUCAGACGCACAGUUCGGGACCCCCUACCCGAGAUCUGCCGGUUUUGACACCGACAUUGGUGCUUUCAUUGAGAGUUCCACUGCGUCGUCGCCAGAAGGCUCGAUGGCUCCAUCAAUCAUCUACAACAAUAUUGCCCUGAGGGAGACUUUUCUCCCCGGCCAAAUCUUCUUAUUCGGCGGCUUCACACUGCGUGCCAAUUCGAUUGGCCUUCUGGAGCAGAUCGACAGCUACGCCCCUGGUCAUCAGAUCAGUUUUGGAAACCUAAAUUAUGUCGCUGAUAUCCAAGGAGACUUGAUCUUCCAAGGGUUCGCGACCUCGACCACAGCUCCGGCCUUAGAUCCGGAACACAUCACCGAGUCCGAAGACGGGAGUUUAGAGCCCGCUGGACUCUCCGCAGCCAUAGAGCUCAACACCGGAGAUACGGAGGGGAUCGUUUCACCGGCAGGCCCGGAGUCACGCCAGACUCCCUUCAUCAACAUAAAGCCGGACUCACCCCCGAACACCAGCUCCGAACUCUCGAGGUCCGUGUUAUGCGGACUCGGCCAGGGAACUCCCGUCCCGCCUAACUCCACAGACCCUCGCUUCCCCGUCCAAUCCUCGCUCUUGAACAAGGCCCUGAACUUAAUGCGAUCUCUCGCCAUUGUAGAAAAAUCACUAUAAAACUACAUCCAGCCCAUACUAGGGGCUGAGAGCGGGGAAUUUCAUGUCCCACCCACCACCCACUUCAUAGCCACUGUUGAGGAUUUAACCGACACGCUCGACUACGAUUCCAAAGACAUUGACGGUAUGGACAAUGAUACCGGAGAUGAGAAGAGCCAGAACCCGCCGUUCACCGGACGCUGGACGGCCACUUCCUCGUAUGAUGUAUACAUGGUGGACACACCCAAAGAGGAUGACGGAGACGAUGGGAAGAAUCUAGAGGACAAGCCUGCUGAAGCACCUCCGAAGCGUCGACGUCAGCAGCAUCGAUCAAAAUGGCGUCGCGAAAAAGACAACAAUACCGGCACCGAAGAAAAUAAUACCCCGGAGAAUGCCGAAGACCAAGAUGCCCGAUCGAGCCAACAUCUGAACAGGAUGAUUGGGAAGAGGGGAAAGUCAAACCCGAUGAUCCUAUCGGGAAUGAGGGCUCCGAGGAUAGUAAUUACCUACCGAUCUCCGAAGAGGACGAGAGCCUCGGCGACGAAGAGUUCAUCGUGCCAGAGGAACCCCUCGAAUAAGAGCGCUCUAAGCGCCGGCUAAUAGCCACUACAAGAAGCCUGAAAAAGAAGCGACAUCAACUUCAAGCUGACCAGGACUUACUCAUUGACAGAUGGACUAAUGUCCUGGCUGCCAAGGAAUACGGUCUCGAGCGCCCAACUAAGAGUUACCCAAAGCGCAGGUUGCUCUCCCAAUUCAACAAUGAGGUCCUAGAACCUAUACCGACAGCGCGUAAUGCGGCUGACGGGCCGGGACAGAGCGGCAACCCAAGCCGAACACCAGCCCGCACCACCUCGCCCUAGAUGUAGAGAAACAGUGGCUGCAAGGUACAUGCACGACCUGCGAUAGGACCUGGACAAUAGAGCCGGUCAUACCAGAUCAAUUUAUGGAUCAAGGGGGCAUGCACCAGCGCGAGAAGACGGCCAUCAGGCCUGGCGCGAUAAGCACAACCUCACCAGGGCCGAAAACCGCAUACUAACUCCAUCCGAACUGCGUCGUGACGUUGCUCGAUAUAGAGGAGCCACACACCCCCUAUGCUUCACCGAUGAGGUAAUGGAGCACUAGUUCCCAGAAGGGUUUAAACCCGUGAACAUUGACUCAUACGACGGCAUGACAGAUCCCGCAGUAUGGAUUAAAGAUUUUCUUCUCCACAUCCACAUGGCCCGCGGUGACGACUUACAUGCCAUCAAAUACCUCCCCCUAAAACAUAAGGGACUAGCACGACACUGGCUGAACAACCUCCCAGAAAACUCUAUCGGUUGUGAAGACUUGGAGAACGCCUUCAGAUACAACUUCCAAGGUACCUAUGUUCGGCCCCCGGACGCUGAUGACCUUAGUCACAUAAUCCAGCAACCCGGUGAAUCAGCCCGGAAGCUCUGGACCAGGUUCUUAAUCAAAAAGAACCAGACUGUGGAUUGUCCGGACGCCGAAGCCCUUGCGGCCUUCAAACACAACGUUCGAGAUGAGUGGCUCGCCCGACACCUCAGCCAAGAUAAGCCGAAGUCCAUGGCAGCCCUUACCGCACUUAUGACCCGCUUUUGCACGGGAGAAGAUAGCUGGCUAGCUCGUAGAAGCAAUAGCACCAGCGACCCAGGCACCUCUGAAGCCAGGGACGGCAAUGGCAAGCCAAGAUGCGACAAGCACAAAUGUCAAAACAAUGACAAAGACAUGGCGGUCAAUGCUGGAUUCAGUGGCUCCAAAUCCGGUCAGCGGAAGAAGCCAUUCAAAGGAAACAAAGAUGGUCCAUCCAGUUUGGACAGAAUACUUGAUCGGCCUUGCCAGAUUCAUGUCUUUAAAUAGGUCGACAAGCUCAAUGCCGAACACAAGGGGAAAAGGCCGCCCAGCGAGGACGACGAAGAAGAGCCUCGCCCACCGAACACAGGGGGGCAGAAGAAAUUUCCCUCCGAGGUCAAAAUGGUGAAUAUGAUCUAUGUCACCCACCUCCCCAAACCGGAGCGCAAGCGUGCAUUAGGGGACGUCUACGCCAUAGAGUCGGUCGCCCACAAAAUUCAACCCAUGGUUGGCUUGUCCUAUCACCUUCGACCAAAAAGACCACCCGACCAGUAUCCGUCAUGGAGGUUCGGCAGCUUUGGUCCUCGACCCAAUCAACAAUGGAUUCCACCUCACGCGAGUCCUCAUGGACGAUGGCAGUAGCCUUAACCUGCUUUACCAGGACACCGUCCGCAAAAUGGGUAUUGAUCCGUCAAGAAUCAAGCCCACUAAAACUACCUUUAAAGGAAUAAUACCCGGCGUAGAGGCCCGUUGCUCGGGCUCAAUAACAUUGGAAGUUGUCUUCGGCUCGCCUGACAACUUCCGCGGUGAAGACUUGAUCUUCGAUAUCGUACCCUUCCGAAGUGGCUAUCACGCACUGCUCGAACGGACCGCGUUCACUUGAUUCAACAUGGUCCCGCACUAUGCUUAUUUAAAACUCAAGAUUCCCAGUCCACGCAGCGUCAUUAUAGUCAAUGGAAACACGGAAUGCUCCCUCCGCACGGAGGAGCACACCGGGCUCUCAUAGCCAAAGUACAGAGUGCCCCCCUCAAGCCGCACACCUCAUCGGCCAUCAAGCCGCAUGUUGGGGAUAUAACUAUUUGUGUAAGCCGCCCAGGAGGGCCGGGUUAUGCAAAGAGGAUUCAUCAAAGAGAAGCCCAAGACCAAAGCAUGAAGAUGGCGGUUCAUAAAGAGUUUAAAAGCCCACAUGCGACUUAAGGCCCGUUGUGGUAAACCGCUGUAAUAAUAUUACUUGUAUCAUAAGGUAGAUUUAACUAGUCACCGAGCCGGACAUUGUUUAUAAGCCGGCCGGGACUCUGUAAGCUGUAGGGCAUCCACCCGUGUAUAUAAGGGGACGACCCGCUGGCGGCUUAGGGCAAGAAACAACUCAUCGAGAGCCAGGCAUAGCGUAUCUCGCUCCCUGGUCAUCGAAACAUCAAUACCAACCCAACUAGACAUAGGCCUUACCUUCACGGUAAGGGGCCAAACUAGUAUAAAAUCCUCUCAUUUCCUUUGUCCCGAUUAACCCCUUCAAGAUUCCUAGUUGCGAUGGCUCCACAACUAAGUCAUUUCACGAGGACAUCUGACGUGACAAUUUCACGACAGUUGGCGCCCACCAUGGGGCCAGCGCACGGUGGAUUUGAGUUCUUGAAGGGCAACUUCGAAGGGCUCAAGGGAUACGUAGUAGGCCGCAUGACCAAGAGUCGUCGCGGCAAGAUCUACAUUCACGAUGAAGGCUGGGGCCCCGACGCCGGCUCAAUUGAGUACGGGUACCGGGUCCCCUUCGGAGGGAUCCACGUCUUCAUCGGCCGGAUUGGUGAGCCUGGGCCUGAGCCGGACAACUGCACCGACCUCAUCGAGAUGGCUCAGCGUGCGAAACCCGCCCGAGCUCAACCCGGCAGGAAGCAUGUAUUUGUGGGCCGCGUCCACGGAGAAGAGCUUUCUGGAGGACCCGAAGAUGGUGGUGAGACGGCCGUCCACUCUGAUGGUGAUUCGUCCGCCAGUUCAACAUAUUCUCUGUAUCAAGUCCAAGAUGGUGUGCUCGGGGGCUGUUCCGAUGGCUUAAGUAUCCCGGACCCGUGCGAGUCACCAAAUUGGGCAGGAGUCUUUAUGGCUGGGACUCAACCCGGACAAAACUCUACAGCCGCGGCUACAAUUACUUCCGGGUUAGGAGCGGCCGGGACAGGAGGCCCUGUGCGCCCACCGGCUCAAGUGCUGAUAGACAUCAUGGACAAGCUUACGACCCUGUUAACUGCUACGGUUAUCCCUGCGAACAAAGAUGAGCAUGACGCAGAGGUAGCAUGGGUACGUGAGGAGAUAGCUCAGGCCAAGGAGGCCUUAGCAGCUGAGGAUACUAGACUAGCUACAGAGUGGGCGGCUCUCGAUGCCCGGGCACAGCAGUUGCAGUCGGAGGCUUACCAGCUCACGAUGAGUUUAAAUGCGUCCAAUGAGGUAAUGAGGAGGAGAUACCAGAAGACCCAAUCCCGGUUACCUCCGAAUUACGACCCUAGGGUUCUUUUUGCUACACCCGGAGCCGGCCCAAGUAACCCGCCCGAUGCAAAUCAGUUUAUAACACCCGGAGCAGGAGGACCGGCUCAGCGUCAGGAGAUGCCACCUCCUCAUAUGAGCAUGGCACCGCCGCGUUAUGUGCCGAUACCGGAGGGUCACUUUUCCAACCCCAUGGAGAAUUUAAUCGCAGCGCCAGCGCGUCUGGCGGCUCUUCCAGUGGACGGUGAUGAUCCAACAGCGGUGGAGACCCGGAGGAUCAGGGAACUUGUCCAGACAGCCCUGGCUUAGCAGGAGACCUAUUCUUACAACCGGGAUAGGAUUCAUUCAACCCCUCCGCCUUGGUUAGCACCGCCUCGUCAGAACUAGAGCCCGAGUUACAGCAGGCACAUGGAGUCCCAAGCUUUGGCAAGCAACACCCAACACCGUGACCAACAUGGUGGCUAUAACCCGGUGCAAGACCGAGUACGUCAGGAGAACGAGCGGGCGGCUCAGCUGGCGGCUCAACAGGUGGAUCAACGGGCGGCUCAUCAAGAUAUUUCAGAGUAUCCAACGACUUCUAUUGAGAUGGGAGUAGCCACCAGAACCGGUGGUGUUCCUUGUUUAAUACCGGCUUUGCGCAACGUGCGCCUGCCCAAGGACUUCAAGGGGUUUCGAAAGGUGCCGAGUUACACAGCCGACUUACAGCCUGGAGCAUGGAUUGAGAGUUAUGAGAUGGCCAUGGAGCUGUUGGAGGUCAGUGACGCGGCAAUGGCUAAAUACUUCACCAUGAUGUUAGAUGGAACGGCUCGAUCUUGGUUAAAAGGUUUACCACCUAAUUCCAUUGGUUCGUGGGAGGAGUUAAAAGCCCGCUUCAUCCAAAACUUCAAGGGCACCUGUAAGCAAUCUAUGUCAAUCGUGGACUUGAUGAUUUGUAAGCAGGGGGAGGGUGAAUACACCACCCAUUGGGUACGCCGAGUCAAGGAAAUAAUUCAUUCAUCUGAUAAGAUGGAUGCCGGCUCUGCUGUCCUCAUGCUGGAGAAAAAUUGCAACUUUGAACCGUUGAGGCAGAAAUUGGGGCGCCUUAAGCGUGAUUGCAGCGAUAUGGGAACGCUGAUGGCGACUUUAGUCAAAUAUGCCGAUUAUGAUAGUACCAAGGACCCCGCGUCUGAUGAUGAGAAGAUAGGGAAGGGAAAAAGGAACGGUAAUGGAAAGGGUCAACAACACAACCCGAGGAAUCACUGCGGCAAUAAGCGUAAGGUGGACGGCAGCCCGGAGCUUGUGGCCAACGCUAGUACACAGGGUAACAAUCAGAGACGUAAGGGUAAGUGGCCUCGAUCCGGCGGGUCAGGCCCAUCUCUUGAGCAGCUACUCAAUGAGCCCUGCCCGAAACACGGAACCCGGGAGCACCCCGCUACACACCUGUGGAAGGAUUGUGCGAUCAUGAAGGCGUUUAAAAAUUCCAAUACCUUUAAUGGUACUCAUGGACCUGGUGGCGGUUCAGGGGCUGGCGGCUUCCAUGGCCCGGGCGGCGGUUCAAAUUCCGGUUUUCAGGGACAGCCGGGUGGAAAUAAUCAGCAGCAAGCUGGUCAGGGAGGACAACAGCAGCAGCAGUCGGGUUACCAGAGCCAGCCGAAGCAGUUAAGCGGUGGGCAGUACCAUGUGUUUACCACUAGCUUAUGCAAACGUGACCAGAAGGUUCAUAAGAGGGCUGUAAAUUCGGUUGAGCCGGCAGUUCCUCGUUAUUUGAGAUGGUCAGAGCAACCAUCAUUUGGAGCAGAGAGGAUCACCCUCCACGCGUCGAUAAUCCGGGCCAGUUAGCCUUGGUGGUAGCACCCCAGGUUGGUGGAUAUAAAUUCACUAAGGUACUCAUGGACGGAGGCAGAAGCAUCAAUAUACUCUAUUAUGAGACCUUCCAGCAUAUGGGGUUGACCGAGAAGAAUCUGAGAACAUCCAACACUGUUUUCCACGGGGUGGUUCCAGGAAAGUUGGCUUACCCAGUUGGUAAGAUUGAAUUAGAGGUGGCCUUUGGAGAUGAGUAUGAUUCCAAGGCUGAGAAGCUGACGUUUGAGGUGGUCAAAAUCAGGAGUCCAUAUCACACUCUAUUUGGGUGACCAGCUUAUGCUAAGUUCAUUGCACAGCCGUGUUACGUUUACUUAUAGCUCAAGAUGCCGGGUUACAAGGGCACCAUCACCGUGCAUGGGAGUCGAAAGGUGGCUUUGGAAUGUGGAGAAGGCGACGCGGCUUACGCUGAGACGGCCUGUGCUGCGGAGGAGCUCAAAUUCUAUCAAGACAAUGUUGACCCGGCGGAUAUGACCUCCCUCAAGAAACCAACUACUGAGCAUGACCCGGCGUUGAAAUUUAAAUCGGCUGCUGAGACAAAGCUUGUUGACUUCACCCCGGGAGACGCCUCUAAGCAGUUCAGUAUCAGUGCCAAUUUGGAUCCUAAAUAGGAAAGCACGCUCAUCGAGUUCAUCCGUGAGAACCGGGACAUCUUUGCAUGGAAACCUUCUGACAUGCCGGGUGUACCGAGAGAACUCGCUGAGCACAUUCUCAAUAUUGAUCCGAAGUAUAAGCCGGUCAGGCAGUUUCUCCGACGAUUCAACGAAGAGAGACGAACAUCUAUUAGGGAAGAGGUGGCCCGGCUCUUAGCGGCCGGGUUUAUUGUUGAAGUUUUUCAUCCGGAGUGGUUGGCUAACCCGGUGCUGGUGCUCAAGAAGAAUGGCACUUGGCGGAUGUGUGUGGAUUACACGGACUUAAAUAAGGCUUGUCCGGCUGAUCCCUUUGCUCUCCCUCGUAUUGAUCAAAUCAUUGAUGCUACGACGGGUUGUGAAUGUUUGAGUUUUUUGGAUGCUUACUCUGGUUAUCAUCAGAUCAAGAUGGCAGUUAAGGACUAGGAGAAGACAACUUUUAUCACUCCAUUUGGGGCCUUCUGUUAUGUUUCUAUGCCGUUUGGGCUCAAGAGUGCCCAGGAAACUUAUCAGCGAUGUGUGCAGAACUGUUUGCACAAUCAAAUUGGGCGCAAUGUUCAUGCUUAUGUGGAUGACAUUGUGGUGAAGUCCAGAGAAAAGGAAACUUUAAUAUCCGACUUGAGAGAGACCUUUGACAAUCUCCGGGUUUACAAGAUGAUGCUUAACCCGGCCAAGUGUGUGUUUGGUGUACCUGCAGGCAAGCUCUUGGGCUUUCUGGUGUCAAAUAGAGGCAUUGAAGCUAAUCCGGAGAAGAUCACGGUGAUUACCUCUCUGGCUAAGCCGGCAUGUAUCAAUGACGUUCAACGCCUGGCGGGACGUGUUGCUGCUUUAAGCCGGUUCAUAAGCCGGUUAGGGGAGAAGGCCUUACCGCUAUAUCAGAUGAUGAAGAAAACUGACACUUUUGUCUGGAGCGAUGCUGCUAACACAGCCUUUGAAGAUUUAAAGAGACAGUUGUCUGAGCCACCGGUUCUUGCAGCUCCCAUUGAUAAAGAGCCGCUAUUGUUAUAUGUGGCUGCUAAUUCACGGGCCGUUAGUGUUGCCAUCAUGGUGGAGCGUAAGGAGGCAGGCAAGGAGCAUCCGGUUCAACGGCCGGUUUAUUACAUCAGCAAGGUACUCAUUGAGUCUAAACAAAGGUAUCCACAUUGGCAAAAGCUUGUUUAUGGUGUGUUCAUGGCAAACCAGAAGCUGAAGCAGUACUUCCAAAGUCACCCUAUAACGGUGCUAAGCUCAGCUCCUUUGGGAGACAUCAUUCAGAAUAGGGAAGCCACAUGACGAAUCGCUAAGUGGGCUAUUGAGCUUGGGCCUUAUGGUUUGAAGUAUAUGCCCCGUACUGCUAUCAAGUCUCAGGCCUUGAUGGAUUUUAUCAAUGAUUGGACAGAGUUGCAGGCACCUGAGGAGAAGCCAGACAAUACAUGUUGGACUAUUCACUUUGAUGGGUCCAGGCAGUUAGAAGGAUCCAGGGCUGGAGUUGUCUUAACUUCCCCUCGAGGUGACAAAUUUCGUUAUGUACUCCGGCUUAUGUUUCCCUGUACUAACAACGCAGCUGAAUACAAGGCCUUGCUCCAUGGUCUCCGGAUGGCUAAGGAGAUGAAUUUAAGCCGAGUCAGGUGUUUGGGCGACUCAGACCUCGUAGCUCAACAGGUCUCAGGCACAUGAGAUUCUAAGGAUCCCCUUAUGGCGGCUUAUCACCGUGAAGUGGAUGCUGUAGCAGGGUACUUCAAAGGGUAUCAGGUGGAGCAUAUUGAUAGAAGGAAAAAUGAGGCGGCUGAUGCUUUAAGCCGGUUGGGCUCUCAGCGUAAGAUGGUGCGCCUAACACCUUUCUUGACAUUCUGCAUAAUCCUUCUGUCAAAGUACCUACAGAGGAAGAGCUUGCAGUGCCAGACCCGGAGGCAUAGUUGGUGGCCGCACUUCACGUCAUCCCGGAUUGGACAUUGCCAUACUUGGCUUAUAUGACCCGGGGAGAGCUGCCUGAGGAUGAGACCUUGGCGAGACAAAUUGUCAGGCGGUCCAAAUCCAUGACAAUUGUUAAUGGCGAGUUACAUCACCUCAGUGUCACAGGGGCGUUCCAGCGUUGUGUGUCACCUGCAGAGGGUCAAGAGAUACUUCGAGAGAUCCAUGAAGGGGAUUGUGGUCAUCAUGCCGGUUCAAAAUCUCUGGUGGCCAAGGCUUUCCAUCAUGGUUUUUAUUGGCUGACGGCUCAUGCUGAUGCAGAAGAUCUUGUUAGCAAGUGUGACGGGUGUCAAAAAUUCUCACGACGAGCUCAUAUGCCGGCCCAAGAAUUGAGGAUGAUUCCAAUUACUUGGCCGUUUGCAGUCUGGGGGCUUGACAUGGUGGGACCUUUCAAAAGGUCUAAGGAUAAAAAGACACACCUCCUGGUGGCAGUGGAUAAAUUUACAAAGUGGAUUGAGGCAGAGCCGGCCAGUCAGUGUGAUGCGGCCACAACAGUUCAGUUCAUCAAAAAGGUGAUCUUUUGUUUUGGUUUUCCACAUAGCAUCAUAACUGAUAAUGGCACUAAUCUCUCCAAGGGUGCCAUGGAAGAGUUCUGUCAACGGGAACAUAUCCGGCUUGACGUUUCGGCUGUUGCUCAUCCUCAGUCCAUUGGUCAAGCAGAAAGGGCUAAUCAGGAGAUCUUAAGGGGUAUCAAACCACGACUCUUGGUCCCCUUACAGCGGACUCCGGGUUGUUGGGUGGAAGAGUUGCCCUCUGUGCUGUGGAGCAUGAACACUACGCCUAACAGGUCCACGGGUUACACGCCUUUUUUCAUGGUUUAUGGAGCAGAAGCAGUUCUGGCAAGUGAUAUCCGGCACGAUUCGCCUCGUGUGGUGGCUUACGUCAAGGCUGAUAAUGAAAAAGCUCGACAGGAGGCACUUGACUUGUUGGAUGAAGAGCGAGACUUGGCAAUAGCCCGCUCAGCGAUUUACCAGCAAGACCUUCAUCGCUAUCACAGCCGCCGGGUCAGAAGCAGAACCUUUCAGGAAGGCGAUUUAGUGCUCCGGCUCAUCCAGGAUCAGUCCGAUAUGCACAAGCUAUCCCCUCCUUGGGAAGGACCCUUUUUGGUCAGCAAGAAUCUGAAUAACGGGUCAUACUACCUCAUCGAUAUUCGAGAGCACAAAGAUUCAUGUAAGUCGGAGGAGGAGACCCGCCGGCCGUGGAAUAUAGCCCAUCUUCGGCCUUACUAUACUUAAGCCACCGACUCUUUAGAUGUAUAUAUUUUUUGACAAUGUAUAUAUAUUAUAUCAAGUAAUAAAGCAGGACCCGAGGGAGUCCUGGACUAGGGGGUGUCCGGAUAGCCGAACUAUCAUCAUCGGCCGGACUCCAAGACUAUGAAGAUACAAGAUUGAAGACUUCGUCCCGUGUCCGGAUGGGACUUUCCUUGGCGUGGAAGGCAAGCUUGGCGAUACGGAUAUGUAAAUCUCCUACCAUUCUAACCGACUCUGUGUAACCCUAGCCCUCUUCGGUGUCUAUAUAAACUGGAUGGCUUUAGUCCAUAGGACGAACAACAAUCAUACCAUAGGCUAGCUUCUAGGGUUUAGCCUCCUUGAUCUCGUGGUAGAUCUACUCUUGUAAUACCCACAUCAUCAAUAUCAAUAAAGCAGGACGUAGGGUUUUACCUCCAUCAAGAGGGCCCGAACUUGGGUAAAACAUCGUGUGCCUUGUCUCCUGUUACCAUCCGCCUAGACGCACAGUUCGGGACCCCCUACCCGAGAUCCGCCGGUUUUGACACCGACAUUGGUGCUUUCAUUGAGAGUUCCUCUGUGUCGUCACCGAUAGGCUCGAUGGCUUCUCCGAUCAUCAACAACGACGUAGUCCAGGGUGAGACCUUUCUCCCCGGACAGAUCUUUGUAUUCGGCGGCUUUGCACUGCGUGCCAAUUCGCUUGGCCAUCUGGAGCAGAUCGAAAGCUACGCCCCUGGCCGUCAGGUCAGAUUUGGAAGUUUGAACUUCACGGCUGACAUCCACGGAGACUUGAUCUUCGAUGGAUUCGAGCCACAGCCGAGCGCGCCACACUGUCACGACGGGCAUGAUUUAGCUCUGCAGCCGGACAUCGCCUUGGAGGCCGCACACGAGUCUGCUCCGAUGCUCAAUUUGGAGCCGGCCACACAUAUCGAGGACGGGUGGCUAGACACCGCCUCGGGGGCUGCAACCUCUACGGCGAUGGAGCCGAACACUGACCUUGUCCCUCAUGAAGCUUGUGACUCCGAGGUGCCAGAUUCCUCGCCGGACUCCGAACCUCCCGCACCCCCUCCAAUCGAAUUCGAUUGGGCACCGAUCAUGGAAUUUGCCGCUGCGGACAUCUUUCAACACUCACCUUUCGGCGACAUCUUGAGUUCGCUAAAGUAUCUCUCGUUAUCAGGAGAGCCCUGGCCGGACUACGGUCAGGACGGUUGGGAUGCGGACGACAAAGAAAUUCAAAGCCCACCCACCACCCACUUAGUAGCCACUGUCGACGAUCUAACCGACAUGCUAGACUUCGACUCCGAAGACAUUGAUGGUAUGGACGACGAUGUCGGAGACGACCAAGAACCAGCGCCUACUGGGCACUGGAAAGCCACCUCAUCAUAUGACAUAUACAUGGUGGAUAUCCCAAAGGAUGGGAAUGGCGAAGGACCAGCGGAGGAUGACCCCUCCAAAAAACAGCCCAAGCGCCGGCAUCAGCGGCGCCGCUCUAAAUCCCGCCACAGCAAGAAUGGAGAUUCCGGCACCGGAGAUAAUAACACCCCAGACAGUGCCGAAGACAACCCCCUCCAGCAAGAUUCAGCACAGGAGGACGGAGAUGCCAGCCCUCAUGAGAGAGCAGCAGACGAAGAGGUAGAGGAUUACAUGCCUCCCUCCGGAGACGAGGCAAGCCUCGACGACGACGAAUUCAUCGUGCCUGAGGAUCCCGUCGAACAAGAGCAUUUUAAACGCAGGCUUAUGGCCACGACAAACAGCCUCAAGAAAAAGCAGCAGCAGCUUAGAGCUGACCAAGAUCUGCUAGCCGAUAGAUGGACUGAAGUCCUUGCGGCCGAAGAGCAUGAGCUCGAACGCCUCUCCAAAAGCUACCCUAAACGCAAGCUGCUCCCCCGAUUAGAGGAGGAGGCAUAUGAACCUGCAUCACCAGCAGACAAUACGGCUGACCGACCACCCCGUGGCCGCGACAGAGAGGCCUCUAGGCCCUCCACUAGAACCGUACCCCGACAUCGCUCGAAAAGCACACGGCCACAGGGGAACACUCUGGACUUGCGAGAUAUAUUGGAGGAUAAGGCAAGACAAUCAAGAUCGAUCUAUGGAUCGCGUGGGCGCCCCAUGAUACGUGAUGACAACCGUCGCGCCGGACACAGUAAGUCCGGCCGGGCCGAACACAAUAGACAAAGCUCUUUUGAACUUCAUCGUGAUAUCGCCCAAUACAGAGGCACCGCACACCCACUAUGCUUCACAGAUGAAGUAAUGGAUCAUCAAAUCCCCGAAGGGUUUAAACCCGUGAAUAUUGAAUCUUAUGAUGGCACAACAGACCCUGCGGUUUGGAUCGAAGACUAUCUCCUUCAUAUCCACAUGGCCCGCGGUGAUGAUCUUCACGCCAUCAAAUACCUCCCACUCAAGCUUAAAGGACCAGCCCGACAUUGGCUUAACAGCUUGCCAGCAGAGUCAAUUGGGAGUUGGGAAGACCUAGAAGCCGCAUUCCUCGAUAACUUCCAAGGCACGUAUGUGCGACCACCAGACGCUGACGACCUAAGCCAUGUAAUUCAGUAGCCAGACGAAUCGGCCAGACAAUUCUGGACACGGUUCUUAACUAAGAAAAAUCAAAUCAUCGACUGUCCAGAUGCGGAGGCCCUCGUGGCCUUCAAACAUAACAUCCGCGACGAAUGGCUUGCCCGGCACCUGGGACAGGAAAAGCCGAAAUCCAUGGCAGCCCUCACAUCACUCAUGACCCACUUCUGCGUAGGUGAGGACAGCUGGCUAGCACGCAGCAACAACCUCAGCAAAAAUUCUGGCAGUCCGGAUAUCAAGGACCGCAAUGGCAGGUCGCGUCGCUACAAAAACAAACGCCGCAUCAACGGCGACAAUAGUGAGGAUACGACAGUCAAUGCCGGAUUCAGAGGCUCUAAACCCGGUCAGCGGAAAAAGCCAUUCAAAAGUACUACUCCAGGUCCGUCCAAUUUGGAUCGAAUACUCGACCUCUCGUGCCAGAUACACGGCACCCCCGAAAAGCCAGCUAACCACACCAAUAGGGACUGUUGGGUAUUCAAGUAGGCAGGCAAGUUAAUUGCUGAAAACAACGACAAGGGGCUGCAUAGCGAUGAUGAGGAAGAGACCCGACCGCCAAACAAUAGAGGACAGAAGGGUUUCCCCCCACAAGUGCGGACGGUGAACAUGAUAUACGCAACCCACAUACCCAAAAGGGAGCGGAAGCGUGCACUCAGGGAUGUAUACGCGAUGGAGCCAGUCGCCCUGAAGUUCAAUCCAUGGUCCUCCUGCCCGAUCACUUUUGAUCGAAGGGACCACCCCACCAGCAUCCGCCACGGCGGAUUCACCGCAUUGGUUUUAGACCCAAUCGUCGAUCGAUUUCACCUCACCAGAGUCCUGAUGGACGGCAGCAGCAGCCUGAACCUGCUUUAUCAGGAUACAGUGUGCAAAAUGGGCAUAGACCCCUCAAGGAUUAAAAGACGACUGAGGGAGUCCUGGACUAGGGGGUGUCCGGAUUGCCGAACUAUCAUCAUCGGCCGGACUCCAAGACUAUGAAAAUACAAGAUUGAAGACUUCGUCCCGUGUCCGGAUGGGACUUUCCUUGGCGUGGAAGGCAAGCUUGGCGAUACGGAUAUGUAAAUUUCCUACCAUUGUAACCGACUCUGUGUAACCCUAGCCCUCUCCGAUGUCUAUAUUAACCGGAUGGCUUUAGUCCGUAGGACGAACAACAAUCAUACCAUAGGAUAGCUUCUAGGGUUUAGCCCCCUUGAUCUCGUGGUAUAUCUACUCUUGUAACACACAUCAUCAAUAUUAAUCAAGUAGGACGUAGGGUUUUACCUCCAUCAAGAGGGCCCGAACCUGGGUAAAACAUCGUGUCCCUUGUCUCCUGUUACCAUCCGCCUAGACGCACAGUUCGGGACCCCCUACCCGAGAUCCGCCAGUUUUGACAUCGACAGGACCUCUGUCCUUUUUUCACCCUCAACAAAGUGUAUAUGUCUUUUUGACACGUGGUGGAAACAACCAUUAUAGGCUGGAUCAUAUCUGAAUCCGGCUUUACCUUUGGUGCGGCUUAUGAUCAUAUCUGAAUCUAGCCAUGAUCACUUGGGGGCUUCCUAUUCAAACGUAGGUCGUAUCCGAACCAAAGAGAACAUAGCUGUCGAUACCUGCUUGAUCGGCAUACCGCCAAACCUACUUGGGGGCUUCUUGAUCAUAUUUGAAUCACAGCUUAACCCCUAUAGGUCUGACGUGGAUCGUAUACGAAUCAACAUCAUUAAACAAAUCUUAUGGUCACUUAGGGGCUUCCUGUUCAAACAUAGGUCGUAUUCGAACCAAAGAGAACAUAGCUGUCGAUACCCUUUUGAUCGGCAUCGCCAAACCAUUGUGGGCUAUAUGAUUGUAUCCGAAUCUUAGCUUAACCCCUUUGGAACGGUUUACUGAUCGUAUCCGAAUCAGAAGCCUGUAAAGUAUUUUGAUGAUCUUGAAACCUUGUGGAAAACAUUAUGAAAUGUUUUUUUCCUUGCCGGUUUAAUGUUUCGUCACCCCAGGUUGGUAAGUGCCGGGUGAAUAUUAUAUGAGCCGGGAAGAUUAUCAAAGGAUCGCAUGUAUGCUAUUAUGCUUAGGUUUAAACAACAUAAUCUUAAAUCAGCAUACAUAUACGUUUUUUUGGUUUGUGUUCCGGGUUAUCAAUACUUUCUGUGCAGAAUAAGGCAAGCAAAAUUUAAAAUGCCAAGGAAGUAAAAGCCAGAAAUAUACAACCAUGGCGGCUUAUGGAAAGCGGUAAGUGAUAAGAACAUGCACGGAGGCAUGAAGAGCAUUGGGAAGUUCUUUCUACCCUAUUACAAGACUCCUUGAGUCAGAAUAGAUGAAACAUUGUUUUUUAGCCAAACACCUGGCGAUUUAUUCCUUCGGCGGGCUUGAAGGCUCCGGGUUAUCCUUCUCCACUUCUCUGUCGGCUGUUUUGUCCUGGAAAGUUGACGAGGCCCAGUCAAUGCCGCUCAAAGCUUCAAACUCAGCUUCAUCAUCUAUUAAACCGGCCGGGUCCACUUCAGGGGCAAAAUUAUGCUUACGAAUUGGAGGGAUCAGGCUGAUCUGAUCAGAUGGAGCGUUUGGGAUUCUUCGGUUUUCACUGUCAUAAGCCGGCGCAUACUUGCUAAGGUCAGAGUCGUUUCCAAUAAGGGUUGCCACCGGACGUAUGGCUCUGACACAGGCGGUGAAAUCAUGAUCAUCAAAUGCAGUGCCGUCUUCCUUCAGACUUGGGUACCCAAGGGCAAGGUCGGCCGAGUCUAGUUCUGGGAGCCAUGCUUUAGCCCGGCUCAAUGCGGCCAUGGCCCCGGCUCUUGAGGACGCCCGCCUUAGGUCUUGGAUCCGCCGAGGAGAAAAGCGAGGCUCUUCAACACGUCUUGCAGAAGGCGGGGAUGUGGAGUUGAUAAAGCUACAACGGCCAAGGCGCGUUGUGACCCAGAGUACAUCUGUUCUACUAAGGUGUAAACUGCUUUAAGCUUGAUCAGCAUGUUUUGCUUCAGAUUGGUACUCCUGGGGCCUGUAUGGGCAUAAACAUGACCGUCAGCCGGAAGUAAUUAAUGCAAUAAUAAUUGUAAUGUUACAAUGUUUAAGGCUGUUUUCACAAAUAACUUACCGAAGAUGGCAGAGACCAUUUGAGAUAUAUGUUGUUUUAAGUCGGAUAGCUCGGUUGUUGCUUCUGCAAGGGAUGUUUCGGCUGUUUCGGCCCGAGUCACCAGAGAAGCCUUCUCACCAGCCCAAAUUUUCUUCUCCGACUCAAAUUUCUUCUUUAGUUUCUCAUUUUCAGAGACACCGAAUUCAAAUUUGGAGUUAGCCUUCUGUGUUUCAAGUUCUUGAGUUUCCAGAUGACUCUUCAGGACCGCAAGCUCUGAUUCAAACUGAUUUAUGGCAGCCUGCAUUACACCAGGUUAUGGUAAGGAUGAUAAGGUAACAUUAAAGUCUCAAGCACCUUACAAGUAAAGAUACUUGACACUUGGGGGCUAAUGUAUGCUGAAGAAUUUUAAACCUUCUCUUGCCGGGUCACAUAUAUUAAAGUCUCAAGUACCUUACAAGUAAAGAUACUUGACACUUGGGGGAUAAUGUGUAUUGCAAAUUUAAAAACCUUAUGUUAUAACCAGGUUAAGUAAAUUCUUUUUGAGCCGGAUAAGUUAACAAGUAUAGCAGAUUUCUAAAGUCUACAACAUAUUUGCUCAAUAAACAAUAGACUUGGGGGGUAGUACAGUAUGUAAGACUCAGGUAAAAAGUAUAAGUAAUACCUCGGAUUUGUGCUGUAUUUGUUUCACCAUGUCAAUUUCCAGGUCACGGCUGUUAUGCACUUGAUUCAGAUAGCCCGAGACUAUAUCACCAAUGCUUAAGUGAGUAUAAUCAGUAAGGUUCUUCUUGGCUUUUCGGCGUUGGGCAAAUUCCUCCUUGGCGGUACAUUUGGCAAGGACGGUAGGCCGUCCGGGUUCAACAAACUGAGAUUUCACAAUCUCAACUUCCGGUUCAUUUGUUUUGACCGGGCUAGGAGUUUUCGGGUCACUUGCAUGGAGAGUAUCUUCGGCAGGUGGAUCAGAAGUUGGCAUUGGAAUAUCAUAAGCCGGAUCUGGCGGUGGCUGAUGGGCAGAGUUGUCUGGAACAGAUGCAUUAAUCACUGGUUCGGUUACGACCAGUUCUUCGGAUGGUUUAUUCUUCUUUACCCGUUUACUGGGCUUCACUUGCAUGCUGAUUAACAAAAGCAAAAGGAUGAAUACACAAGCAUGGGUAAAUAAAAAGUGCAUAAGGUUACAUUACCCGGGAGUAGUUUUGAAAGUCGGCAUGUUUGACUGCAUGGAUUCACCGGAAGAAGGAGAAGUAUCCUAAUAAUUGGAGUCAGACGAAUUGAGAGGAUGACGAAUUAAGCCCGCUAAAGGUAAAACAGAACGUAAAUCGGAGAUAACCUCAGUCCGACGCUUCCUGGUUACGUCAGGUAAGCCGGAGGAGAGUUCUGCAUCCUUGUUGUUCCGGGUUUGCCUCCGGCUCUCGAGCUGUUGUUGCUUCAAAAGAAAUUGAGGAUCUUGAUAAGCAAGUGCAUGUGAAAAUCUUACUUUCCGGUCACCCUUUGGAUCUUUUGCUUUGGCAAAGGCUCUGAGUCGGAGGAGAUUAUAGUUACCUCUUCAUUGGCUGCUCGACUGUUCCCCGUAUCCUCCUGAAGGAGUAGAAUGUCAGACAGGUGAUAACAAGGGACUUAAGAAAAUUUAAAGAUUACCUCUUCCUCAUCCGAAGAGCUAUUUUCCAAUCUGAGUAAGUCAGAGGCGCUGGGUUUCUUAUUCUUUGAGGUUACUGCCUUGGCGGUUUUCCUUUCAGCCUUCUUGGUCGUCCUGGGUUGUUUAGCAGCCUCAUGGUCAUAUUUGGCUUUCCAGAAGUUAUCAUCGGCCUGCGGAAAAAGUUAAGGAAUUAUGAGUGCCAAGAAAGGUAUAGUAUAGCAUUAAGUAUUUGUUACGAUUGAUAACUUACUGCGGGGGCCGGGUUAUUCUUGCAAAAUGGAAGUAAGCCGAAGGCGUUGCUUGUCAUAGUGCCUUCCUUCAGCAGUGACUGGGUCGUAGCAUCCACCACGUCAUCUGGUAAGUCGUCAGGGCUAUGGCGUAACGGAUCAUUCUUUUCGCCUGAAUAAGCACACAUUAAGCUGGGACGGCGGCUUAAUGGAAGUAUUCGCCAAGUGACCCAGACUCGGACCAGAUCGAUGCCGUUUAAACCAUUUCCCAAGAGAGCUUUAAUCUUCCUGAUGGUGGAAUUGAGAGGCACGCGUUCAAGGGUCGUCAGCUUGUCUGGUAGAGGAUGGUUAGACUCAAGGCGCAGGGCGCGAAAGCCGGGCAGAGGUUUUUCAUCAGCCGGAGAAGUGUCCUGACAGUAGAACUACGUCUGGUUCCAAGAUUUUGGGUGACUCGGCAACUCAGCAUAAGGGAAAAGAUAGUCUCUCCGUCGCUGGAUUGAGAUGCUGCCAAGCUCAAGACUGGGCCCGUUUGCACGUUCAUUUUGCCGGUUCAUGUAAAAAAGUUCCCUGAACAAUAGCAGACUUGGUUCUUCACCUAGGUACACCUCGCGGAAGACUUGAAAAUUGCAAAUAUUUGACACGGAAUUGGGUCCAAUGUCUUGAGGUCUAAGGUCAAAGAAAUUUAAAACCUCCCUGAAGAAUUUUGAGUCAGGAGGAGCAAAUCCACGGCUCAUAUGAUCCGUAAAAAUUAUUACUUCCCCUGCUUUGGGGUAAGGCUUUUCUUCAGACGGGUCAGGGGCAUGGUAAGACAUGACAUCCUUUUUUGGCAGAUGCCCAGACUUCACAAACUCAGCUAGUUUGCUAUUGGUAACUAUGGAUGGAACCCAAUUGCUAGUUACAGGGGCCUUGGUAGCCUUAGGAGCCAUCACAGCAAUUGGCCUAUGGAAAAACAAGAAGAUCCGGUUCAAUUUUAACCCGGGAGAAAGAUCCUAAUUAUUCAAAGUGGCGGCUUAAUGAGGGGCCUAAUGAUAUCAGGACGACUGUGCAAACAAUAUUUAAGCCGCCACAAGUAUCAACAACAGUUCAAAAAUUAUUCGGAUCGUUUAUUUAAGUCGGACACCUCGACAGUUCUGUUUCAGGGUAUUUACCAGAAGAAGUUUCCGGGUGAUAAAAACAAGUUUUCACAGAUAACAGUUAUUACUCUGGAUCAAAAUGUUGCUCUGAAAAGAAAUUUUUCUAGACCUAAAAACAGGGCAGAGAAGUUCGUGCACUCGAAGAGGGUUUCCAAACAAGGGAAAUGAGAUCUAUUUCUAUGCAAGGUCAAUACAAACAAGUACCACAACAGUUCUACGUAGUUUUCACGAUCUAAGCAGGGCCUUGGAGGUAAGAACUAGCGAGGGUUUGCGUCAGGCAGUGAUAAGCGCCGACGAACUCGACAAAGUCCUAAUGCAGAUCUGAGAAGGGUAACGAAAGGAACUCACGGAUGCGGACGAGCUGCGGAGGAGCGCCGUCGAUCUCUGGUCAGAGUCAGGUUGAUGCAGCGGCCUGAGUCGGUGAAGACGAGGGGUUCGACGGUGGCGGCGGCAGAGCUCGGGAAAAGGCAAAAGGAAGAAGAUGACUGAGGGAAAGACCUAGGUCGCCCUAUUUAUAAGAGAAGACUGCCCGAGAGGGCGCGAAAAACAAGGAGAUAACAUUUAUUAUCCAGCGGCUCUGGCGCCUCGAUUCUCGAGAUGGUCAGUAAAGACAAAGAUCCGUUGAAGAUAUGACGGAAUAAAAAUUAAGUUUUAUUGAAGAUGACGUCACGAUGAUUUAGCCCGGAUCCAGAUGAUGACGUCACGGCGGGUUAAAAUUCUUCGUGCAAGACAAAAGACUGCAGGACAGUUCAUACGGUAUUUUAAGAUUGACAUAAACAGGUUCAAAUCAAUCUGGGGCCUAAUGUUGGGGAUAUAACUAUUUGUGUAAGCCGCCCAGGAGGGGCCGGGUUAUGCAAAGAGGAUUCAUCAAAGAGAAGCCCAAGACCAAAGCAUGAAGAUGGCGGUUCAUAAAGAGUUUAAAAGCCCACAGGCGACUUAAGGCCCGUUGUGGUAAACCGCUGUAAUAAUAUUACUUGUAUCAUAAGGUAGAUUUAACUAGUCACCGAGCCGGACAUUGUUUAUAAGCCGGCCGGCACUCUGUAAGCCGCAGGGCGUCCACCCGUGUAUAUAAGGGGACGACCCGCUGGCGGCUUAGGGCAAGAAACAACUCAUCGAGAGCCAGGCAUAGCGUAUCUCGCUCCCUGGUCAUCGAAACAUCAAUACCAACCCAACUAGACGUAGGCCUUACCUUCACCGUAAGGGGCCGAACUAGUAUAAAAGCCUCUCGUGUCCUUUGUCCCGAUUAACCCCUUCAAGCUUCCUAGUUUCGAUGGCUCCACAACUAAGUCCUUUCAUGAGGACAUCUGACGUGACAAUUCCACGACACCGCCGGACUUUCUUAAAAGAAUCCGGUCAGUCCCGCAAGCUGACGGCUCGGUACUUCCGGAGCUAGGCUAGCAGUUUCGCCUCCAUCGAUCGCCGCGCACACCCGCGGAAUUCAUACCGCGCAUGCAUCACUACGCACUCAAAAUACCUUGGGCAUCAAUGGAGGCACAAUACGGACAGGUCUAUAGUACGGUUCGACCCUGUAUGACCUUCCACCUUUCUUCAAUUUCUUUUUCUCCUACCACAGGUGCAUUCGAACUUAUAUAUCCUACGGUUACAAGGACUCCCUUCGAACCCGGUUUCGUGUAGGUAACCGAAGACCGUUCCCUUUAAGGAACCCCUCUCUACAAGGCGAAAGCGGCGCAGACGUGCAGCAGAAUAUCCAAAGGACUCUUCAUACCAAACCUUAUUUAAAGGACCUGCUGAGCUUUUCUCCUUAUUAUUAGACCCCCGGCAUGUAAAAUGAUUUUGGUGCUUAUGGUACCCUCUGUAAGAUCACGUUUUGACGUAUCAAUCAGAUCCUAGUAGGGACAAUUUUUCGGUAUCAACUUUAUUCAUAAAGCCGUACCCCGUCUCCCUAGUUGUCUCGCUCACAUACCUCGACACCCAUUGCCAAGGGCUCUAUACGGCCACAUAUGUGCCGCUAAACAAAAGCCCGAACAGCUUUGCAGCACACUUCAGCAUCUCAAACUUGGCAUUAUAUGCAUCAGCUCUGAAUCAUGUCUUUGGUCAAUAGUUGGGUUGCCCGGCUCAUGUGUUUGCUACCUUACGUUCCGUUUGUUCGGCUAGGGUAGUAAAGGGAGAACUACUGUGAUUGUGUUUCUGGUUCGUCCGGUCAAGCACCUCAGUAGAGAAAGCCGAAAACUGACUGUCAUGAUGCGGCUAGAACUGGUCAGCCGCUCGGUGACUUAAUAAAUCUUUAAUGAUUUUUCUGUAUUAAACGAAGGACUGUUUUUCCAGUCAUAUACGUAACACAUCCGCAUUCGGAUAGCCGCAUACGUACCAGGGGCUAUUUUAUAGCCCCAUCCUCAAACUCCUAUGGCUAAGUGAGAGCGGUAAAGCCGUAUAGUCUGAUUACCUGGUUCGCCGCACUGACACCUCCGUCACGGAUCAAGACGUUGGGUCAAGAGUGCUCAUGUGAUAUUUCCGAACACCUCUGUAGCAUCUACGUGGGGGCCGAAGCCGACGACUGGAAAACUCUCAGGCAUACAAAAACGGCCACACAGGAGGGAAGAAACUUCAGAUAAUGGACCAAAUAUAUUACAAAGCCUUAAUUUAUAUAAUAAACAUCUCCGGGUCGUUCGGAUACAUUCAUUCGAAUAUAAUGUCCUUUUAGCAUUGACCCUCUGUAAAGCAAGCACCCUCUAGGACGUCGUCUAAAUAACGCUCCGGCAUGCGGUGGUCCUUGCCUUCGGGAGGACCCUCCACCACGAUAACGACGGCCUUCAUCUUCGCCCAGUGCACCUUGAUGCGGGCGAAGGCCAUAUGUGCACCUUCUAUGCACACUGACCAUUUGAUUGUAUCAAUUCAGGGCACGACAUCGAUGAGUCGCUGCACUAGGCCAAAAUAGCUGCUCGGAACAGGUUCGGCCGGCCACAACCGGAGUGACCUCCUUCAUGGCCGCUCCGGACAUCUUAUGCAACUCGGCCCAAUGCGCCAUUUGGUCGUUCAGCAGCGUCGAGCGCUCCCGCGUCACAAACUACGACCAAAACAGCUUCUCCGUCGCAUGCCCCUCCCGGGCUCGGUAGAAUUGCGCAGCGUCGGCGGCGCUCUUCGGAAGAUCCGCAAAGGUGUCUGGAUUACUCCAUAGUCGAUUAAGUAAGGCAUACCUCUGAUCGCUAUCUGUACGGCCUGCCGGAUCUCCUCGCGAGCCGCUUGGGAUUCAGACCUCGCCUCUUGGGCUUCCUGAAGGGCCUUGGCGAGUUCAGCCGCCUUAACUUUAUUCUCCUCCUCGAGGAGCUCGCACUUGCGAGUGGCGUCCUUGAGCUCUUACUCAACUUUGGACACCCGCUCCUCGAACUGGCGCCGGGAGACCUAUUCAGCCUUCAAAUCAGCAGCCGCUUUCUCAGCGGCCGCAUUGCUCAUCCUUGCCUGCUCCUUCGCACGGGAAAGGUCACUCAUGAGGGUCUCGACCUCAGCAGCGCCAUAUGCAAUUAUGCAUAUAGCAGCACGCAAGCUUCAACUUAGCAUUUGCAAACUAAUUCAGUUGUAUAUGGAGUACUUGAAACAUACCCUAUGCCUCGUCGAGCCGCUUAUUAAUCCAAAUAUUGUCCUCGUUGACCAGCUGUAGUUUCUGCUUUAGUUCGGAAACUUCGGCGGCCUGAGCGGUUGCCGCUAAUAGUGAAGCCUGUUUUUUUACCAAAAAGAUAAGUAUGUUAUUUCCUGCGGAUAUCUAUAGACCUUUUGUUCGCCCUCCUUCAUUGGCCAAACAGAGUAUCAAGGGCUACUAUCUAUAUACAGGUAGAUUUUUUAUAUGGAAAGCGGCUAAAUACAUUACAUCGCAUAACUCGAAGCCUGUUAGUAGGCUCGUGAAGGCUUCAUUCAGUCCGCUCUUAGCGGACUGAACCUUCUCAACCAUCGUACCCAUCAAGGUACGGUGCUCCUCCAAGACGGACACACUUUGCAGUGCAUCCAUCAGCAUGUUCGGCGCCUCUGCAUUAAUAGAGGUCGCCGCUGGAAUAGCCGUAUCCCCCUCCCACGGAGGGGGCUGCUGAUUCAGUUCUAGAGCCAUUUGUGUCUCUGGAACAGUAUCCGGCUGGGGGUCAGAUAAUUCAGGACCCCCGUCGCCGGUCUCCAUGAGGGUUGUGCCCCUUAUUUUCUCGGCAGCCAAGGUGUUAUCCCCUGGCGCCGUCUUGGUCUCCUCCCACACUUCUCCGGAGCCCGGAGAAAUCCUUUGGGAUGACACCUCGGUGUCAUCCACCCUAGGAGGCGGGGAAGCUUGUGGAGGCAUCUCGCUCUCCAUCUUCUCUGGCGAAAGAUCCCCCGAUGACGAUGAUUCUUGAGGGAUGUCACGGGCCAGACUGAAAAACAAAAUUUGAUAUUAUUCUUAUAAUCUAUAAAAAGAUGAGAUGUAUGUAAGGCAUCUUAAGGUACUUACGAUUCGGCAAUGGGCUUGGCUCGGGGCGGUGCUUGGGGAUAGCUUCGGUGCCCGAAUCCGAAUCAUCCGAGAGGGAUAUCUUUCCCCUCUUGGACGCCCCCUCCUCCGGAUCUACGGAGGCCGCCCUCUUUUUCCCUUUGAGAGGAGGGUUCUAUUCUUCCUCCUCCUCCUCCUCCUCUUCUUUGUCUCCCUCGUGAGAGGAAGGAGCCUCGGUUCCUCUGGACACGGCGCCCAAAGUUUCUUUGUGAGGGAGGCCACAUUCAGCCUCCUUGCUCUUCUUCUUCUUGUCCUUCUUUGCCGGUGCCUGGUAGGGCGCUGGGACCAGCAUCUUCAUCAACAGAGGCUCGACUGGGUUUUUGGGGAGCGGGGUCGGACACUUACUCCGCUCUGCCUUUUUAUCCAAUCCUAUUUAGGAGAUGGAAUUUUCAGGACCCCUCCCUAAGAUUGACAAGCUAAGUAAUGUUCAGAAAUAUGAUACUUACUGGGGAUGCCGAAUUGUUGCAAUCGAGGCCGGUGUCGUCAGACGUCCUUGGACACGUCUUCUGCUUCUUGAAGAGCAGCUUCUAGAUCCCUUUGAGCGUCAUGCCAAAGAAUCACUACAGAGUCCGUGGCCCCUCCGGAUUGAACUCCCACAUUUUGAGAGGCCAUCAUUGGCAAGGGAGAGCUCGGCGGAUGAGCAUCACCUGAAUCACAUCAGCAAGGGUGAUGUCCUUUUUUACCAUACUCUUGAUAUGCUUCUGCAGCAUCGACACUUCGUCAGGGGAUCCCCCAUCUAGACCCUUGUUGGUCCAGGAUGCAAGCCGCGGAGGUCCAGAUCUUGAAGCAGGAGAAGUAGCCCACUUGGUGCCGCGGGGUUCGGUGAUGUAGAACCACUCCUACUGCCACACCUUGACAGUAUCCACAAAUCUCCCUUUGGGCCAGGUAACAUGGUUGAGCUUGCUCACCAUGGCGCAGCCGCACUUGGCGUGUUGGCCUUCAACCACCUUUGGCUUCACAUUAAAAACCUUGAGCAAUAAACCAAAGUGUGGGGGGACACGGAGGAAUGCUCACACACGACUAUAAACACCGAGAUGUGGAGGAAGGAAUUCGGGGCCAGAUCAUGGAAAUCCAGCCCAUAGUAGUACAUGAGACCUCGGACAAAGGGAUGGAGGGCGAACCCAAGUCCUCGGAGGAAGUGGGGAAUAAAAACCACCGUCUCACCGGGCUCCGGGGUGGGGAUGAUCUGCCCCGGGUUGGAAGCCUUUCUUUUAUCUCCGCUGUCAGGUACCUCGCCUUGCGUGGAUCUUUGAUGUCCUUCUCCGUUAUGGAGGAGGUCAUCCACUUGCCCUGGGAACCGGAUCCGACCAUUGGUGGAGAAGUUGGGGCAAAGGGAAAGUUUAGAACUUGGGAGCUGGAGCUCGGGGACAGUGUCGGGGGUUGGAUGCGACAUAUGCCAAAGGAUGGCUUAUCAUGGUGGGAGCGAGUAGAACGUCGCCGGUGCCUGGAAGCGAGAUGAGGCGAAGACAUGCACGCCGGCGGAUCUUACCCAGCUUCAGGGCUCUCCUAGGAGAUAACACCCCUACUGCUGCUCUGCGGGGUCUCCGCAUGAUCACUCAAGCAAGGUGACUACAACGGUGCUCCUAGAGCUGUUUUGGGAGGCAGGAGAGAGCAAGGCUGGUUCUCUCCUCCCGUGCUAUCUGGUCUAUCUCUAUUCAGGUCUGAACCCUUUGCAUGGGUGCCCUGGGGGGUUUAUAUAGGCCUACCCCCCGGGGGUACAAUAGUAAUAUGGCUGGGCACGGGUCCCAUCCGUCUGUCUCUCUGGCCACCGUCCUUCUCGCCGGCUUCUGGGGCCCGCCGACUGGCGGGUCCCGCGGACAGGCUUGAUACUAUAGCGACACUCCUGGUGACGCAGGCUUGGUCACCGGGUCGUGGCAACAGUGCCGCCGUCUAUCAGGCGAUCACUGUCGCCAUUCCCGAUCUUAUCAGGUUAAUGGCACAUGGGGCCCUGGGGAGGAGUCGGCCGAUUCCGGGGAGGCCGACUCUCACAGGUCUGUCUUUGGGCGCCCAGGCCGCCUUCGGCCCUCGCACAGACAGGCGGCCCCGCCGCCUUCGGGUCGUACAUGCCUGCGUCGUGGGCAUAGUGUACUGCGCAUUGUGGCUGAGGUCAGGGUAGGCAUGGCAACAGUGUCGCGCCUCGCCGGAGAUCUUCCAGCGAUACAGCUCACUGUAGCCAUGCCGGCCCUUCGUGAGCAGGGGGAGACGGCCACAUCAUGACCGUACCCCGCAUCGUACUUCGGGAUGAGGGAGGAGCCACGGGCCGACUCUCCAAAGUCGGCCUCCUUGAAGGUCGCCAGCUUGGAGUCAGCUUAUCUCGGAGUCGCCGUCUGGGACUCGGCCUGAGGGGCACGGCCUGCCCCGAUGUCUUGAAAGGUCUUGGGGCUCGGGUUAGCCUACCCGUGGCCCAUUACUCCGAUAGUAGUCCCCGAAGCUGGUGAAGCCCGGCGGUCGCUGCAUUGUGGGGCUUCGUCAGCUUCAAUCUUUAUAAGUGCAGACUUCUGGGACUCGGCUGCCAUCUUCUCUUGGGCCGACUUUCGAAAGUCGGAGCUUCGGCGAAGAGCCUCAGUUCGAAAGUCGCGGCGGGAAACUAGGCGGCGUGCCUGAUACGCCUCCCCGCUGCCAUCAAGGCGGUCCUAUCGCGUGGCGCCACGUGGGGAGAACAAUCUGCCUGCCCACGUGCGCGACGGGACGGGCCGUCAGGCGGGGCCCGCCACUACCGCGCCUCGGCAUACAGACGGAUCCAUUGCGGCCGUGGACGGUUGGUUUUCCCACGUCGUUACUGCGCGCAGUAACUUCGUGGGGUAAAUCGUGGGGCGGUGCGGGACAUCGUGCGCAGUUAAUCCCACGCCCGCCCCCUCGCCUUCUCAGCACGCUGGGCUAUAAGUAGGCGGGGGGAAGCAGAGGGGCACAGCGCGCGCGCCCUUCUUCCCUGCUCCCCCGCCCCAUCUUGCUCUCUCUCCUUCCUUCCUCCGCUGUUGAGCCAGAGCACACCAUACCGCGGCGAUGAGCUCUUCCUCCGCCGAGGCCCCUGCCGUGCGCUCCGGCGUGUGGGACGGCUCAGAGGUAGAGGAAGAACACAUCGAGUUCCUCCGCCAGACACGUCGUCUUCCCAACGUGGACCUCGUGCACACCCGCGCCGCGCCGAAGGGGGAAAUCCGGCCGGCGCCGGAAGAGGGCGAGCGGGUCGUCUUCCGCUCGCACCUUAUGCGCGGCCCGGGGCUGCCGGCGAGCGGCUUCUUCCGCUCGUUCCUGGAGUUCCACAGUCUUCAGCCGCACCACCUCACACCGAACACGGUGGGGCUGCUCUCCGCCUUCGCCACUCUGUGCGAAGGUUUCCUCGGCCUUCUCCCCACCAUCGAGCUGUGGGGGGAAUUCUUCUCUUCUAAGCUCGGCACGCACAUCGCCGGCGUGCCGGCUCAGUGCGGCGCCUUCAUCGCGAUGCGACGCUCGACGGCUGACAAUCCCUUUCCUCCCAUCGCGCUGAUCAAGUCGGUGAAGAUGUGGUAGCGCACAUACUUCUACGUGAAGAACCUCGCCUCUGAUGGCGACUGGGUCAACCUGCCGCCCUACAACGCCACUCCCCUGACCGGGAGGCUCCCCAGCUGGUCCCACAGAGUCAAGUCGCUGUCCCUUGCCGGAGCCGCCGCCGUAGCGCGACUCCGAGUCUUGAUACAGUCGGAGGGACUCGUCGGGGCUGACUUGCUGGCCGCCUUUGUAGCGCCCGAGUUCUCCCGCUCCAAGGCCGGCCACACCUGUACUAUCAGAUGAGCGGCCCCCGAGACCCAAGUCGAAUGAGCACCAAGGAGAUGCCUCGCAAGGAGUUGGCGAACAUGGUGAACUACAUCGCGCACUGCGAGUACAAGGAGGACUGGCAGUUCGGCAAGGAGCCGUACUCGCGCGAUAACCCUCCACCAAUGGUAAGUCGCUUCUUCCUAUUGCUUUGUCUUUUUUCCUCAGCCGACUCCGGCUUCUAACUCUUGUCGGCUUCUUCUGAACCAGAAUCCUCUUAUGCAGCCUGCCGCCGGCACCACGAGACAGCCCCGCGAGUAUGUCCCCGACCGCGCGGAGAGCGACGUCGAUGACCCCGACUUGGGGGCGGCGGCAAUGGAAGCCGACGCCGAAGGCGGGGGAGGGGUAGCGGAAGGCGACUUCAGGCCUUCGGCCACUUUCAACGACUGGCCCGACGAUGACGCCGAAGGGGAAAUCGCCCCGCGCCACCAGCCGAAGGUCGGCUCCUCCGCCGGCCAGGGCGGCGUGAAGAGGCGUCACGCCGGGCCGAGUGCGCCUGGCGGCAAAUUGAAGAAGCUUAAGGGGGCGGCCGCCGCGACCAGACGGGAGGAGGCGGCCACGAAGGCCAACCGCUUCUGAAGGGAAGUGAGAAGGCCGCCGCUAGUAUCCGUGUAAGUCUUCAUGCUCUUUUAUUUUCUUUGUUGAAUCUUGUCCGAGUCUUCGUUUAUGUACUCCCUCCGAUCUUCUCCAGGGCCCCUCUCUCCCUUGUGAGAGUCGCCGUCCCCUCUGUCAUGGGGUCGGCGGAGACGUCCGCCAAUACUCGGCGGGCCGACCCCGCCGCCGCCCUCUGGGAGGCGACGGAGCAAAACGCGCGGGAGAAGUGCGAGGAGGAGGAAGCCGAACGUCUGGAGAAGGCGGAGGCCGACAAGGCGCCCGCCUCCGCCCAGAAGGAGCUGGAGGAUGCCGAAGCUACCCUCACAGCGAGACGGCGUGCCGAGGAGGCUGCGCGUCGCUGAUCAGUGAUGCUCGUCCCCCCACUAUCGUCUGCGCCGCCGCCUCCGGAGUUCACGGGGCAAACCGGAGGGGCCGGCACCGAGGACCCCAUCGUGGAGAAGGAGGGCGGCGAUGUUUCCAUGUCGGACACCCUCGUGCCGCUACCACCGCCUCCACCGCCGUCUGGGAGGCCGCACGGCAAACAGCCGGUGGAUCCGUCAGAGCCGCCGGCUAUGGACGAGGCCGAAGCGCGGCUGCUUCUCCAAGUCGCCUCGCCGGUGCGUCGCCGUCUUGAGAGGGAGACCUCGGCGCCGCAUCCUUGGGAGACCGGUGUGGCCGGCUCGGCAUCCCUAGACGCCGAGGCCACAAGUGCCGCGCCCACCGGGUGGGUGCGCGGAGGCGACACCGGGCCGUUGAAUCAACUGCUCCUGGAAGUCCAGGCGAAGCUGCGGGCCGAGGGCGAUGCCCUUCAAGCCUGCACCAGGGCGCAUCUGGCCGCACGGACGGCCGUCCGAGUAAGUUUCUUUUCCCUUUGGAUUCUUGUUCGUUUCUCUGUGGGAGCGCGCCAGCGCACCCAUUGGGUGUAGUCCCCGAGUUCCGGGCCGGCUGUUGAGCAGGCGGUUCGGAACUCCCUCUGGUGAGUUCCAAACACUAACUUUGCCUUCAAUGAUUCAUUGUAGGAGUAUGACAGCCUCCGCGCCACUGCCUUCAACCGCAAUGUCGAGGAGCUAAACAAGCGGGCUGCCGACUUGUCGGAAAGUCGGAGUAAGUUCUUCUUCUUCGCGGGGGCGCGCUGGCGCACCCGCGGGCUGUAGUCCCUGAGAUUCGGGCCGACUGCUGAGCAGUCGGGCUGGAUCUUCCCGGCGAUCUUUUUUGUUAAUGACUUAUUUUGUCUCUUCGUUGUUCCUCAGAGGCCAAUACCGUUCUUCAGGAGCAGCUGGGUGAGGCCAAUACCGCCCGUCGUGCCAAAGAGGAGGAGUGUGGCAAGCUCGCCACGGAGCGCGACCUGCUGGUGGCGCAGCUGGCCGAGCAGAAGGAGCUACUCAAGAAGGCGCAGGACGAGGCCAAGAAGAGGGAGGCCGCACUCCUGGCUGAGUUCGAGAGCGAGCGUUCCUCCUGGACUCACAAGGAGGCGAUGCUGACCUCCGGCUUCCACGAGAUCGAGGAUAUUGUUGAUGGUAAGUUUCUUUCGCUUCUUCGGGCUUCUGACUAUGUGUCAGGCUGACUUCUGAUUUUUUCGUCUUGCUUCUUUUUUGUCUUGGCAGACUUCUUCCCUGGUCAUUUGCAGGCAGUUCCUCUGGCCAUCGAGGCUGCUCGUGAGGCGCGAAGGGUGAACGGUGAGGAGAUCGCCGCCAAUGCCCCCCGAACCAUCGAUGAGCAGCUUCUGAGCAUUGAAGCCCGUCUUCGUCCGGCUCACCGGCUGAUGCGCCGGCUUCAGCGUGCCGGCGCCCAGGCGGUUGCCGCCUUGUGGCCAGGCAUGCCGGCUCUGCGCACCGCCUGCCGAACUGCUAACUGGCUGGAGGUCGCUGCCGGCCGUCUUGAGGCUUGGAAGGGCUCCUCGGCCCGGGCCGGAGCGCGCCGGGCCUUGGAGUUUGUCAAGGCGUGGUAUCCAGGGCUAGACUUGGACCGUCUGGCCGCGUUUCGGUCAGAAGCCCAGGCCGAGCUGGAGGCCGUGGAGGGCACCCUUAUCGAGCGUGCAGCGGCCAUCACCGAGUACACAGACACCAGUGUCUUCGUCCCCGAGCGGGCUGAAGGCGGCGAGGAAGUGCCGCCGGAGUGGUUCGAAAUGAACCAGGAGUAUGGCGAAGAUUCGGCGAAGGUGAUCGACUCCAGCACUGAGGAGGAGGACGAGGCGGAGGACGAAGGCGAGGCGGAGGCGCCAAAAGACAGAGCAGGCGGCCAUCCUCAGCUCGACCGCGCCUCCAGCAACGAGCCACGUCAAGAGAAGGCGACUGCCGCCGGAGGUGAUCAAGCCGAGACCGCCCAGCCGACUGCCCCGGCGCCUGACACCGCCGUCUCCUCCGAUCCUCCGAUCCCCAACGCCGCCUCCUAGGCUGCCUCUGCCUGUCUGUCUUAGUAAUCUUUUGACAACUUUGUUAGUUUCGAACAGUUCCACCCGCGGGGUGUAUCUUGAACUUCUAUCCGAAAAUUCGGCCAAGGGCCUAUGUAAAUAUUUAUCCGAUUUCUGUCUUCCCUUGCUUACUGCUCUUUUAGGCUUUUCCCUUUGCCGCCUUCCCUUAGUCGUUGCCUUGCCAGUCGGACAGCCGCUCCGCGGACUGUCGCUGGGUCAAGUGCUCAGCUACUUUGGGAAAGCAAGUACUUGGUCGUUUAGAGUUUCUUUAGCAAGUUGGAUAGAAAGCGACAGGCCGAGUACCCAAGAGUCGGCCGUCCUUGAUAAAAGCUCAUAAAGACGGUGAGCCGGCUACUCAUGAGUCGGCUUCUGCUUUAGAAAUGCUAGAGGCCGUCUUACGCUACGUUCAUGCUUUAGGUCCUUAGCCAUUUUUCGUGUGGGCGCCCGUUCUUCCCCCCUCCUGUCCGCCUCACAGUCGCUCUACGAGCUGCGGCUUUGCCAGGAGGCGGAUUGGGCACCGCGCACUACUUGUCUGACUGCGGGAAGCUCCUCAUAGCGCAAGGCGGCGAGUCCCCGGGCCGACUAGUCUGGCCCGGUGCCACGCGGCUUGUAAUGAAAGUGAUUUUCUUGAAGGCAUAAUUCUUAUCAUAUAGAUAACAAAAAGGGAAGUCUCCGAGCUCGUCUUGGGGGGCCCAAAGUCUUAGUACUUUAAUACAAAGGGGUAGUGCGAUACAUACUGCAUCAACUGUAAAAUCUUCGAAGAAGAUUUGCAUUCCACGGGCGCUCUGUUUCUUUGCCGGAGUCGUCCCUCUUGCGCGCUCGGGGCUUCUGAGCAUCGAUCAGAUAGUAGGCGUCAUUUCCUAGCACCUUGCUGAUGAUGAAGGGGCCUUCCCAAGGCGCCGAUAGCUUGUGCUGGCCGGCUGUUCGCUGGAUCAGCCGGAGCACAAGGUCGCCUUCUUGGAAAGAUCUUGGCCUGACCUUCCUGUUGUAGUAUCGACGCAGGCUCUGCGGGUAGAUGCCGGACCGGCUGAGUGCCAACAGCCGGCCCUCUUCUAGUAGAUCGACGCCAUCUUGUCGUGCUUCUUCUGCUUCUUCCUCGGUGUACAUGGUGACUCGCGGGGAGUCGAACUCUAUGUCUGUUGGGAUCACGGUUCGGCACCAUAGACGAGGAAGAAGGGUGUGAAGCCGGUUGACUUGUUCGGAGUCGUGCGCAGACUCCAGAGGACGGCUGGCAGCUCCUCAAGCCAACAGCCGGCAGAUCGCUCUAGCGGGACGACGAGUCGAGGCUUGAUGCCGGAUAAGACGAGGCCGUUCGCUCGCUCCACCUGGCCGUUUGACUGCGGAUGGGCAACGGACGCUAAGUCCAAUCGGAUGCCCUGCGUCGCGCAGAAACGGGCCAAGGCGCCUUUGGCAAAAUUCGUGCCAUUGUCGGUGAUGAUGCUGUGUGGGAUGCCGUACCGAGUUGUGAUGUCAGCGAUGAAGGUUACUGCAGUCGGACCGUUCAAUUUCUUGAUGGGUUUCACCUCCACCCACUUGGUGAAUUUAUCCACUGCGACAAGCAGGUGAGUCAAGCCACCUCGUGCCGUCUUGAAUGGUCCCACCAUGUCCAGACCCCAGACUGCAAAGGGCCAGGCGAUGGGGAUAGUCUUGAGUGCGGAAGCUGGCUGAAGUGGCUUGGAACGGAAAAUCUGGCACCCCUUGCACUUUUGGACUAGCUCUUUGGCCUCUUCUAGGGCGGUUGGCCAGAAGAAACCGUGCCGGAAGGCUUUGGCGACGAGUGCUCUGGAGGCCGCGUGGUGACCGCACUCACCUUUGUGGAUGUCUCUGAGGAUUGCUUGGCCUUGUUCUGCCUCAACGCAGUGUUGGAAGACGCCGGUAACGCUGCGCCUGACCAGCUCUCUGUUGACUAUGGUAUAGGCUGAUGCUCGGCGUUGCACUUGCUGAGCCAAGAUUUCAUCAGUUGGCAGCUCUCUGUUUACUAAGAAUCUGAGGAUGGGCUGGGCCCAUGAAGGUGCUGCUAUUUCUUCAACUGCCACUAAUGCGACUUGGAUAAGGGCGGUCGGGCUGGGAGGCGGCGGGUUGGAGUCCGCAGCUGCUUGCUAGUUUGACAAAGUCCCGGGGCUGACUGGAGCAGUCCCAGGGCCAAGCUCUGGAGUCUUCGAUCUUGCCGCAGCAGUCCCCGGGCCGGGUUCUGAAGUCCCCGGGCCGGCUUCGACUGUGUGCUUCCUGGAGUCGGGUCCGGCGUCCUCAGGCGGAGCCAGCACAAAGAUUGAAUCUGAUUCUGGUGAUGGCUUGAUAGAAGGCUUGAGGAGGCGCCGGAGGGCGACACCAGAUGGUAUUGCCUGGCGAGUGGAGCCGAUUCGUGCCAAGGCGUCUGCUUGGUCGUUGUCGUUCCUUGGCACGUGGAGGAACUCGCACCCCUCGAAGUAUCCGCUGAGCUGCUGAAUGAGGAAACGGUAGCUCGCCAUAUUUGCGUCUUUGGCAUCCCAAUCGCCAGAUGAUUGUUGGACUACCAAGUCGGAGUCGCCAUAACACAAGAUCCGGCGAAUGCCGAGUUCUUUGGCAAGCCGGAGCCCGUGUAUGAGCGCCUCGUACUCGGCCACGUUGUUGGAGGCGGCGAAGUGGAUCUGCAGCGCAUAUCUGAGCUUGUCGCCCUUGGGGGAAGUGAGGACGACGCCGGCUCCCAAGCCGGUGCGCAUCUUGGAGCCGUCAAAGUGCAUCCGCCAAUGGGUGGAGUCAGGCGCUGGCGGCAGGUACUGGGUCUCGACCCAGUCGACGAGGAAGUCGGCCAGCGCCUGUGACUUGAUGGCGGUGCGGGGCUCGUAGUAGAUGGUGUAGGGAGCCAAGUCAAUGGCCCAUUUGGCCACUCGGCCAGAAGCAUCUCGGCUUCCGACGAUCUCGGCCAGUGGAGCUGUGCAGACCACAGUGAUUGGAUGCUCCUGGAAGUAAGGCUUCCAUUUCUUGGCGGCAAAAUGCAUGCCGUAGCACAUGUUCUGGUAAUGGGGGUAGUUCUGCUUGGAGGUCGACAGUACUUCUCUCAGGUAAUACACCGGUCUCUGGACAGGUAGCGCCUUGCCUUCCUCCUUGCACUCAACUACCAUGACUGUGCUGACUACUCGGCUGGUGGCGGCAAUGUAUAGGAGAAUGGCCUCUUUGGGAGUCGGAGCCGCCAGCACAGGGGGAGCAGUCAACAUCUUCUUCAGUUGGAGAAAAGCCUCGUCCGCCUUGGGAGUCCACUCAAAGAAGGUCGUCUUCUUCAUGAGCUGAUACAAGGGGAGAGCCUUCUCGCCCAGCCGACUGAUGAAUCGGCUGAUGGAUGCCAAACAGCCGGUGAACUUCUGCAUAUCUAACAGUCGUCUGGGUGCUUCCAUCCUCUCGAUGGCCUUGAUCUUCACAGGAUUGCACUCUAUGCCGCGUUCGGAGACCAGGAAACCGAGGAGCUGGCCGGCUGGUACUCCGAAAAUGCACUUCUCUGGGUUGAGCUUGAUCUGGAAUCGGCGCAAAUUCUCGGAAGUUUCCUUGAGGUCCUCCAGCAAGGUUCCACGCUUCUCCGUCUUCACCACUACAUCAUCCACAUAGACGUGGGCGUUUCUGCCAAGUUGCUUCAGGAGGCACUUCUGCAUGCAACGCUGAAAGGUGGCGCCGGCGUUUCUCAAGCCGAACGUCAUGGUCAGGUAGCAGAAGGCUCCAAACGGCAUGAUGAAGGCGGUCUUCAGUCUGUCAGCCAGGUUCAGCUUGAUCUGGUGAUAUCAUGAAUACGCAUCUAGGAAACUCAACAGCUCGCAUCCGGCUGUGGAGUCUAUCACCUGAUCGAUUCUCGGCAGAGCAAAUGGGUCCUUGGGGCAAGCUUUGUUGAGGCUCGUGUAAUCAAUGCACAUCCGCCACUGCUUGUUCUUCUUCAGCACCAGUAUCGGGUUUGCCAGCCACUCUGGAAAAAACACUUCCAUGAUGAAGCCGGCUGCCAGCAGCCGGGCUAUUUCUUCUCCAACAACUCUUCUUUUUUCUUCUGACAGGCGGCGCAAGGGCUGCCUGACGGGCUUCACAUCAGAUCGUACGUGUAACUUGUGCUCGGCGAAUUCCGUCAGGACACCAGGCAUGUCCUUGGGGGACCAUGCGGAGAUGUCGCGAUUCUCACAGAGGAAAUCGACGAGCUCGCCUUCCUAUUUGCUGUCAAGGCCAGUGCCUAUGACAGCGUGCCUCUCUGGGUGCUCUGGGUCCAAGGGUAUCUUCUUUGUUUCCUUGGCCGGCUUGAAUGAUCCUUCUGCUUCUGACUCCUUGGGGUCGGGCGAUAACUCGGGCUGCUUGCCGGCCAUCGCCACGACCCGAUCAAGAAGCUGUUUCUCAGCCGCGAUCACCAAGGACUCGGCCAGCCGACUGCUUUCGGCCGCGCAAGCGGAUGACUUCCUAUAGUCGCCGGACAUGGUUAGGAUUCCCUUGGAACUCGGCAUCUUCAUCUUGAGGUAGGCGUAGUGGGGUACCGCCAUGAACUUGGCCAGGGCGGGUCGGCCGAGCAAUGCGUGAUAUGGGCUUUCAAGGUCCACCACCUCAAACCAAAUUGGCUCUCAGCGGAAAUGAUCCUUGUCUCCGAAGAGGACAUCUAUCAGGAUCUUGCCGAUUGGUGAGCAGGAAAGGCCAGGGACGAUUCCGUGAAACACAGUCCGGCUGCUCUGAAGCUGUCUUCGCUUGAUUCCUAGUUUCUCCAUCGUAUCCUUGUACAUGAUCUUGAUGCUGCUGCCUCCGUCUAUCAGUACUCGCGAGAAGCGAGCGGCCCGCCUGUCCGUGGCAAGGGUGGCGCCUAGGACCAAGGCGUAAGAGCCUGGGCUCGGCAUCACCUCUGGGUGAUCAGCUCUGCUCCAACUGAUAGGCCUCUCGGACCAAUGCAUGAACUCUGGAGUGCUUGAUGCAACUGCAUUUACUUCUUGCCGCUGUUGGCGCCUGCUGCGCCGGUCGUCCACUACACUGGUGAACACCACAUAGGCUCCGUGCUCGUCCGGGAACUCGUCUUGUAUCGCGCCGACUGGCCUGACGGCCGGCUGCUGGGGCGACUGCGGAGGAGGCGGCCCAGCAGGAGGGGGAGGGGGCAAGCCGUCCCCCUUGGCGAUUCUGGUCAACCAGUGACAUUUCCUGGUGGUAUGGUUGGACGGCUUCGCGCCGCUGUGGAACUUGCAGGGACCAUCCAGAGUCUGCUCAUAGGAGAAAGUCGGCAGCCAGUUGGACUUGCCGCCCUUCUGCCGCUUCGCCGGAGGCGGUCCCUCCAGUUGUUGGUCCUCUGCCGUUGCCACCUGCCGACUGCUGGAAGUCGGCAGCGGAGCCUUGCGCUUCUGGUCAUUCUGCUGCUGCCGCCGACUAGUGUCUCCAGCCGGAGUUCUUGGAGCCUGAGGGGCGACUUUGCCAGUUGCGCUGACUCGAAUCUCCGCCUUCAUGGAGGAGUCGGCUGUGGCGUACUUGUCCGCCGUGAUCAGCAGCUCGUCGAGGGUCUUGGGCUCGUCGCAGAGGAGCUUGUGCUUAAGGAGGGUGCCUUCUCUGCACCCGGCAGUGAAGUACUCGAUGGCCUGCACCUCAUGCACGCCCUCGCAGGAGUUCCGGAGUUCCCCCCAGCGCGUGAGGUAGUCGCGAGUAGACUCGUCUGGGCCUUGCACGCACAAGGAGAGCUGGCGUGGCUUGGGAGGUCGCUUGUACGUGCUCGUAAAGUUGCGGACAAAAGCCUCGGUGAAGUCGACCCAACUGUUGAUGCUGCGAGGCUUCAGACUGUUUAACCACGUCCGGGCCGAGCCCUGGAGCAUGAGCGGGAAUAUCUUACGGCAACAUGCUUGUUGCCGUUCGCUAUGUUAACAGCCGUGGAGUAGUCGAUCAGCCAAUCUUCCGGCUUCAUGGUGCCGGUAUACUUGGGCGUGUCUCGGGGGAGCGUGAACCCUUUGGGAAAGGGCUCGUCCCGGAUGCGGGGUCCGAAGCAGGGGGGACCCAACUCGUCCUCUUCUUCCAGCGCCAAGGAUCGGUGGAGUCGGUCGAUCCGGUGGCGGGCGUCAUUCUCUCCGACUCCCUCUUGGCGGCCAAGGCAGUCGCCGAGAGUCGGAUGUUCCACGGGCGGCGAGGAAACUCGCCUUUCUCCGCGAGGAGGGGGAGGCUGGUAGUCGUCCCGCCGUUCCAUCGCUCUGGGGUGGCCGUCUUGGUCGCGCUCGAUGGUGAUGUGAGUCCCGCUAUGGCUGACAGCCGGCUCCUUGUCCUUCUUCCCACAGGCCCCUCCAGUCGGCGUCCGAGACGUCGCACCUUGGUCUUGGCGAGGCAGUGGGUCGUCGUUUUGGCACUGCGGCGCCUCGGUGCGGCAGCUGGCACCGUUCUGUGCGGCGGCCGCGUUGAGGAGCUGCUGAACUCGCUCCAUCAUUAUGCGGCGCUCUUCGCCUUCGAAGUUGUUGAGCUCGUCUACCGCCGCCUGGGCGGCACGGAUAUUCUCUGCGGGCGUGGCGUACACAGGGCGAUUAGCCCCGAAGAGGUUUGCGAUUGCCGCGCCACGCUGUCGGACCGCGCCUAGGCGGCUAGGCCCAGUUGGAGCCAGCGAACCGCCUACAGCGCGAUCCAUCUCUCGUUGGUAAGCUUCUGUCAAGCGCCUCAUGCUUGCCAGCUUUUUCGUGCCCUCGAUGAGCUAAAGGCGGAGCGCCUCCAGCGUCCCGGCGUCGGCAUCUUUCGGAAUUGGCGCUGCAAGGUCUCGUAGGGCCGCGUCAAGCGGGUCAUGCGCUUCCUCGCCGGAGCGCUCGCCGUGUUCGAGGACGAGGACCUCGGUGAUGGUGCUUCCGCCACUCCCCGCGUACGAGAGCGGCUCGUCGUAGACCACCACGUUGGUGGGGAACGCGUCGAGCGACACGGUGUCGGAGUCGACCAGCAUCGGGUCGGUGGAUCCUAUGGACUCCAGGUGCGUGGCAGGCUCGCCGGCGACGUGGAGUUGGUCGAGGAGGCCUGCGAGGAGGCUCUCGGGGUCACUCGUGACUGCGUCGGAUGCAGGCUCAUCGGAGAGGCAAACCUCACCGAUAAGAUCGGCGAGGCAGCUGGCCGCACAGGCGAUCUCCGCGCCGUGCAGUGCAUCGGCACAGACGCCAUCCGGCGUGCCGGGCUGGCUACGCUCGCCGGGAAGGAAUAGGGUUCCCGUCCAGAGUAGAUCUCCGGAAGAUGGUGCACCUCGCCCCAUGGUGGGCGCCAAAUGUCGGGGGUUGGAUGCGACAUAUGCCAAAGGAUGGCUUAUCAUGGUGGGAGCGAGUAGAACGUGGCUGGUGCCUGGAAGCGGGAUGAGGCGAAGACAUGCACGCCGGCGGAUCUUACCCAGCUCCAGGGCUCUCCUAGGAGAUAACACCCCUACUGCUGCUCUGCGGGGUCUCCGCAUGAUCACUCAAGCAAGGUGACUACAACGGUGCUCCUAGAGCUGUUUCGGGAGGCAGGAGAGAGCAAGGCUGGUUCUCUCCUCCCGUGCUAUCUGGUCUAUCUCUAUUCAGGUCCGAACCAUUUGCAUGGGUGCCCCAGGGGGUUUAUAUAGGCCUACCCCCCGGGGGUACAAUAGUAAUACGGCUGGGCACGGGUCCCAGCCGUCUGUCUCUCUGGCCACCGUCCUUCCCGCCGGCUUCUGGGGCCCGCCGACUGGCGGGUCCCGCGGACAGGCUUGAUACUGUAGCGACACUCCUGGUGACGCAGGCUUGGUCAUCGGGUCGUGGCAACAGUGCCGCCGUCUAUCAGGCGAUCAUUGUCGCCAUUCCCCAUCUUAUCAGGUUAAUGGCACGUGGGGCCCUGGGGAGGAGUCGGCUGAUUCCGGGGAGGCCGACUCCCACAGGUCCGUCUUCGGGCCCCAGGCCACCUUCGAGUCGUACAGGCCAGCGUCGUGGGCACAGUGUACUGCGCACUGUGGCUGACGUCAGGGCAGGCAUGGCAACAGUGCCGCGCCUCGCCGGAGAUCUUCCAGCGAUACGGCUCACUGUAGCCAUGCCGGCCCUUCGUGAGCAGGGGGGAGACGGACACGUCGUGACCGUACCCCGCAUCGUACUUCGGGAUGAGGGAGGAGCCACGGGCCGACUCUCCAAAGUCGGCCUCCUUGAAGGUCGCUAGCUUGGAGUUGGCCUCUCUGGAGGUCGCCAGCUUGGAGUCGGCUUAUCUCGGAGUCGCCGUCUGGGACUCGGCCUAAGGGGCGCGGACUCCCCCGAUCUCUUGAAAGGUCUUGGGGCUCGGGUUAGCCUACCCGUGGCCCAUUACUCCGACAGACAGAAAGGCAGAGAAGAAGGUGUGAGGUGAACAGAUGGAUCCUUGUCCUCAUAUAGAGGUAGAGAAUAUCAAGUGCCCCCUCAUCAGCCUUAAACCUCUCCUAUUCCCAAGGAGACGUGCGAGUGACACAGUUGGAUUACCUAAACCCGCAUUGAUGAGGAUCCAAUGAUAAGGGGGCAUGAUAUCUGCUUUGACAAGACAUGUCAAUGGUCGUGCCUCGAAACGUGAAGCGGGGGCUGUAAAACGGUUCAGAAUAACAAUGAGGCCAAAACAUAACGUCUCGCCGAAAAAGUUGCCCGUGGACGUGACUUAUUUUAAGUAUUGUUGCCUUUUACAGCUUAGGAGCGGUGCCGGAUACAUCUCUUAUGUGCGGAAGACUGCUUUGGACUAUUUGGAGGAGGAACCCACCUUGCAAUGCCGAAGACAAUCUGCGUGCCGGAUAUACCGUCAAUGAAGCCCAGUUCAGGGGCUCCUGAGGGAGUCCUGGACCAAGGGGUCCUCGGGCGUCCGGGCUAUGUGAUAUGGGCCAGACUAAUGGGGCGUGAAGAUGCGAAAUCAAAGACCUUCCCUCGUGUCCGGAUGGGACUCUCCUUUGCAUGGAUGGCAAGCUUGGCAUUCGGAACAUGCAUCUUCCUUUCCCUGUAAACCGAUUCUGUACAACCCUAGAUCCCUUUAGUGUCUAUAUAAACUGGAUGGUUUAGUCCGUAGGGCUAGAACAAUCAUACAGGCUAGACAUCUAGGGUUUAGCCAUUACGAUCUCGAGGUAGAUCAACUCUUGUAACCCCUAUACUCGUCAAAGUCAAUCAAGAAGGAAGUAGGGUAUUACCUCCGUUAAGAGGGCCCGAACCUGGGUAAACAUCGUGUCCCUUGCCUCCUGUUACCUUCGAUCCUCAGACGCACAGUUCGGGACCCCCUACCUGAGAUCUACCAGUUUUGACACCUAUACUUGCCUUCACAAGAUUGAGUUGGUUGUGCCUCCAUUAUAGUAUGUGUAACGUAGGUUUAACUAGGUUAUAAGUACCAAAUGUUAUUUUAAUCAAGGUUUUUGUUGUUCUUCAGACCAAUCACCAUAAACCAAAUCUAGAUGAAUGAUUGGUUGAUCUAUAUCAGUUAUUAUAGAGUACACAAAAAUUGUAGUUCUGUUAGUCUCUAGUCUCAACCCAAUAUCACAUCUUUGUAGUUCUUUCCUAUGACUUGUUACAAGUGACAAUCAUCAUUCAAUUAAUCAUUAAAUAUUACCAACGUUCUUGUUUUUUGGAAUGUUUCAGCAAGGUGGCUCUUCUAUGUUUAUUUUUUAUCUAUAACUAGUUAUAAGGACAAUCAUUAUUUUAAUCAACGUUCUUGUUGUUUGGCAUGUUAUUUCUUGGGAUCACCAUAAACAAAAUCUACAUCACUUACACCAAAAAAAGAAUUUAUUGGUCUCAGGUCUUAGCCCAUUGGCUUGGUGACCAAUUAAGCCCUAUUGCUAGACUACUCUGAUCACGCAAAAAUGAUUGUUUGAUAUAUAUGUAUACAUCAGUUAUGUAGAGUAAAAAAACACAUUACAAUUUUGUCACGCCCAAUAUGCGACCCUAUCCAAAAGGAACUCGAAGGUCCCACCAAGGAUAGACCCGCAUAUUGAAACACUUUUGCAAGGUGGAUAUCAUUACAUCAACAUUACAUAAUAGAUGGAGAUACAUACAAGAGGCAUACAAUGCCACACGAAUACAACAUCGCAAAACAUAAGAGCAUCAUUCGACUACGGAUGAAACACAAACAGAAACUCAAACGACAUCCACCCUGCUAGCCCAGGCUGCCGACCUGGAACCUAUCCCCUGAUCGAAGAAGAAGUAGAAGAAGAACUCAAGGCAAGCAAGCAUCGCUCUCGCGUCAUGAUCAUCGCAUAACAUGUACCUGCAACUGUUGUUGUAGUAAUCUGUUAGCCACGAGGACUCAGCAAUCCCAUUACCAUGGGUAUCAAGACUAGCAAAGCUUAAAGGGAAAGGAAGGGGUAAAGUGGUGAGGUUGCAGCAGCGACUAAGCAUAUAUGGUGGCUAACAUAAGCAAAUAAGGGCGAGAAGAGAGCAAGCGGAACAGUCGUGAAGCCAGCAAUGAUCAAGAAGUGAUCCUAACUCCUACUUACGUCAAACAUAACCCAAAGACCGUGUUCACUUCCCGGACUCCACCGAGAAGAGACCAUCACGGCUACACACGCGGUUGAUGCGUUUUAAUUUGGAUCUGGUGUCAAGUUAUCUACAACCGAACAUUAACAAACUCCCAUAUGCCUAUAACCACAGGCACGACUUUCGAAAGAUUAUACCCAGCAGGGGUGUCCCAACUUAGCCCAUAAUAAGCUCUCGCGAUCAACGAAGGAUAUACCUUCUCCCAGGAAGACCCGAUCAGACUCGGAAUCCUGGUUUACAAGACAUUUCGAUAAUGGUAAACCAAGACUAGCAAAGCCUCCCGGAUGUGCCGACAAAUCCCGAUAGGAGCUACACAUAUCUCAUUCUCAGGGCACACCGGAUUGUCCAAACUUCUGGUAGGCCAGCCCAGAGUUGCCCCUGGUGGCCACCGGCGGCUGACAGGUUGGACCAACACUCACGACGAGCACUGGCCCAGGGGGGAUAAAAUAAAGAUGACCCUCGAGAGCGCGACUCCCAAGGGAAAAAGGGCUAGGUGAGGCAAAUGGUAAAACCAAGGUUGGGCCUUGCUGGAGGAGUUUUAUUCAAAGCAAACUGUCAAGGGGGUCCCAUAAAUCACCCAACUGCAUAAGGAACGCAAAAUCCGGGAACAUAAGACCGGUAUGACAGAAACUAGGGUGGCAAGAGUGGAACCAAACACCAGGCAUAAGGCCGAGUCUUCCACCCUUUACCAAGUAUAUAGAUGCAUUAAUAAUAUAAGAGAUAUUGUGAUAUCCCAACCAAAAUCCUGUCCACCAUGGAGCAAUCCUCAACUUCACCUGCAACUAACAACGCUAUAAGAGGGGCUGAGCAAAGCGGUAACAUAGCCGAACAAUGGUUUGCAUAGGAAAGGUAUCAAAGGUUAGAGGUUCAUGGCAAUAUGGGAGGUUUGAAGAGCAAAUGAUAGGUAGCGCAACAAAGCGAUAGAACGAAGCAACUAGCAUAGCAAUGAUAGUAGUGAGAUCCAGGGUAGCGGCAUCUUUCCUGAAAUCCCGCAAGGAAGAAGAACGAGUCCAUGAAGAAGAUGAAGCCACGAAGACGAACCAAGCGUAGACGAACGAAUCCUCACGAUCGCAACGAAACAGGAACUAUCGAUAAGAAGCACACAACAGGGUAAACACACCACACAUGAACAAGGCAUGAUGCACAACAAGCAUGAUGCAUGACAAAGAUAUAUGGAGCUACUCAUGGCAAGAGAUGAUGCAAACAAGAGCAACACAUCAAGGCAAGUUUAAAUGAGGCCGGGAACAACAUAUAACAAUUCCGGUAAGUCCUCAUAUGAAAAUUUCAAAGUUGGUCCAGAUCUGAAUAAACCUUAUGUUCAAGUUAUUAAACAGCAAGUUAAUAUGCACCAAGAUGAUCUACACGAGAUUCUAGUCAAGUUACAUAUAAAGUUCAUUUAGUUCAGAGCUACGGCCUAGAAGAUAUGAGCAAAACAAGUUAAACAUGGCAUUGAUGCAAAAAUGCAUACAAACAUCAAGCAAACACCUCAAAAUAUGGAUGAAACAUGAUAAUAUGAAACUAUAUGCAAUUCUAAGCAAGUUUCAUAUAGAGCACACUCAAAACGGAGCAAUGGUUCAACACACACACAUGAAACAAGUUUAAAGGCCAAGCUGUCCAAAACAGCAACUAGGCAUAUUGCAAGCAUCAAAACAACAUGCUACAGGACCUAAACGUAAAAACAAAAGGCAUGAGCAUGAUGUACAGGUAACGCAUAACAAAACAUGAACACUGAGCUAACUCCAGAAAUCACUAGAACAUGCUCAAACACACAUGGCAAGAUUGCAAAUAAUAACAGUUCAGACUUUGCAGAAAAUAACAUCAGGUUGCGAUGUUUAGAGCUAUCAAACAACAUGUUACAGGAACUUAUCAUGGAAAACAAAGGCAUGGCAUGAAUCUACUAAAUGCAUAGAUCAAAUGUCCUUUAGUGAACAUGAGCCAAAAAGGAUCAGAAAAUAUGAUGGCACCCAUGUAAACAUAGCAAGUUAUAUUACAGAUUCAUACAUGGCAGGAACAGAAUUAUGAAGGCAUGUUGAUGAGCUUGUACCACUCACCACAGAGCAAUACAUGGCAUGGCAAGGCACCCAACAGUAAGAAGACAUGUUUAUGAAGCUAAGCAUGGCAAUAGCAAGUUCAUAGGGUGCAUGGAACACUAGCAACAAUCAUGGCAACAACUGAACUUAAUGUUAACAGGCUGACAGCAACAUUAUUUAGCAACUUUGGAGCAAGAUAUGAACAAGCUACAGCAGGCUAUAAUUGCAACCAGGGGCAUGGAUGGAUAGAGCAUGACAUGUAGAACAAAACACCCUUAGUGAACAUCUCCAAAUUAUGAAUGGAAUGACUAGUAGCAGCAGGUUUACAUAGCAUCACGAAAUAACAGAUUCAGCCUAGCAAAACAGUAACAGCAAGUACCCUACUUAACAAGCUUGAUUCACUCACCACAAGUCAUUGCAUGAAACGAUAAGCAUAGAAUCAGCAAGAAGACAUGUUUAUGAAGCUAACGAAGGCAAGAACAAGUUCAUAGCAUGCAAGGAUCAACUACAACAACCUUGGCAAAAUCGAAUAACAUGUAAACAA